UGAAAAUGAAUUGAAGAUGAUUGUCGAUGGGAAAUUUCAGAGAAACCUUUUAAACAAGCUAAAAGUUCUCGGUCUGUGCUUUGAUAAGAAGUGUGAUGAAUAUCCGGAGAAUGGGUUUCUACAAGAGUUGCCAAAUGUAAUGAAGCUUGUGGUGUGUGGCAGUUCCUUCAAAGUGAUUUUCUGCUAUCAAAGACCGAAUAAUAGUGAAAUGCUUUUACAAUUAAAAGAAUUACGUUUGGAGUCCCUUCAAGAGUUGGUUUCCAUUGGCUUAGAAAACUCAUGGACUGAACCCUUUGUCAGAAAUCUAGAAACCUUUGAAGUCAUUGCGUGUUCCAAUUUAAAAAACUUGGUAACAUGCAGAGUGUCUUUUUCAAAUCUGAUAUGUUUAAAAGUGGAAAAUUGCGAUAACUUGUCAUAUUUGUUCACAUCUUCGACAGCCAAAAGUUUGGCUGAACUUCAAAGAAUGGAAAUAGAAAAGUGUGAAUCAAUUGAAGAAAUAGUGUCUAAUGAAGGGGAGGAAUCAGAUGACGAUGAAAUAAUAUUUCCGAAGCUCAAUUGUCUGAGUCUUAUAGAUAUGAAAAAUCUCCGAAGGUUUUACAAAGGGAGUUUAAGUUUUCCAUUGUUGGAGGAAUUGUCAAUAGGACGACUUGGGUAAAAAUAUAUAUAUAUAACCUUAGGUACGACUUGGGUAAAAAUUCAUCAAAAUAAUAUUCAUAAUAGAAUUAUACUUUUCAUAUAUUUUUAACUACUAAGAGUUGCCUACUGCAAAACUAAAUCACAAAAAAAAAAAAAAAGAUAGAUGGAUUUUGAUUAUUACAAUUUUUUCUAUAACUUCUGAUUCAAACUGGGUCCAUAAUUUGAACUCAAAAUUAUAAUAUUUAUUUACAAAUUUAAUUAAUAUUAUAACGAAAUUUAUGUGAAAAAAAUUAAAAGUACUAUACUAAAAUAUUUCAAAAUAAACAAAAUAUAAAUAAUAAAGAGUUCGUGAUAUAUAUUAUUUGUACUUAAAAAUAAUAAAUAUGAAGAAGAAAAAAAAAGAACAUUGUUUAAAAUAAUUAUAAAUUUUAUUAUUCAUAACAACAAUUUUUAUUUAUUUAUUUACACGCCUCAAAUAUACCGUAACGGUUCAACAAAAAUAUUUAACUUUAUGAUAACUAAAUAAAAUUAUAAAUCUCAAUUCUUAACUUGGUUUUGCAAGUCGUUAGGAGAAGUAAUGUGAAUUACAAAACGAGAUUCAGUAGAAAAUUUCUUUUAAAUAUAGUAAAGUGGAUUUCUUUUCGUAAUAAAAAAUAAUGAUAAAAAUAGUGAGUAUUUCAUAUUUGUAGAGUAAUAAUUUAAAGGAUAUCAUUGACUCUUGUAAAUAAUUAGUUUCAUAUUUUUAUUUAUUGUUUUGCACGUGCAGAGUUCAGAGCUUGAGGAACUUGAUCUAGAAAGUAGGCCAGGACUACAAGAGAUAUGGAAUGGCUCACUACAUAUCCCCAACCUCUGUUUCACUGAGUUGACCAAAUUGACUGUGAAUGACUGUCGAUUUUUGUCAGAUGCAGUGCUGCCCUUCCAUUUACUUCCUUUAUUACCUAGAUUGAAAACAUUGGAAGUUGGAAACUGUGAUUCUGUCAAAACCAUAUUUGAUUUCAAAUGUACAACAAAAGACACAUCAAUUACUUUUCCUCUCAAGAAAUUGGUUUUAUCCAAGUUGCCAAAUCUGGAGGAUGUUUGGAAUGAAGAUCCUCAUAGAAUUUUAUGCAUGCAACAUCUAGAAGAAAUACAUGUCAAGGAAUGUAAAGGCCUUAAAAGUGUGUUUCCCGCAUCAGCAGCCAAAAGUCUUGUGGAACUUGAAGAUCUAAUAGUGGAAGACUGUGAGGGAUUGAUGGCAAUUGUUGCAGAUGAAUCUAAGGAGGGGGAUGAAUUAGAUGAGAAUACGAUAAUGUUUCCUCGGCUCAGUUAUUUGAAGGUAGAAAGUUGCAAUAGUCUGCCAUAUUUGUUCACAUCUUCGACAGCGAAAAGUUUGGCUAAACUAAAAACGAUGAAGAUAAAAGAAUGUAAAGCAAUUGAAGAGGUAGUGUCGAAGGAGGGGAAAGAAUCUGACGAGGACGAAGAAAUAAUAUUUAAGCAGCUCGAGGAUUUGUAUCUUGAAAAGUUAGAUAAGCUACGGUGCUUUUAUUCUGGCAAUUUAACUUUUAGUUUUCCCUCCUUGGAGGAAGUAUAUGUCAUCAAGUGCAACUCUAUGAAAACUUUCAGUGCAGUAAACAAAAUAAAUCAUCCCACAAAAUGGUAUUGUUCAGAAUAUGAGAGACCCCAGAAAGAAACCGAUCUCAAUUCUGCUGUGCUCAAAACUACUGCAAAGGUGGUACCUACACUUUUACGUCUAAAUGUUUCUUUAUAGAGAAUGAUAGAUGAUAUUGUCCAGGAAUUAUAGGUUCCUGUAUAACAAUAUUUUCAGACAUUAUUUUUAGUGUAAUGUGUUUUUUAGUUGCAUCGUGCUUAAAAUUAACUUGCACAUAUUCUUUUGUUUUAAAUAGGCUCCAGAUGCUUCUGGUGCCAUCAUUUCAGUUCUCCAAUAGCACAGAUAGUGAAUAUGGUACAUCAAAUAUUAUCUAAUGCUACUAAAUUGUUACUUUUUUUAUGGUGAGUUAUGAGUUAUACUAUCAUUUUCUCUAUGCAUAUGCAGGUGGUGAUCAAUAAGAAGCAGUUUUUCACAGCAUUACAUGAUGAUUAUGACUGAGUAUGUAAGCAAUUUUUUUUAGUUUAAUUUAAUAUUAUAUUGAUUUCUAUUUAAAUGGAUGUUUUAGUUGAGACUUAUGAUAGAAUGAUAUUCUCUAUAUAUAAUGCUACUUUUACUUCCUUUGUAAUUAAAUUCAUAUUCUUUUCUUAAUAACUUUUAUGAAAGUAUAGUAAUUGUUCUUGUACAUUGUAUAGGUUGAAUCUGAGUUGCCGACUACAAUAUUGCAGUAACUAAGAGGAGAUGGAAGGCAUAAUUAAAGAGUGCAUGAAGAUGAAUCUAUCUCUAUUUUACUAUUUUUGUGUGAUUUUUUUUCAAAAUAAAAAAAAAAAUGUGUUUGUUCUAGCUCGUUGAAGAUGAAAUACAUUAUAUUAUUUAUAUUAUGUAAUGUGGGAUUAAGAAUGAUGAACAGUCAUGAACUGUCACUAAAUAUUGACUGUAAGUGCUUAUGCCGAAAAAAAAAAAGUGUGCUUGUUUUCAUAUGUUGUUAAUUUUAUUUAUAUCUCAGGUUUGAUCAUAAUACUUUAUUGGAGCUGAGCAACACUUAGCCUGCUUUUACUUCGUCAUUGCUUUCUAUCUGUAGCUAAGAACUUAGAAAAUGAAAUGAAGAUAUUACUCUGUGCUUUCAUAUUGAGUUGUAUUUCUGGAAUUUAUGGAACACCUCUUGUGGUGAAAUGUGGAGAACCUUGUGGUGUGUUAUGGUUUCUUGAAGGGACACCUCUUACAGCUGAAAGAAUUACACUUGAAGUCCUUUCGGAAAGGGGUUUUCAUUGGGUGAGAGAACUCUUGAACUGAGUCCUUUGUUAGAAAUCUUUGAAAUCAACUGAAAGGAAUGGAAAUAAAAAGGUGAAAAUGAAUUAAGAGAUAGUCUCGGGGAGGAAGUGAGCAUGAAAAGUUAAUAUUCGUGCAGCUGCAGGUUUUGUAUCAUUGGCUAAGCUGUUUUUAUUGUAUCAAUUUUACUUUAUGUUUUCCUUCGAGGAAGUGUUCCGAAGAUAAUAAAAAUAAUAUUCGAAAGUUAAAUUUACAUAAUUUUUUUAUAUAAAAAAUAUGCAAAGUAAUGAAAUGUACCAAAUAAAAGAAACAAAUUGCUCACACUGUCUUUUACAAGAAAAGAUUUUAGACUUCAUUUCUUCAUCAACCAUUAUGUAGAAAUUUAUUUAUUUUUAUUGUUUCGUUUGUGAGAAUUUUUAAAAGAAAAGUUUGUUUAAAAUAUUUUAUAUGGUAAAAUAUUAAAAAUGCUAAUAUUUUUCUAUAUAAAAUAUUUAAAAUAAUAAAGUUAAGAGUGAAACAAUAAAAUCAUAUCUUAUAUUAUAUAAGAAAGAAAACAUAGUAAAUAUUUUAAGAAAAAUAAGAAUAAAUAUAAAAACGCUUCUAGGACCGUUAAUCAAACAUAAUUUAAAAUUUCAUGUGAUAGAAAAUUAAAUUAAAAUUAAAAUUAAGUAAAUAUGUAAUUUGCAUCCUUGUCCGUUAAUUUAGUCUCAAUCAAUCAAGCUGGGGUUGAAUUUCAAAAUAACAUCUACUGAGUUCUAUUCCUAAACUAAAAAAAGGAUUUCGUCUCUUAAAACUAAUAAAAAAUGAAAGUUUAUGAUGGUUUUAAAAGUUAUAGAAUUCAAUAAUAAUCACAAAAUAAAAAAAAAUUAAAAAAUAGUUAGAGAUCUUUUUAUAAAAUGCUUAAAUUGAGGAAGCAAGUAAUAUUUUCUUACUGAAAAAGUUGACAGUGCAAAGAAUUUCCAAUUUUACGAAAAUUAAAUUGGAUUUUAAAUCAAAGACAAAUUUUAAAUGAAUUGAAGAUGAUUGUGGAUGGAGAAUUUCAGGGUAACUACUUUCCCAAGUUAAAAGUUCUUAUUCUGUGCUAAAUGUAUUUCUAGAAUUUCUACAACUGGUGCCAAAUGUAUAGAAGCUUGUAGUGUACCAUGGUUCCUUUUUGAAGGGGAUCUUCUGCUGUCAAACUUCUAAUAAUGUUGAUGACAGUGGGCACAUCUUGCAGCUGAAAAACUCAUUGAAUUUGUCAUAUCUAUGACAUAUAAUUAAGCAUGCUGCAAAAUUAUUAUAAUUUAUUUAAAUAUUUUAGAAAUAAUAUAUAUAUAUAUAUAUAUAUAUGAGUUUGUUUUUCAGUUGAAUCUAUGUUAUAGGAUGAUAUAGAAAAUGUUGGAAUGAGAGAGAUAAAAGAGGAAGGAUUGAGAAGAAUGAGGGAGGUAAGUAAGAGUUUGGGUUUCUUUUUUCUUUUUUUAGUUGUGAGAAUGAAAAUUAUUUAAAUACCUUGACUUUAAAACUUAGAAUUUUUUCUACUAUUCAUAAUACAUUGUUAAAACGUACCAAUUGAAAAACAGGCGUACCCGGGUUAACAAAUCUCAUAUAUAUAUAUAUAUAUAUAUAUAUAUAUAUAUAUAUAUAUAUAUAUAUAUAUAUAUAUAUUUAUAUAUAUAUAUAUAUAUAUAUUUAUAAUACAAUAUAAUAUAAUGUGUGUGUACCUACGACUUUUUAAACAAUUCUUAAAAAUAAUAGUCAUAAUUUGAUUGUUCUUCCUUUUUUUUUAACUACUAUAUAGGAGUAGCCAACAAGUGUAGUGUAGGUGACACCAAAGAUAUAUCAAUGUAAUUUUAAUCAUUACAAAUUUCUCUAUCUAAUUAAAAUCUACACACUAUUUCUACAAUUUAAAUUUCCAAUUGUAUUGAUUUACAAGUUUAAUUAAAAAUUAUGAUGAAUUUUUUUGAAUAAUGUUGAAUAAAAAAAUAAAAGUAACAAAGGUUUGUGAUGAAGAUAUCUGACAUGGGAGUGAAAUGUUAAAUGUGAUAGGUACUGCUUUCAUGGUAUUCACAAUCAACUGAAUUCUAUUGAUAGCUGGAGAUAGAAUUGUUUUAUUUUUACCAAAAACUCAAUUUUUAUAUAAAAACUAUUCAUGAAGAUCAAAGGAAAAAACAAAAAUGUUUAAAAUAAUAAUAAAUUACAAAUUUUUUGUUCCGAUAACUAAACAAAAUUAUAAAUCUCAAAUCUUAACUUGUUAAGAAGCUCUUGAAGUGAUGUAAUCUAAAAUAGAAAAGGGGAAUCGGUAGAGAAGUUAUUUUAUAGAUAUAGUCAACUGAGUUUUCUUAAUUAAAAAUAAUUCUUAAUAAAAUUAGUAAAUAUUUCAUAUUUCUUAAUUAAAAAUAAUUCUUAAUUAGUGAAUGUUUCAAGGUGACCACAUUGACUGUGUUCAUGUGCAGGUUUUUUUCUACGAAUAAAAAAUAAUAUACAUUUUCUUUCGGGAGAGAAUCUCUAACUAGGAUAUUAUUUUUCUUCCUUGUAAAUAUAAUUCAAUUAAUUAAGAAAGUUCAAUAACACAGGCAUAAAAAAAAAACAAAGGGUAGUUAUUCAUUCUUUGAAUUAUUAUUUUUGUUUUUAGUCUUAUUAUGCAUAAAAUUAACUUCUAUAUAUAUUCCACUAGUGUAGAAAAGAAAUAUGAUAUUGAUUGUUUUUAUAAUCAGUAACGAUUUCGCUACUAAUGCAUAUUAAUAUAAGAUAAAAAAAAAAACUUUUAGUUUUGAUUAUGAAUUAAAACAAAAUGGUUCACAAUUUACUUUGGCAAUAAAAAAAUAAUAUACAUUUUGUUUCGGGAGAGAAUAUGUAAGUCUGAUUUUAUAAUUUUAAAAUUAUAAAAUCAACUCUGAAUUAAAUCAAUUUUAAAAUAAAAAUAUAUUUGGCAUUGGUUGUAGUGAACUAAUAUGCUUUACUUUAAAAUUAAUUUAAAAAUUAGCAUAUAAAAUUUGUUGUAAAAAACUGACAAAAUAGUAUUUUAUGAGACGGUCACUGUCCUUAAGGACUUUCCGCAGUGUGUUGUGCAAGUCCUCAAUAUACAACCAGAACUUCUCAGUUGAGGCUCAGAACUAGCAACGAUUUCUUUAAAGAGUAUAAAAACAAACCCAGAAUAUUUUUAGAAGAGAAAAAGAAUACAAGAAAAUAAGUUUUUAGUGUGUCUUGAAAUGGAGAAAAAAUUUUCUAUUUAUAAAACUAGGGAGGAAUCAAUUAAAUAAAAGAAAUUAAAAAUCAUAAAGAUUUUUAAGGUUGCAGCAAUUAAAAUAAUUUAACAUUAAUGUUUGCCAAUUAAAAAAUAUAAAGGUUGUAAGUUAAGAAAGUUAACGUUGGCAAAUAUUAACGUUGCAAAGCAACGUUUUCAUAUUUUGCAAUAUAUUAUAACAAAAUUUUAGAGUCUACUACACAAUGCAAAUUGAACACACUAAAUAAUUAGCAAUUUAGCAUUAACUUUUACUUGUUAGGAUCUACCUAUGAUCAAAAUGUAUAUUUUCCUACAUAAUCAAGCAAUAUUUUCCUAACUAACACUCUGAUUUAGAAAUUCGCAAUAUCCCUCCAUAAUCAAGGAAACAUACUUUUCGUUGAAUGUUAAUUCUAAAAUAAAUUACAAACCUCAUUUGAGUCCCUUCUUUUUAGAAAAAUCUAAAACCGAUAUAAUAAAAUCAAUUAUAACUAAAAAAUAAAAUUGAUUUAUCUGGACAGUUUUGGAUUUGUUUCUAUACUUUUUACGUGGCUAGGACUUUUUAUUUUAUUUUUGUCUGUGAUUCACUUGUCUAUUACAUGUAGAACAAGUAAUUCUCGUGUAUUAUAUCAGUAAAAAUGUCUAAAUAAUUAUCAAUUUUAACAAUAUUUUAUUGUAUAUAUAAUUAGCCAUAAUCAAAUGAUAAUAUGAAAAAUUUACAUGGUAAGUUUUACCAAUUUUUAACUCACUUUUUCUUUCUUACUCAUAAAGAAGCGGAAUAUGACAAGCGCAACCCAAUUAUUUAUCUUCUCAGAAAUUAAAUUUUUUUAUUUUUCAAUAUAAUUUAUUGAUACAUUAAAUAAUUUUUUAUAAUUUUUAUCGUGCAUAAUAUUCACAAUGUUAUUUUUUUUAGGAUUAAUUUUUUAUAAUAUUUUUAUUGUGCAUAAUAUUCACAUUGUCUGCCACAUUUUACAUAUUGUGUAAGUGGACAUAAAUAUAGACAACUGAAAGUUGUUUACAUUCAUUACAAGACAAUGCUUCAUUGGUGACCCUAAUAACAAAUCAACGGUAAAAGAGUGUCUGUGUCGUGUAGGCCGAAAGCCCAUCCUUCAACCCUCUGGAUACGUUUUGUAUCGCUUGAAAGAUCGACUUUAGUAUGGCAUCUAUUUGAUCAAUGCUUAUAUAAUUUUGUAUUAAUUAAUAAUUAAAGCUAGCCUUGGUAUUAGUUAAUGCUGUAUAUUUAUUUUAAAAAAUUUAUAUUAGAGAUAGUGUUAGUUUAACUGAUAUUAAUUUUAUUUUCUUUUAGAAAAAUUCAUAAUAAAAAAAAUUAUUUUGUAGUAUUGACGUAGCUCAUGAUAUUAUUGUUUUUAUUAAGUUACAUCCAUAUAGAAUAGGUUUGGCUCACUUUUUCAUUAAUAUUUUUAUUGUUUAUUUAUUUUCUCUAUUUAGAACGGAUUAGAAAGAUGCUUAAUUUUGUAAUAUAGGCUUGAUCAACAUGAUGUUUAAUAUUAUUAUUUUUUAUUUGUGUUUGGUUAGAGGGAUCUUGUUAUAAACUCUUUCAUUAAAUUUUUAUUUAUUUAUUUAUUUAUUCUACUUAAAAUCGAUUAGACCAACACUUAUAUUUGUAGUGUAGACUUAAUCUACAUAAUGUUUGAUAUUAUUAAUUCUUAUUAAAUUGUGUCUAUUUAAAGUGGUGACAACUCUUUAAUUAAUAUUUUUAGUUUUUAUUUAUUUUUUGUAUUCAGCGUUUAUAUUAAUAAAAAGUUAUUUUAUAGCGUGAUUUAACUUAUGUUCAAUAUUAUUACUUUUCAUUAAUUUGUAUUCAAUUAAAGUGAGCUAACACACUCUUUCAUUAAUAUUUUUUUUUUUUUAUUUCUUUUACUUAUUUCGGUACCAACAUUUAUAAUAAUAAAAAUUCAUUUUGUAGCACCGAUUUUGACCAGAGCUGUUAAAAUUGAUUAAUUUGCGGGCCAAUCCGAUCCAUCAUGGGUUCGAGUCGGGUUGGGUUUGAAAAAGUUAUAUUUUUUUUUUGUGUGUCAAUUUACUCAUUUAAACUAGGCUUAUUCGGGUUGAACUCGUGGUGGACCGAAUUGACUCACCUACCUAAUUUUAUUUUAUUAAAAUUUAAUUUUAAUUUUAUAAAAAAGUAUUUAUUAUUAUUUUUUGCUUGAAAAAUUAAUUUAAGUUCUCUAUUUUUAAAAUUAAUUAAACACCCCAUAUUGUAUAUAUUCAUUUUGGGAGUGUAAUUUGUUUAGAUUUGAAUUACAAAAAGUUUGUAAUUUUUUUUAUUUAAAAAAAUUGUACUUAAGUGAGUCAAUGAGCCAACCUAUUUAUCCACCAACCUGUGGUAGGUCAAGGCGAGUUCGAAUUUUUCUAACUCGUUAAUAAAUGAGUUGGGUUGGAUUGACUCACUAAGUGAUCAAGUCGGACUUGGUGACCUGCUAUGAUAACACUAGUUUUGACUCAUACAAUAUCUAAUAUUUUUUUUUUAUUUGAUUAAUUUGCACUCAUUUAGAGUGGAUUUGAUCCACUUAAUUCUUUAUAUAUUUAAGUUUGUAUUGAGUUAGAGUUGGUUUGAGGGAGUUAGAGGUGAUAUUUAAUGAUAAUUAAUAUCCAAUACUGUUGUACUGAGUGUUGAAUUUGAUGAAGUAUUACAACUUUAACAUAAGUUUAAAAUCGGUUGGUAUUCAUAAUAUUACAAAUAUAAAAUUUUCUUGAAGUAGCCACAUUUUGCAUAAUGCCUAAAAACAUUAACUUGUAAGUUUCCUAGACCUACGCAGUGAAAUGAGAAGAGUAUUAAGUUAAAAUUACUAUGCAAUAGUGACGGAAGCUAACAUUGCAUUUCACGGGGGACAAAAAAAAAAUAGAGAAAAUACAUACUCGUUGAAUAUUAGACGAUAUAAAUUAAAAUUGUCGUCUAUAACUAUAUAGACAAUGAUUUCUGUUUUUUUUUUCGAACUUUGGAUGACCGAGUAUAUAGAGAAAUCAUCUCCUAUAGAGCAAUAGAUGAUGAUUUUAAGUUAACCGCUUUCUAAUCUUUCUCAAUAAUUUAAAGAUUAUGACUCCUUCGUAAUAAAUAACAUUUUUAAGAAGAUUACCGUCUGUUUUCAUAUAUAUAUAUAUAUAUAUAUAUAUAUAUAUAUAUAUAUAUAUAUAUAGAGAGAGAGAGAGAGAGAGAGAGAGAGAGAGAGAGAUAUAGAUAUAUAUGAGUAAAAUGUAAUAAUUUUGUAUUUAUUUUAAUUAUUGAUAUAUAUUUUAUGGAACACUACCUUUUACCAUAUUAUCAUGUUAUAAUGAAAUGUCUGUUGUUGUUGGUUUUCUUUUUUCAUGUUAAUUAGUGUUUGAAGGAGUGGGUUGGUUAAUGUAUGAUGCAAUAACAAGGAUUUUAGAAUAAAUUAGACGUUUAAUGAUUGAUUACUUUGUUGAGUGGGUGGAAUGUGCACCAAUAUUUUAAAACGACUUGGGAAGUGUUGUAAUGAGUCAUAAAAUAAAGUGAACAGAAGAUCCUGAUAGAUAUCUAUCUAAUCUUUAUGGACUACAUGUUUUUAUAUAAUCCAAAAGAUAUUCUCUCCGCGUUACCUUUCACAUGUAAUAAAAUAUAAACAAUGACAGUAAUGAUUACAAAUUUAAAGCAUUAUUUGUUGGCUUUUAGAGACUAUAGCAUGUGAACACUAAAAGUGUUGUGUAAUACGUGAUAUUACCGGCCUUUGCCAAAUACCUUUUCUUUUCUUUUGAUAUAUUUUAAAGUGAAGGGACUGAUUGGAGGAAGAAGGAUAUUGAAGUAUUUAUUUUAUUUUCGGAUCAUGAUAUUUUGAUAACUUUUUUAAUAAUAUUUUGAUAACAAGGUAUGUGUCAUCACUUUAUUGGUCUAUUUGAAUUUAUGUUUAAAAAAAUAUUUGAAAUGGACCAAUCACAAGUUGUUACGUAUGUGUUGUUAAAAAACUGUCAAAAAAAGUGUUGUUAAAAGAACUUUUUCCUUUAUUUUCUUCUGUUUUGACUGUUCUUUCAAGCUUUGUUAAGAGUCUCUCGCUGCUUUAGUUGUCGUCAUGGUGUGGUAAAGUAAACUCUCAUGAAAACAUGAUGCUCUCUAUUUGAACUUCAGGUUUUCUAUGUCUUAUUAUACUAAAAAAAAUUGAAAUUAUUGACGGACAUAAUCCAUCGAAAACAAUCAAAUUAUGUCUGUAAUUUAUAUUUUCUGACAAUUUACCGACAAUCAAAGAUUUGUCGGUAAUUUACAAUCGGUAACCAUUAUCGACGAAUAUUGAUUGUCAGUAAUUACUGACGAACAUAUUCUUUGAUAAUUACCAACAAACGAGCCUUUCGGUAAUUAUCGACGAUCGUCGGUAUGUCUAUCGGUAAGGUCGUGAGAAAGUCCCAUGGAAUUUGUAUUGUUUGACUACCCCACAUUCACAUAAUUAGACUUGCACAAAACAAUAAUAUGUAAUCCAUAUCCAGACAAUCAGAACUAUAAAGACUACAUUAAACCCUACAUAUGAGAAACAUCUUUGGUACAAAUUUUUCAUAUAUUGAUUCAGUAUAAGCAUAUAAACCUAUGUCUUGUUUAGUAUCAAUUUGAAUAUCCUUAACAUUGGACUCUCCACUACACCCACUCAAUUUGGACUGAUUUAUUCCAUUGAUUUCGACUAUUCACUCCACAACUACCUUCUUGACUUCAAGAUCCUUUUUAGCCAAGUCAACAACAUCCUUAUGAAGAGAACACCAUUAACCAUUUUUAUAGAACAUCAGACCUUGAGCUAUCUACUAAAGUUUAGAGCAAGAAGAAGAAAGAGGAGAAUGAGGAUUAAGAAUUUUAGAACCCUGUGUGUUUGUGUUUACAUUUUUAUUCUUUAGUUUAAUGCAGUUUCAAUUUUAGGCUAGUUUAGUAUCAUUUAAAAGUUGUUUACAUAGUUACCUAGCAUUUUCAAUUACUAUGAGUAGUUUUCAAUUUAGGCAUUUUUAGCCUAUUCUAGUUGCUCAUUUUAGUUUCUAGGUAGUCAUAUUUUGAGUUUUAUGUAGUUUUUGUAGUUUGAGUUGUUUCUUAGCUAGAAUUUACCAUUUUAAACUUGUUGGCAUAGUUUAUUUACAGUUUCUUAGGAUAGUUUAGUACAAUUUUCAAUUUUGACCUCUUAAGAAGAGUUUUUGAGGUUUUGUUAAUAGAUUUUGUCUCUAUUUUUGACUCAAUUUUCCAGAUUUAUACAUUUCCAAUUUUGCUAGCUAAGCUUUUAAAUAGAUAGGGUAUCUAGUUGAAAAGUUUUUCCUUAGCACUUAUUGGUCUUGUUUGACCCUUUUAUUCUGAAUUAUAGUUCAUUGAAAACCUUUGGCCUAUAAAACCUUGUCUAGACCUUGUCAUAGAGCUGUGGGGUGAAUUAGGUCAUGCAAUGGACCACUGUUGAGUUCAAGUGUGGGGAUGUCAUUGACAAGAGAGUUGACCAAUGGUUGGUUUGCAAUUGAGCUUCAAAUGUUAUAGCAAUUGUGGGAGAAGCUAGAGAGAGAUUAAAAUACACUUGUGCUGAACUUAAAAGAGAUUAGAAAAGACUAAAAGCCUCUAGCUUUCAUUUGCAGUUACUUAAUUUUGUUUAGAUACAUUUUUGUAGUCAAGUCUUAUUUGCGUAGUUUUAAUUCUUGUGUUUAGUAAUACAAGAUGGUACAUAUGUUGAGGUUUUAGAGGUACAUUUGUCAUAGGAGAAGCUUUCAAGAUGAGUUUACCAUGAUAAAAAAGUUUCAAAAGUUACCAUAAUGGACUUUCACAUAGGAAUUGAUUUUGGAGGCUUAAGUGGAGUGUCAUGGUAUAGUUGGACUUGUUACUUCCUAUAACAGGUCAAGGAGCUUAAAGAGGCACAAGGGAUAACAAGGAGCUUAAGUGGAGUGUCAUGAUCUAGUUGGACUAGUUGGAUUUGAUUUUGCUUUGUGUGCUUGAGUGAUUUUAGGUUACAUGAUGUAUCUGAUGGCAGUGAUGACAUCAUCUACUAAUGGAUGCUAGGAGGACUCAGAUAACAACAUUUACUGAUGAAUGUUGUUAUGAUGAAGAUGACGAAUGAAAACAUCUAUUGAUGGAUGUUGCCAUGAUAAGGAUGAAGAAUAAUAGCAUCUACUAAAGGAUGAUAUGUGAUUAAGCAUCUAUUGAUGGAUUCUAUGUGAUUAGACAUCUAUUGAUGGAUGUCAUUGACAACAUUUACUGAUGGAUGCUGAUGAAGAUGAGAAAGAUUAACAUCUACUAAUGGGUGCUAAUGAGAAAGAUUCGCAUCUACUGAUGGAUGCUAGAAGAUUCAGAGAUAGCAUCUACUGGCGAAUGCUAUAAUAUCAGGAUUUUUUUUAUUUUUAUGCUUGUUUGAAUUUCGUUUAUUUUGUUUUUAAUAAGCUAUGUACUUGGUUGAAAGAAUAACUCUACAAUAGUUUAUGAACUAUUUUGUGAUGAGUAAUAUUGUCUUUUGUUGCUCUAUGGUUUUAAAAUGCAUGGUUGAGUUAAUGAUUGAAUUAGCUAUUAAGCACAAAUAGUGGUUGCUCAUAAUUGUUUAAAACAGAUGCAUGGUUUCAAUUGUGAUUGAUAUGCUUGGCAAGAUAUAUAUUAAAUUGUGGAACUUGAGUUAACCUGUGAGAGGUUGGGCUCCAGAGUUUUAUUGUUGAAUGCUAUUGCUUUGGAAUCAUAGUUGAUUAUGCCUAAGUUUUUCUGUUGAACUAUUUGCUUGGAUGUGUCAUAUGAUCAAGGCCAUUUGUUCUUCUGCCAUAUAAGCCAAUGCAAUUUUUGAACCCAACAAAAGAACAAUGUUUGUUCUAUCCUUUGAACCUUAAGCCUAAAUUUGUGAAAAAACCCUUUUUGAAAUCUUUACCUUGAGUUGAGUUGAGUAGAUUUGUAUGGUAUGGAGAAAGGUUCAAGUUUGGGGUUGUUGAUGAAAUUUGAAGAAGAAUUGUGAAAAUAACAAUAAAAAGAGCAUUGAGCUAAGUGUUGAACAAAAUUGAAAAAGAAAAGAAAUGAAGAAAAAAAAGGAAAAGCUCAAUGAAUGAAAAGUUGGGAGUAAGAUGAGAAUGGUUUCUCAAAUAUAAAGGAGAAAGAGAGAUUAUGGUUAAUGUGAAAGGAUUUUUUUUACUCUCUUAACUCAAGGAAUUUUGUUGUCCAGAAAAACCAAUUUUCAGCCCAACCACGUUACAAGCCUUAGAAAGUCCUUAUGAUGAUAACUUGCUUGGGAAUGUGUUUUAAUGUGUUUAAAUGAAUGGAAAAUUUGAUCUAUGUGACAUUGUGAUAAUAGAGUGAAAGAGACACUGACACCUCACUAUACACCUUUGAGUUUGAGUGAAACACUUUUGAGUGCUUAAGUGAAAUACUUUUGAGUGCUUGAGUGAAAUACUAUCUUUGGUGAGGAAUGGUUCCAUGUAUUACAAGUUAACAUUCUGCUUGGUUGUUGAUCACUCAUCUUUUUGCAUAUGUUGUGUAUUCAUUGUUAUGUAGGCACCAUAAUUGAAGCUUAAUUGGCUAAGACAUCAUUAUUUCUUGACUUAUCUUUCUAUGAUGAGCAUACAUGAGUGAUUUACUUGUCUUAGAGAAAAAUGCUUUCUAAUGUACUAGACCAUUGUAGUAUAUAUAUUUUAUGUAAGCCAAGUUACAUUUUGCUUGAGCGCAAGCAAAGUUUCAAGUUUGGGGUUGUGAUAACGGUUGAAUAUACUAUUAUCAGUGAUUCAAUUUUGAUACUAAAUGCACCCUUCUUGACUUAGAAACUUGCUUUAACUCAUGUUUUUGCUUUAAUUUUUUGAAUAAGAGAAUUGAGGUUAUACUUAAUGAUUUUAUUACUAAAUUCCCUUAACUUUGUAGGUUAAUAGAGUGAUUUGGAAGAGGAGUCAAAGUAUGAAGGAGUCGAAACUCAAGGAGCGAGCAUAACUACAGAAAAAGAGAAAAAAAUAUGCAGUGCUGAAAAAGUUGUCCAAGCUGAGCACCCCUUUUAGGGGGGUUGAGUGCCAGAAGUUGCUGUCCAAAGCUUGGGCGCUCUUUUAGGAGCGCUAAGCACCAGAAUUUGCACCACAGCACGCCUGGGUGCCCUGAGCGCCAGUACUCGCUAUUUCACGCCUGGGCACUAAGCAUCGACGACGUGGGCUUGGACUUGUUUUCUGUUAUUUUUAUGAUCUAUUUAAAACCCAAAUGUCCUAAGGUUUGUAUCUUUUGAUGGUUUGAGCACAAAAACACGUUUUUCACCCCUUUAGGGACAAAUUUGGGGAUGUGACAACUCUCCUCUUCUCUUUCUAGGAUUUUUCUAUUUCUUCCAUUCCAUUGUACACCUAUUUUCUUCAUGAUGAUGGAGAACUAAUCUCAUUUGUUAUUGGGAAAGAUGUAACCUCUAACUCUCUUGUAUUUGAAUUGAUUCUUGUUAUUAAUAUAUGCUUCUUUCAUUAAUUGUUAGGGCAAUUCUUCUUCGCUCAAUACUUGCUUUGUUUAACUCAUUCAUUAGCAUGAUGUAUGAUUUGCAUGAGUAUCGAAAGGUAUCUUACAAUUCAGGUUUUUGAGAAUUAUUCCCAGAAGCAGUAUUGCUCAAGAAUGGGGGUAUGAGUUCUGGUUGUAUUAAGCUACUAAUCGUAAUGCAUAAUUAAUUGUUAGGGAUGCAAGGAAUUGAGACCUACUAAUUAAGGAUAGGUUUUCUUUGCCGAAGAAUUGGGUUUUAAGUACUUUAGAUAGUGACAUUGACAUUAAUGAAGAAGAUGAAUUCGUACAUGCACGAAAGUAAUUAAGUGAAAUCUAAACUCCAACAACCUAUUCAUUCCAUAUUAUCAACUUCAUCCAUUCAUUCUAGUGUUUAGUUUCAAUUAUUCAAAUUGCAUUCAUGUUUAUUUUUCUGCACUUUACAUUCAAAACUCCCAAAAUAUUGCUUUCAAUCUUAAUUAGUUAAGCAAAAGCACAACUGUUUAGUGCCAUGAGUUUCUUGGGAAACGAUACUUGGUCUUACAAUUUUAUAUUACUUGAUACGAUUUGUUAUACUUGCCAAUUCAUUGACAAGUUUUUGACUCCGUUAUCAAGAAUUAAAAAUUUUGUUUAACAAUGAGAAAGUUAUUUUUGGAUGUAAAUUACUUUUGAAUGAAGGACAUAAAUAAAUAAGUUGUUUAAAAAAAUAUACACAUAUGUUGUGGUGGUGCUUUUAGAUUUUAAGAAUUUAAAGUAAUGUAGGUUAUGCAAUCUAGCUCAUGGUUGGCCCCCACAUAUUACUAAAUAUGCGAAACAAGCAAGCAAAUUAAAAUACUCCGCUCAUAUGCAUUCUGAUUGGCCCGUGUGGCCAAUCCGAAUUAUCUCUAUCAUUGAAGAAAGAAAUGGCUUUUGCUGCAUAGUAACACAAGGUUUGAAGCAAUUUUUUUUUCUUCAAUACAUCUACAAGAUCAUAAAUCUUAAAAUCUCCUUAGUGGAAGAAAUCAUUCCGCUUUUGCACCGACCUACCAAUGACAGUUAAAUAUGUUAACAUAAUUAUAAUUACAUGGGUGGGUGGUUAUUAUCAUGUUGCAUACUUUUGAUGAAUCUCACCAUUUCCUGUAUGAUCACAUAAAAAAAUGUUUCAUUUCGUCGGAAUGUCAGAUUGUUAAAACUUUUUUUUUUCAGUGGGAAAUUAUUACAUUUGUUCACAACUGUGAUGAAUUUAAAUUACUCAUUGGGAAUUGAGAAAGUUGAAGAAACUGUUAUAGAUUUGUCAAUAACUUAUUUUAAUUAUAUUUCUCUCAUAUCGAGUCUCUUUAUAUAAAGAUUUUUAAUUAUUGAUAUAUCUUUCACAGUAAUGGGAUACUGUUUUGUGUUUUGUAUUAUGUAUGAUGUUAAUGAGAUACUCUCGUAAUAUACUCUUAGAAUACCCACAUACAUAGAGGCAAACUUAGCCCCUCACACUCCUUGUUCUCUAUUUUUCUCCUUCACGCUACACACUUCGUAGCUCUCUCUUACAACUAUGUGGUUUUCACUACUUCUUCACAGUAUGUGUUUUCCUUUAAGAUUUCUUAGUUUAUUUUACAAUUUAUUGGUAUCUGAAGGGCUGGGUAGUUGAAUGGGAGAUGUACUAACAACCAUCAUAGAAUAAAUUAGACGUUUAAUAAUUGAUUAGUUUAUUAAGUAGGUGGAACGUUGCCUCGUGUAAGAAUAUUUAGAAGGACUAACUAGUCUUGUAAAAAAUAAUAAAAUAAUCUGAAUAAUGUUUAAGUAAGACAACAUGUUUUAUUAUAACCAAAUACUCAUUCAUUCAAAACUCUGAGCUGCAUUAUUAUUUGGUAUAUAUUUUGAAGUGAAGGAAGUGAAUUGAGGAGAAAGAAUAGUGAAGUAUUGUCAAUCAUCCAUUCUCAGUGCUCUCUUUCAAGCUUUCUUCCGAGUCUCUGCCUGCUUUCUUUAGUUUCCCUCAUAGUCUGCUCAGGUAAACAAACACUCAUCCAAACUUCACACUUUCUACUUCAAGUUCAGCUUUAUCACUCUGUUGCUAUUUCUUGUUCUAAGAGAAGCACAUUAGACACCAACUAUGUUUCGUUUAUCUAUAAUAGGAAACGUUUUCGUUUGAAAUUUUACGCUCGGUCAACUUUCCUCAUAUUUCGACAUACAGUUUACAAAUUCAUUAAUUCUACAAGUUAAUAAAAAAAAAAAAUUGAAUUCCUUUUAGGUUUUGAUUUAGGUUUGUAUAGUUUUUUGCUUCUUAUCACUUUUACAAAAUUUUAAAUAAAUCUUCCAGGGAUUAUAAAAUAUGUAUUUUGUUUUUAGUUUUUGCAACAUAUUUUGUUUACACUGUAUGUUUUUAAAAUAACAAAAAUAAAAAAACAAAAUUAACCUCCCUUUCAAAAUUAUAGUGUGAGGUCUCUAACAUAUCCUCCAUGUGAAAAUUGAGAUUAAAAUUUUAUCGUGAAAGGGGAGCAAGUUCCUUCAUUAUUUUUACUUAUAGAGAAGGGAACAUGACAAGCGCAUCAUCUUGGUUAAGCAUGUGAAUAUAAUUGAAAUAAUUAUGUUUUUCAUCCUUUUUUUCAUCUUAUCUCAAAUAAUUGUAAUCUAAUUUUUUUACUUCAUAAGCAAAUAUUAUAUACUUAAUUUCUUCUUUUUAGUAUCAGACUUAUAAUGGUAAUUUUUGAAGGCUACAAAUCUUUUUAAACAAGUUGAAUAUGAUGACCCUAAAAGAUAUUAGCAUAAAAAUGAGAACCCUAUUAGAUUAAUUAUUAACAUAAGCAUUUGCUAUAAAUAGAUCAAGUGCAUAGCUCAACGAAAACAUUAUUUUCCCCUCAAUUCAGUACAACACAGGUGAAACCUCUCAAUGAUCACACGCACCGCCGAAGCGUUUUCAAAGAAAAGGGCUUGAAAUAUAUCAUUUAACUCAUUCGAAGAAGCUGGUGUGGAUCAGUUUCUCGUAUACUCUCAGAAACUCUCUUGCAGUGUUUCUCGGUGUUACGAUUUGGAAUAGUGACAAGCACAAGGAAAUCACAACUUAAGAUCAUCUAAUUCGAAUAACAGAGGUGCGUUUUGUAGCUUAUAUAAAUAUUGAUCUUAAAAAGUCUAGUAUACUUUGUGUAGAGACUUUAAGUUUAUGGAUAUUUUUAACUUUACUUUAGUCAAUUAAUCUUCCUUUUUGUCUUUUGUUAUUGUCUUUCACGAUAUAGAUGAGUAUUAUGUCUACAUAAUAUUCUCCUACAUUUAAGUAUGUUGAGUUAAUGUUAUAAUAAUGAACAUAAAUUAUUUACUUCUAUUUACUUCUAUUAUUGUAUUAUUUGAAGGAUAGUUAUGACUUAUUCAGUCAUCACUUAUAUGGGUCUAGAUGGACCCUAGUAGCCAAUUUACUUCAUGAGUUAAUUGUUUAAUCUAGAUUCUAUUAAGUUAUAUAUAGAGUAAUAUGUUAUUAGUUUUUUUAGCCCCAUUGAUAGUCAGACGGAACUACUUAUGGCCAGGUCUUGGUGGUUAUAUAAGUCUGUUUGUAUUUGGGUAGAGACAGUCAAUCGUUGUUUUUACAACUCUGACUUGUGGUGAGGUAGAAAUAGUAACUUACAAGGUCAAUUUAUGACCGAGUAAAACCAGACAGACAGGUCAACUUGUAGCCGAGUAGAAGCAUUCAAACAGACUGACUUGUUGCUUAUAAAGGCAAUAAGCAAGAUUGAUGUGUGGUCGAGUAGAGGCAUUCAGAAAGACCGACUUGUGGAAGGGUAGAGAUAUUCAGAGAAACUAACUUAUGCUUAGGUAGAAGCAUUCAGACCGGGUAGUUAACAUUAGCCUGGGUAGGUGACACAUAGUUUUGGUAGAUGACACAUUGCUCUCGGUAGAGGGUGUGUAGUCCUUAUAGGCAGCACUUAGAUCUCGAUAGACAGCACCUCUCGGAAGACGACGAAUAGUCUUGGUAGGAAACACUUAGUUUUAGUUGUCGGCACUUGGUUUUAGUAGGCGACAAGUAAGCGAUACUUGACUUUAGUAGUCCACACCAGGUAGGUGGUAGGGAACUGUAUGGAAGGUUUAACCAGGACUGUCUAGGUAGGCAAUAGGGACUUAAGCCAUGAUAUUUUUUAUCAUUAUAGACUGAGAUGUUCCAAGCCGUGAUAUUUCUCUUUUCUUUUCUUUUUCUUUUUUUUUUUUGGAAUGAAUGAUUCACAAUGGGCUUUUUCAUUUCCAAACAAGUGUGUGUAUGCAUUUAUAAGAAUCGUUCAAAAAUCAAAUUCAUAGAAACAACAACUUCCUCACUUUCUCUUAAAACAUUUUCAUCACACUCAAAUAUUCAAUGCUCUAGGUCAAAAUCAAACAGGAUAAUGAAUGAAUCAUUUUACAACCACAACCAUAAAUCUUAACACUUAAAUUUGCAAUGAUUUCCUCAAGAUAUACAAGUUAUCUUGUAAUGGAUUCAAAUCUCUAAAUGCCAAAAGAAAAAUAAAGGCAUAAAAUCAAGGAUAACCAAAAAAAUUAAUUUAAACACUACCUGAAAAUGUUCUAAAAUAAGUUAAAGUGUGAAUAUAAAACCUAAAACAUAUUAAAAGAAACUAUAACAACAAAAACAACAAGAAAGAAACCCUCAAACAAAUGGCUAGGGUCUCCAUGCCGUGUUAGGGCUCUCCUAUCCUCCCUAAUAUUCUUCAGCAUCCACUCCUUCUAUGCCAUCAUCAUCACGAAAGACAUUGAAGCUUCCCUCCCCCCACUAAGAGUCAGGCCUGUACUUAGGCCAAUGAACAUGUGCCUCAAACUAUGUGCCCAUCUUAAGAGAAUCCUCGAGGAAAUCAAGGACACUAAGAGAUAGAUAAUACAUACAGUCCAUGAGGGAAACCUAGCAUUGCCAGAUCACAUGGUAGCCUCAAAUGCAUCAAGGGAUUCACGUGUAAUCUUGGUCAUGAUGUUUUUGAGGCUCCAGUCCUCCUUGUGUGAACAUCCCCCUGCAUACACUUAGACACAACUAGGCUAAAAUCACAAAUUAGCCCAAGUGAAAGUGAAAAUCUAUUUACAAAAAAAGAGUUAGUUCUAUAUGCAAAAUCAACUCUACAUAUGUUAGAAACCUCACAAAAGUCUAGUAUUGACACGAGUCCCUAGUAACGGUGCCAAAAACUCGUUGGAUUGUUUGACAUGUGCAUCGAAUCGUCUCAAGUAAUAAACCAUGGUAAGACCAGGUAUCGUUUUCUCAAGAGACUCGUAUUACUAGAGAAUGGUGCGACUAACAACUCAUAUAGACUCAAUAGAACUACAUUCAUUUACAAGCAUGUGCAGAAAGAUAAAUUUACACAUAAUUACAUGGUUGGACUUUGGUAUUGAAGGCACAUAGAUAUGGCAUAGACUAUAAAUAAUAUGAAAUGACAUUUUUAAGGUUAGUUUUCUCCUAUUUCACUCUUGUGCUUACCAAAUUUCAUCUAACAAGCAAACCUGCAUUAAAGAGCUAGGAUCUUAAGACAUCAUGUGAAUCAUCUUCCAUCCUUAGAAUCAAUGACCACAAAGACUUUUGUUUUAGUUCUAGGUUUCAUCUUACGUCUCCAUAAUCCAUGAAACCCCAAAAUAAAGUGAUGAACAUUCCUAUUACAUGCAAGCUUUAAGAUUGGAAACAAGAAUAAUAGAAUUUGAUAGAAAAGGAAUAUAUAAAUACGAAUCAAUAACGCAUUACACAAGAAUUCAUUGGCUUUAUCGAUGGCCUAUCGACGGUUAAAAAGCCCUCGGUAAUUUGCUUGUCGCUAAAUUUUGUCCUUCGGUAAUUACCGAGGGCCAUAAGCCUUGAUAAUUACCGAGGGCUAUAAGCCGUCGGUAAUUACCGAGGGUCAUAAGCCUUCGGUAAUUACCGAGGGUCAAAAGCCUUCGAUAAUUUCUGAAGGGCGGAAGCCCUCGAAAAUUUCCGAAGGGCGGAAGCCUUCGGUAAAGCCUUCGGUAACAGUACGAAAAAAAAAAGUCAUAUUUGUUUUUGUUAUCCAACCACAAAUACCUGCAUAACAAAGUUCACAACAACACAGAUAGACCUGCAUACAACUUUCAAACCACAGACAGAGCUGCCUUUUGUGCAUCUGAAAACCAUCCAAUAUUAUCAUUGAUGAAAAAAGAUAAUGUACUAAAAUGAUCUGUAAAGUUCAAUAUGAAAUGUGAAACAUAAAACAAUAUCAUCUAUUUCUAAGCAAAGAUAAUGUACUAAAAUCAUGAUGUACUAAAAUUCAAAUGUACUAAAAUUCAAAUGGACUAACAUUAGUACUUUCUAACACCUAUGAUCAAUAACAAAAUAAAACUAAAAUACUACAUAGUCUUCAGAAUCAUCUUCAUCGUCCUGUUGAUCCUCUAUAGAUGGCUGGACUGGUGUGGGCUGGACUGAUGUGGGCUGGAUUGAUGUGGGCUGCUGAGGGACGGCGGGUGACAGGAAGGGUCGUGACUGGGUUGGAGGGACGGUCGAAGGAGUGUCUGAAGUUUGAGGCAGCGCUCUCAUGACCAGGGACUUGAAGUUUGUAAAUUCUUCUUUCAAUGCACAGUUUUCCUGGUCACGUUGCUCUAGUAGCUGUGUCAAGCGCUGGAUGGCCUCAUCAGCAGAAGGGGUGGAAGAAGAAGAAGAAGAAACAUCAACCUCCAAAGUGGCUUGUAGUGGCAUCUCAUGUUUUCUUGAGUUCCUUCCAAUCCUCAAACAUUUAUCACAACUUUUCGCAUGACCUUAAGCAUCCUUUAAAAUUAUCUCAUGCCACAAGGAUGUCAUUAUCAUCAUAUUCCUUUUUAAAGUGAGCAAAAAACCAAGCAUUUUGCAACCCAUCUNAGUUAAUUAUUUUUUGCCUCUAUGUAAACUUAUUACGAAACCCUUCCACUUUAAUAAACAACAAUGUUGUUGUUGCCACACAUUACAUACACUCCUUAUUCCUCUUUCUACCAUAUANAUUCUAAAUCAUGUUAGAAUACAACUACAAUUUUUAGAAGUUCCUUCUACUUUGACUACUCAUAAAAGUUCGCAACCCUUAAGUUCAAAAUACUUUUUUAAAGUCCUUUGAGAUGGAUUAGUUUAUGCACAUGCAAGAGAUUGUCAAUAAUGCUCUCUAUCGCCAUGUUGAACAACAAUAAGUAAACCAUAGUCUUGAUGAANAGUCUCCCAAUGAAGCCACUAAACAAUAAGCAAAAUUUCCUUGUGAGAGUAGCUUUGAUGUGGUAUCAAGGUCGAUCUCUCUCUAAGCUUAAGGUAAUUUGGCCUCAAGGUCGAGCUCUCUUUAAGCUUAAAGUAGUUAGGCCACAAAGUUAAGCUCUCUCUUAGCUUAAGGUAAUUUGGUCUCAGGGUCGAGCUCCUUGAUGGCUAUUGGGACCGAUCUAUUUGGAAAUGAUGAUCAUAUAGGUCGAGCUCCUUGAUGGCCAUUUAAGCUGAGCUCCUUGAUGACNAUUGAGGCCAAACUCUUUAGGCGAUGGCACCAUGGUGACUGAGUUCCAUGAUGGCUACAAAGGUCGAGCUCUUCAAGUAAGUUGGUUAUCUGACCGAGCUUUUUGAUGGCUAUAAGGCUGAGCUCUUUACCGUGAAGGUUGUUGGCUGAGCACCUUAAUGGCUACUUUGGACGAGCUUUUUAGACAAGUUGACCAUUUGACCAAGCUACUUUGAUGACCAUUAGGGUNGAGCUCUCUGGACAAGUUUUGGCCAAGCUCUAUGAUGGCUACAAAGCCAAGCUCUUUAUCAUGAAGACUGUCUAGUCGAGCUUCUUGAUGGCUAAUAUGGCCGAACUCUUCAAAUAGGUUAGCGGCGGCCAAGCUCUUUGAUGGCCAUUGGGGCUAAGCUCUCAAGACAGGUUGACCAUUCGACCAANCUCCUUGAUGGCUAUAUUUGGCCAAGCUUCCUUGAUGGCUAAUCUAGUCGAGCUCUUUAGAUCGGUUGGUCAUUCAGGCAUGCUCCUUGAUAAUUGUUGAGGUUGAGCUCUUUAGACGACGACCUUGUUCUUGAGGCUUUGUAAUUGAAUACCUGAUUUUUUAGCAGACCGAGUUCUUGUCACAAUUGUUGUAGUCAUUUUGUGGUUGGCCNUGAAACCCCUACCCUUGAUGUUCUUUUUAUUGGACUUGUAUUUUCUAUUGUUGGCCAUGCUUCCUUGUCGGGUUAUAUUAUUUGUUGGUUGUGUACUAUGUUACGUGAGGUUGAGCUCUAUUGUGUGCUAAUUAUGCUUUGAGGUCAGAUUGUGUUCUUUGGUGAUUGGGCUCUACUGCCGAGGUGUGUUCUCUAGUGGGUGGGCUUCAUUGUUGAAGUAUGAUUUAUGGUGGUCAGGCUCUACUAGUGGAUUUUGUUCUCUAGUUUGGAAGGAGCUCNAUUGGAAAAAGCUCAAACUAUAUAAGCUCAACUAGAAAAAGCUCGAACUAUAGGAGGUCGACCUAAGAAAGACCACCUAGACGAGGUUGGNGAGGAGAGCUCGGUUAAAGAAGCUCAGCUUGUUUAGCUUGGUUGAAAGAGCUCGCCCUAGAGGAGGUCGACCUUAGCGGGAUGGCUNGAAGGAGGUUAGCNAGGGGAANUCGACUUGUAAACGUCAACUGAAGGAGCUUGGCCUGAUGGAGGUCGGCUUGGCAUGAUAGAGGUCGGUAUGUAUGUGCAUACAGUACAAUAGCUUUGAAACUUUCACAAUUACGUAACCCUUUUACUGUCCAUGAGGGACUACCAUGUGAUAAUUCCAUAUUUCUCUGAAGAAUAAGUUUUUUGUGAGGUUUGGUUGCUUGAUGUGGUUCAAAGUGCGAAUUUGCGUUUCAUGGUUCAUUGUGUUUUUGGGUUUGCUAGCCUAGCANAAUGGUGGUUCUUCCUGGUUUGCUUCUUAUUUGUUGGAGAUAGGGUUUUGCGACUUGGGAUUUUGUGUUGUCUCACAGUGGACGAGGAUGGAACUUUAGUGGAUUCUGAUGACUCGUGAUUUAAACUAGUUUUUCUAUAGGUGAGGUUUGAAGCUGACAUGAUUUAGGGAUUUAAUGGGAGGGNNUUUUGGUUUUCACAUGGUGAAGCGCGACUUGGGAGAUAGUUCCGCAGAUGGUGGUUGAUGGAGGCAGAUCUGUGGGUUGUGGUCGUGAUAAACAAUGGUUGAUAGUAAUGAAAUUUUUUAAUUUGGGGUUGUUCGAAAGAACAAUGGUGAAGCGUGACUUGGCUGAUAGUUGUGCAGAUNACGUAGUUGCGUGAAUAGGUAGUGUGAUGAAGGAGGUGCACAUUGAUUUUUGUGUUGUGGUUGAUGAUGGACAUUACCGACGCAAUUCUAACAUGGUUAAAGAUGAAGUGGAUCAUGUUGUUCAUGAUGCNGUGGUGCUAUGGCCACCAGAGGUUGAAGGAUCAAAGGUUGAAUGAUAUGGAGCANAGGGUAGAUAAUGUAGAACAGGAAAUCAAGGGGUGGCCAUGGUUGAUGGUGGUGGGAUUGCACUCUCCAUGGAAGGACCUUGUGUGUGUUUUGUGAGGAAUAAGGGGAUGAUGCAUUCACGCUUCCAAUGUCACCAUUAUCAUCAAGCGGAAGGGCGAUGCUUUAGUUAGGAACUAUGUUUAAUUAUUAACACUUGUGCAUUUGUUUUAGUGAUGGAUAUGGUUGAGCCUGACAAGAUGGUUCCUCCUUAUUNAGGUUGGUCAGAGCUCCUCAAUCUUUAUGGUGUUGUAUGAGCAUUUUUUUAUGACAUAUAGUCGUUGUGUGUGGUGAUCAUGAGAAUGUGAGGUUNGGGAUAUGCUUUACUUGAGCUCUAUGGUAGAUGUCAAUGUUUUUACUUAGAUCUUGAGCGUAAACUCUGCAGAUAAGUGACAAGAUCCUAAUGAUCAUUUGAUCGUCCCUUUCGUUUAGAUAUGGUUUCCUCAUUUAUGAGAGGAGAAGAUGUUGUGGACAUAUAUUCUUAUUAUAAUAAUACUUAUCUAGGAGAAUAAUAACAAUCUAAUAAAUAAAAACAGAAAGAUAAAUAAUAANCAAUACGUCAAACUACUUAGAUUUAAUUAUAAUAUAAAAAUAUUAUAAAAACUUUGAGGUGCUUCAUAUUAAAGUGUCAUAUUGGAAUAUAUAUAUAUAUAUAUAUAUAUAUAUAUAUAUAUAUAUAUAUAUAUAUAUAUAUAUAUAUAUAUAUAUAUAUAUAUAUAUAUAUAUAUCAUGGAUGGAAAAUAAUUUAACACUUAUUCUUCAUAUCCAAAAAUAAAUUAUUAAUUAUUAAUUUUUUUCAAAUUCUAAUUAACUUUUUCAUUUAUUAAUUAUUAGCUUUAACUAUGUAAACUGAUUUGUCUUUUAACUACGUAGAAAGAAGUUUUUUUUUUUUUUAAGAGAAAGUGUUAGUUUUGAUAUCUUGGUGUAAAGUUUGGUGUAAAACAUGAAUNUUCGUAUUGUUCAUUAGAGUAACAACUUACUAGUCUCUUGCAUUUUCAAAGACGAAUUUAACCAUUUACUCUUGAAUGAUAGCAAUAUGUGCUAUGCAAUACAAAUUUUCUUGUAAGGUUGCAAUUAUAAAACAGAGGGUCCAAUGUAGUUUUUAAAGCAAAUACUAACAAUUGUCUUAGCUGGUAUUUAGCUUUCCUUUAUAGAGAAUAUAUAUAUAUAUAUAUAUAUAUAUAUAUAUAUAUAUAUAUAUAUAUAUAUAUAUAUAUAUAUAUAUAUAUAUAUAUAUUCACAUGCUUUUUUGUUUAUGUAAACUGUGCUUGCUUGGUUGAAUAUAUGCGAAUGUAUUUGUGAAUUUUAAUUAAUAAAAUAUCCUUUAUUUUUCUUUAUUCGUCACUAAACUAAUCUAUUUUCACUAUAUGUUUUGUUGGCAAAGAGUUGUAGUCGAGAAGGGUACAAGAAAAAAAGGUUGGAAGUAUGGAAAUUGUGUCGAAAAUAUUUGAUCCAGCAAUUGAGUUUGUGCGGGAUCAUGGUAUUAGGCAGGUGACUUACAUUUUUUGUUACACGAAAAAUUUUAAGGAACUACAGAAGAAAGUUAAGCGUCUAAGAGAAAUAAAAGAGAGGUUAGUUCGUCAACACGAUGAAGCUAAAAGAAAGGGUGACAUAGUUGAAGGUACGGUUGAAGAAUGGUUUGUGGAAGUGGGUGAAUUUGAGAGUAGUGUUGAAAACUACAGCAAAAAUGCAGGUCACAAGAAGACAAGGGGUCUCUAUUAUUUGUUUCCUUACUAUAGGCACAAACUGGGCAGACAAGCAAAGAAGAUGGAAAUAGAGGCUUUGAGGCUAANAGAUGAGUCCCCCAAGAUUGACGAAGUUUCCCAUGCAGAGAAAGUAACAUCUUUUGACCUCACUUCAUCUAAUUCUGGCUACAUUGAAUUUAAUAGUAGAAAAUCCAUUAUGGAAGACAUAAUGAAAAAACUUAAAGAUCCCAAUAUGAAAAUUAUUGGACUCCAUGGAUCACAAGGGAUGGGUAAGAGCACUUUAAUAAAAAAAAUUGCUAAUAAAGCUAAAUAUGAGGGGUUAUUUGAUAGGGUGGCUGAAAUAGAUGUAACUAUCAAUCUCAAUCCACUUAAUAUUCAGGAAGACAUUGCAUAUGUGCUAGGAUUGCAACUAACAGGGGAAAGUGAAAAUGUAAGAGCUGAUUAUCUAAGGAGAUGGUUAAAGAUAGAAAAUGUGAGCAUCCUUAUAAUCUUGGAUAACCUUCAUGAAAGAUUAGACUUGAAUAGGUUAGGGAUUCCGAUUGAUGAUGAUUAUGACUUAAGAAAGAAGAAUGAGUUAAGCAUAAGGUCAAGUAAAAAAGAUAAAGACGACAACACACAGGGUACCGACGAAAAAGUGCUAAAAAAAGCAAAUUUUCUUGCUGAUUAUAAGGGAUGCAAAGUUUUGCUUUCUUCACGUUAUAAGAAAGUAUUUCCUAAUGAGGUUGAUGUUGAGUCCAAUUUUUGUUUAAAGGAAUUAGAUGGCAAUGAUUCAUUGAAGCUAUUUGAGAAGGUGACUGGAGGAGGUAAUAAAAUGUCUAUGCCUAAAGAAGAAAUCCAAAACUAUUGUGCAGGGUUGCCCAUGAGAAUAGUUACAUUUGCAAUGGCAUUUAAAAACUGGAGUGAGUCAGAAAGUGAACCUACACUGGAAAAAUUUAAAAAGCAAGGUCUGGUUAAAUGGAAGGAGUCUUCGGAGAUUCCUAAUAAAAUAAAAUAUGACCUUCCAGAAAAUAAGGAACACAAGUUCAUUUUCUUGCUUUGUGCUCAAAUGGGCCACCUACCCCUGGUUAACGACUUGGUGAAAUAUUGCUUUGGAUUAGGUAUACUUGAAGGGGUCUCUUCCCUUAGUGCAGCUCGGAAAAAAAUAAAUGAAGUGAUGCAAGAGUUGAAAAACUUGAGUUUGGUGUCAUACGAAAAUCCUAAUAUUCAUUUCAGUAUGCCUCAUAUGGUUCGAGAUGAUGCUAUAAGUAAUGCCCUCAUGGAUGACAAUGUUUUUGCUAUCAGAGAUGGAAAACUAGAUUAUUGGCCCAAUCUUGAAAAAUGCAUUUUUAUUUCUAUAUGCAAUAGUGACAUUACAUAUCGGUUUCCUCAAGUCAUAAAUUGUCCACAACUUAAAUUCUUGCAAAUAGAAACUAACAAUCCAUCUUUAAAAAUACCUGAGAGGUUUUUUAGCAACAUGAGAAACUUGUUAGUUUUAAUAUUGAGAGGUUUUCAUCUAUCAUGCUUACCUUAUUCAAUUGAAGACCUAUUGAACCUCAGAAUGCUUUGUUUGGAGCGGUGCACUUUGNNUUGCAAUUUAUCGGUAUUGAGAAAGUUCAAAGACCUAAGUAUUCUCAGUUUUUCUGGAUCUCAACUUAAAAAUUUGCCNGUUGAGUUACAAUACUCGGAUANGUUGCNAUUGCUAGACAUCANUGAUUGUUUUGAAUUGGAGAUUAUUCCACCUAAUCUUAUAUCUAAUUUGACAUGNUUGGAAGAGCUAUAUAUNGGAAAAAGCUUGAUGAAAAUGUUNGUGGAAAGAGAGGAAAGCAAAGGUCAAAAUGCAUUUCUUUCUGAGCUAANAAAUUUACAUGAGUUGAAAGUGGUGGACUUAAGCAUCCCGUGUGUUUCAAUUUUACCCAAUCACUUAUUCUUUGACAGGUUAAAAUAUUACAAGAUUGAAAUUGGGGACUUCGAAAUGUUUUCUAUUGGAGAAUUUAAAAUGCCCAAUAAGUAUGAAGAACUCAAAGUAUUUGCAUUGCAACUGAAGGACGACACUGAUAUCCACUCCCAUAAAGGCAUAAAAUUGUUAUUUAAAACAGCACAAAGUUUGUUGUUGGGAAAGGUAGGUGUUCAAAAUGUUGUUAACGAGUUGAAUAUAGACGGAUUUCAGGAUUUGAAACACUUAUCCAUCAUAAAUAACAAUGACAUCAAAUAUAUCAACUCAACAUGUUUGUCUAAUAGUGUGAACAUUUUUCCCAAUUUGGAAUCUCUAUGCCUCUACAAUAUGAUGAACUUAAAGAUGAUAUGUGGCAGUUCAAUUACACUUGAAUCAUUUGCCAAAUUAAAAACCAUCAAGGUUAAGAUGUGUUAUCAAUUGGAAAAUCUCUUCUCCUUCUAUGCAAUUAAAAUCUCUACUAGCACAAGAUCAAGUGAGAUUAAUGAAUGUAAUUCUUACAAGAAGAAAGUUUUGGCUAGUUUAGAAAUGAUUGAGGUUUGUGAAUGUGAAUCUUUGAAGGAGAUCCUUCAAAUACCGAUGGAUUGUGAUAAGGUUAAGUUUCUCAGAUUACACACUUUGACACUCCAAUCAUUGCCAUCACUCACUUCUUUUAAUACCAAAGUCAAGAGAUCUUGUUGGCCACAUUCGAUAGAUGCUCAAACUACAAAUAGGGAUCACACAGAAAUUUCUACUGAACAAGAUGGCCAUAGUGACAAUGCGCCUCCUCUUUUUGGUGAACUGGUAUGACAUUACAUAUUUUUCAUAUUUAUUUAAAUAAUUAGCUCAUUUGUUGUAAAAAUAUUAAUUGUGUAUGCGUUUCCAGGUUGAAGUUCCAAACUUACAGAACUUGAAUUUAUCCUCACUCAACAUCCCUAAGAUAUGGAGCGACCAACACUUGUCAAGUUUCUACUUUCAAAACUUGAUAAGGUUAGUUGUGAAAGAUUGUGAUAAAUUGACACAUCUAUGUUCAUUAUCUAUGGCUAGCAGUUUGAAGAGGUUGAAAAGCCUCGUCNUAAGUGGAUGUCGUAUUAUGGAAAAUAUUUUUGAGAUUGAAGGAAUUAGUGCAAACAAGGUAUGUAUUGGUAUAAAUACUUUUUUGUUUAUCUUUUAUUUAUCUGUAAUAAUUGUUUGUUUUCAUUAAACUGAAGGUUUGUGUCUUUCCUAAGCUGGAGGAAAUCCACCUUAGCAACAUGAAGAGGUUAACAAAUAUUUGGCAAACUGAAGUCAGUGUUGAUUCCUUUUGUAGUCUCAUUUCCGUAAGCAUCGAAGAAUGUAAUGAAUUGGACAAGAUUUUUCCAAGUCACAUGGAGGGAUGGUUUGAAAGUUUGAUUAACUUAAAAGUUUCUAAUUGUAAGUCCGUGAAAGAGAUUUUUGAAGUUACUGAUUAUGAAGAAAUAGAUGAAUAUGGUGGGAUAGACACAAAUUUGCAGGUUAUUCUUCUUGAAGACCUCCCGAAAUUGAAGGAAUUGUGGAGCAAAGAUCCACACGGAAUUCUCAAUUUUAAAAACCUUCGGACUAUAGAUGUAAGUAAUUGUGAAGAACUGAGGAAUUUGUUUCCAGCUUCUAUGGCAAAAGAUGUAUCAAAGCUUGAACGUAUGUCAAUAUUGCAUUGUGAGAGGAUGGUGGAAAUUGUUUCAAGUAAAGAUGCAUCAGAAGCUAACAAUGAUCCAUUAGAGUUUCCUGAACUAAGCUAUGUGAGAUUAUAUGAGCUUCAAAACAUCAGGCAAUUCUACAAGGGGAGACAUCCAAUAAAGUGUCCAAAGUUGAAGGAAUUAAGCAUAGGGAAGUGUAUGAAGCUUAAAACAUUUUCACAAGAAACAAGUGAUGAAAAGUUUGUUUUCUCAGCUGAAGUGGUAAGCAUUAUUCCAACUUUAUCAGAGUAAAGUUUAAUCAAAUUAUAUGCCUUAUAAAGAAUAAAAGAAAUAUAAUUAAAAAUAUGUAAAAGAAUUGGAAAAAUGAGAACCAAAAUAAAAUUAACGAUUGUGUAAAGUUGAGAAAAAUAAAAGUAAAUUAAAUCAAAAAUUGAGUUUUAGGAUUAUUUAGUUUUAAAAAGAAAUAAAGGAUUGCAAUUUUAUUUUUAUUGUUAAAUUUUAUUCAUAUUAUUAUUUUCAGUUUUAGUGCUAUUAUUGUAAUAAUAAAAAGUUUGUAGUUUGUAUAAAAAUGAUAAGUAAUUUUUAGUGAAGGCUUUAUGGUCAAAUCUAUAUAUUUACACAAGUGUUUUGUAUAGAAUAUUAUAUAUAUAUAUAUAUAUAUAUAUAUAUAUAUAUAUAUAUAUAUUAUUAGUUUUUAAUUAAUAUUAGUUGAAAUUCUGAAUGAUAAUAAAAAUUGUUUUAAGUAAAUAGCAUAGCUUCAAAGGAAACUAUAACAUUAUUAAAAACGAGGUUUAACUAAUAGUGUUUUAUUUUCCACAUACAGGAUCAAUGUUUGGGAUUUCUAAUCUCACAUUUUUCUUUAAAAAUCUUACAUUAAUACAUCCAUGACAUUAAUAUGAAGUUCUUUAAAGCAUGAUGUUCCUAUUUUAGCUCAUUAUUUACGUUUUUUAAAUUGACAAACAACCAAAGAAGAACAAAAACCAUACAUAAUAAUCAUAAACAGUUACAAAGCAAACAAAAAUGCCUAAAAUCAAAGAAAUUUGAAUGUAGGCAUUUAAUUCAUUCUUCUUACUAUUUAUUUUUAAUGUUUAGGUAUUUCCGAAGUUGGAGUAUAUGGAAAUUGACUUCCUGGAAGCCCAGAAUUUGUUAUCCAAGUACGAAAUGCACAAUUUAAAAGAGCUUAUUAUCUUGAGAGCAAUCGAGUGCCCAGAUCUUUUCUACCCCUUUCUCUACAAAAUGCCAAAUCUAGAAAAGUUAAAAUUGACUUUCGGAUAUUAUUCAUCGUAUUACAGAUUGCAAAGUAGAAACAUUGGGCAGCAUGACAGAUUGGGAGUCGUAUUACAGUUGAAGCAAUUGAUUAUUCGUUCCUCAGAUAUAAAUGAUAUAGGAUUUGACCGGGACCAAGUUCUACAGAGAUUGGAGCUUUUGAGCUUGAAAGAAUGCAACGAAUUGAAGACUUUAGCUCCUUCUUCUGUAUCGUUGAGUUACUUGACAUGUUUGAAAGUAAAAAAUUGUGAGGGAUUAAGGAAUUUAAUGGCAUCCUCCACGGCCAAAAGCAUGGUUCGACUUAAGACUAUGAAGGUAAUCAACUGUGAUAAGGUAAAGGAAAUAGUAAGCCAUGAGGAAAAUGAAGAAGACAAAGUGAUGAAAAUUGUAUUCAGCAAAUUGAUAUCUAUAGAACUUGUGGGGUUAAACAAACUCGUAAGCUUUUGCAGUUACAAGGACUGUGAAUUUGAAUUUCCAUCACUGGAAAUAUUGAUCGUAAGAGAGUGCCCAAAGAUGGAAAAAUUCAGUGAAAAAAGAGCAAUAGCACCAAAGUUGAAAGAUGUAUUUGGUGUGGAAGGAGAUGAAAAAGCCAAAUGGCAGUGGAGAGGUGACUUGAAUGCUACCAUACAGAAGGUUUUCAAUGAUAAGGUAAUUACUUUUUCCUUUAUUUAAUACUAUUUCUCCUAAUUUUAUGAAUUUUUCUUUUAAAGUGCAAAAGAAUAAAAAAUCAUGAUUGGAAUUUACAAAUACAUGUUUCUGCCAUAGAAGCUUUAAAUAGCAAGAAUGUUGAGUUUUGUUUUGGAUUACUUUUUUAAGUCCUUUUAUCUAUUUAUUUAAUUAGAUUUGGUUCUUUUAUUUUUAAAGAAUUUAAUAUAAUAUAAUAUUAAUUUUCUGAAAAAGCAUUCAAUGUUGUAAAUUUCCAUUUAAACAAAAAUACACCCUGAACAACUAACAACGAACGUGUAUUUUCACAGAUACUAAGUGAUUUUCACACAUGACAGCUACAAAUUUUCAUUAUAAUUAAUUAAUAGAUUUUAUAUAUUGAAAUUUAUGUUUUUAAAAUAAAAUUAACACAAUAUGACACGGUAAUUUGUUAGUUAUUUUAAAUUUAUAAUAAUUAAAAAUAAUUGUAAUAUAACACUUUUAAUAACUUUACUUAUAUAUAUAUAUAUAUAUAUAUAUAUUUAUUUAUUUAUUUAUCACUAUGAGUAUUUUAAAUUAAUAAACUUAUUUUCGGAUAUAUAAGUAUUUUAAUAAAUUUAUAGUAUUACAUUAUACUUGUCUAUAAAAAAGAAAUAGUAUUACUAUUUAUUUUAUUUUAUAUCAAUAGUUUUGUUAGAGUAAUGACUAUAUUAAAUUUAAUAAAUAUCAAAAAAAUAUUUACAUAGUAAUUUGAUAAUUUUAAUUUAUACACCAUUUUUACUGUUAUUAGUACUUAUAAAUAUAUUAUAAAUGAAAAAAUAUAUAUUUAGUUAUUUUAAAGUUAUAAUUUUAAAAUUAAAAAAUACUGAAUUAUUGAAGUGAGAAUUAUAGUAAAAGCUUGUAAAUUUGUUUUUUGUUUAACUUUUUGGGGGAUAAAAAAAGUAUGAUUAUAGUAAAAGGUAGAGAAGUAAUUUAAUAAUUUGUCUGAUUUACAGGUCAGUUUCGCAUAUACUGAAGAACUGUGGUGGCUUGAUUAUAAUAUUAUAAAGCAACUAUGGAAUAACACUCAUUGGGGGCAGCAAAAUAACUUUGGGUAUUUGAAAAGGUUGAGCUUAUCGGGAUGUGAUACUCUAACGCGUAUAAUUCCAUAUCAUUUGCUUUCUUGCUUUCACAAUUUGGAAGAGUUAUAUGUAUUCAGUUGCAGUAAUGCAGAGGUGAUAUUUAAUAUGAAUGGUGAGAACAGGGUGAUGACAAAAUCUUCCGGAAUAUUCCGUCUGAAAAUAUUGUCUUUAAGUUUCCUACCAGCACUGGAGCAGGUAUGGGACAAGGAUCCGGAGGGAGUCAUAGGCCUUCAACUGCUAAGGGAAAUGCGUGUUGAAGAUUGUAAGAGUCUUAAAAGUUUGUUUCCAGCAUCGGUAGCCAAACAUCUUACGAGACUUGAUGUACUUAUAGUAACAGACUGUGAGGAAUUGGUAGAAAUCUUUGAGAAGGAUGAAAAGGAUGAGAAAGGAGAAGGAGCAACACAUGAGUCUGUGUUUCCUCGUCUCACCACAUUGACGCUGAAGCAAUUGCCACUCCUCAAAUACUCUAUACAAUGCUCCAAACAACAGGUAAUUCUCAAAACUUUGCCUUUAUGUGACAUUCAAAAGUUAUUUAAAUAACAGAGUCAGUACAUAUAUAAACAUAUAUAAGAACGACAAACAAAUACGCCCAUAGUUUUAUGCCUGCUGCACUCGGAAAAUUCACUCCCCAAAUUUGGAAAAGGUAUUCAACGGGGAAAUUUUCACUCAUGACAAUAUACCAUGAACUUGCUUUUCAAGUUUUGGCAUAAUCCAAGAUGCAAGAAGCAAGGAUCAUAACUUUUUUGAGCUGCUUGGGGAAUUUGCGAACUCAAUUUUAUGCUCUCUUACUCUUCUUCUUUCUCUCUCCACAAUCCUCUAAAAAUUAACAUUCUCUUAACAUUAAAGACUCUUUUCCAUUUGAAUUAAGUGAGACAAGAUGAACAGACAAAUUUUAGAUAUAAAAGUGGGAGUUCAACCCAACAAUAAUAACAUUUUUUAUUUAGCAUUGUGCUACAUCACCCAUUUUAAACCUCUUUAGUUUCUCUUUUAAUUCUUAUCAUCACACCUUGAAAUGAAAUUAUUCCUUCAAUUUCUUUCCAUAAUACGGUUACUAUUAAUUAAUCAAGAAAUUUCCUUUUUAUUCUGUACAAUCUGUUAGUAUCUAUAAUCCCAAUUUUGUAGGUCCCCGUUUUUAUUUUAUUUUAUUAUUAUGAUUUCUUAGUUUAUUUUUCUAUUUUCAUGUUGUAAUAAUUAUUAUGGUAAUCAUGAAAAGAUAUUCCCAAAAGUUAACAUUUCAAACAAAUUCCGAUGUGCGACAAAAACAAAUUUCUAAAUCUAACUUCUUUUGCAGGAGAGUAUAUCAAAUUUGCGUUUUAAAGAAAUACAAGAGUUAUGUCUUGGCUCACGGCCCAUCCCAAACUCCUGCUUCGGUCUCUUAGAUUCUUUGAUUGUGGAUGGGUGCAAGUUUUCAUCAGAUGUACUUCUACCAUUCACUUUACUUUCUUUCUUAGCUAAAUUGGAGUCGUUGGAAGUUAGAAAGUGUGAUUCUGUCAAAGUUAUUUUUGAUGUCAAAUGUACAACACAAGACAUGAUCACUUUUCCUCUAAAGAAAUUGACUUUAUCCCAGCUACCAGAUCUGAAGAAUGUUUGGAAUGAAGAUCCUCAUGGAAUUCUAAGCAUGCACCAUCUACAAGAACUACAUGUUAAGGAAUGUAAAGGCCUUAAAAGUAUGUUUCCAGCCUCAGGGGCCAAAGAAGUACUACUACCAUUCAAUUUACUUCCUUUCUUACCUAACUUGGUAACGUUGGAAGUUCGAAACUGCGAUGGUGUCAAAGCCAUUUUUGAUGUCAAAUGUACAACACAAGGCAGAGAUAUGACAUCUCAGCCUUUUUCUUUGAAGAAUUUGACUUUAUCGAAGCUGCCAAAGCUGAAAACUAUUUGGAAUAAUCCUCAUGGAAUUCUGAACAUGCGGCAUCUACGACAAGUACAUGUUGAGGAAUGUAAAUGCCUUAAAAGCGUGUUUCCGGCAUCAGUAGCCGAAGAUCUUUUGGAACUCGAAAGUCUAGUGGUAUUACACUGUGAGAGAUUGAUGACUAUUGUGGUAGAAGACAAUACAAAUGGAAGUCAAGAGUUUACGGUACCCUGUCCCUGUGUGAGAUCAGUGAAACUACGGGGCUUGCCCAAGUUCAAGUAUUUUUACUACUACUCUCUCACGUCUCACACUUACAAGUGUCUAGAAUCAAAUACCGAGAAUCAAGUCGAUACUGAGAAGGUACGUCCUACUAUUUUACCACUUCCUAUUGAUGCACAAUAUGUUAUCAGUUUCUUUAAUAGUUUACCGUUGUUCAAUAUGAAUAGUACAAAAUACUCUUUAAAAAUAUGUAACUUUCAAGUAUAAAUCUUCUAUCUUCUUUCCCUGUUAACCCCACUUUUGUUUUACAAAAGAACAUGUAUUUGUAUAGGAUAACCAUUGUAACAGAGUCUAUUUAUUUAUUGGGAAGUUUCAAUAAUUGAGUAGUUAAGUUCUUAAAAAGUAAAAAUGGAUAUUUAAAAUUAAAUUUGAAGGCAACUGCACAAGUAUCUCUCUUUCCUAAAAUUACAAAAGCUAAUUCGAAAACAUAGGUAAAAAAAGGAGUAGUGAUUAAUAUAUUAUAUUAUUAUAAUUUAUGAAAAAAAAAUAAUAUACGUAUUAGAUUAGUUAAAAUUAGUAUAUUAUAUUUUAAUAGAAAAUUAAACCGUAAUAUUUUAUUAAAACCAGUUAAAUAAUAAGGUUCAAAAAACAUGUAUAUGUAUAAAUAAGUAAAAGAAUACAAAUUAUGAUAGCAACAAAAUAAGAUGUGAGAUCAAUUCCAUAGAUUAUUAGAGACAAUAUUGUACUUUAUCAUCAUUAAAACAAAAUAAUGGUGCUUCAACCUUAUAAACAAUCUUCUACUAUCAUAGGUAAUAUGUCACUGAUUACCUAUCAAGCAUCUUUCAACAUAAUUUCCCUAACUUGCUUUUUCUUGUGUGUGUGUGUUUUUGUUAUUACAGAGUCUGAUACUUGCCAAAUAUGAAAUGGAGAAGAUUUCCGGUGAAGAAUUUCACAGAAAGCUCUUAAACAACUUAAAAGUUCUUACUCUCUCUUUUGGAUGGGAUGUACUUCAAUAUAAAAUUCUAGAACAGGUUCCCAAUAUUGAGAAGCUUGUGGUGUGUUAUGGUUCUUUCAAAGAGAUGUUUUGUCUUGAAAGUCCUAAUAAUGUGAAUUAUAGUGGACUUCUAUUACAACUGAAAACAUUACGAUUGGAGUCCCUUGAAGAGUUGGUUUCCAUUGGGUUAGAAAAAUCUUGGACUGAAUCCUUUGUCAAAAAUCUAGAAACUUUUGAAGUCAUUAGUUGCUCAAAAUUGAAAAACGUGGUAGAAAGCAAAGUGUUUCUCUCCAAUUUGACAUAUUUGAAACUUGAAAGUUGUAAUAGCUUGCAAUAUUUGUUCACAUCCUCAACGGCCAAAACUUUGGGUCACCUUAAAGCAAUGGAGAUAGAUAGUUGUUACUCAAUUGAAGAGAUAGUGUUUAAGGAGGACGGGGAGAAAUCAGAUGAGGAGGAGAUAAUAUUUCCGAAACUCAUUCGUUUGAAUCUUUACUAUUUACGGAAACUCCAAUUGUUCUAUAGAGGGAGAUUAUGUUUCCCAUCAUUAGAGGAAUUGUUAGUACCAGGUUGCACCGAAAUGGAAACUUUCUGUAUUGGUACGAUAACAGCAUGCAAGUUGUCUCAAGUUAAACUUGGACGAUAUUCACAAGCUAUUCCUAUAGAAGAUGAUCUCAACCAGACUAUGCGGAAGGAAUUUCUAAAAGAGGUAUAUGUUUAAAUUUAAUAUUCUUAAUUCAACAUGGUUAUGAUUCUUUUCGUUACAAUACCCAACCUCAGUAUGAAUUGAAUUUAUACUCUGCCUUCCAAGAUAAGUAUGUUAAAUUAUUUUUAUUUUACUUUUUAACUAAAUAGUAUACAACCAAACUAUUCUUUCAUUACUACUUAUAUAAAAAAAUUAAAUAUAAGAAAAAUAUAAAAAUAUUUUCUUCAUAAACUAAAAUUAACUAACAUUAGUUGAAAAAGUAUAAUAAUUUCUUUUCUCCCCUGCUAAUAUUAAAUACGAUUCUUAAGAUAAAUAUUUUAAAAAAAUAAUAAUUUUAUCGUAAAAUUUUUUGACUGAAUAAUAAUAUAACUUUUACUUUUCUACUAGAUAAACUAUUGUUAACUCUUUUUCUAUACAUGCCUUGGUUGCACUUUAUCAAAACACAUUUUUCGAAAUUUUUAUGACUUAAAAUUCAAAUUAAUCAUCUACCAACACAUAGACGAAUCGUAACUUGACCUAUAAUAACUUUUAAAGUUUAUUAAAAUAAACUAUAUUUAUCAUCAAGUGGUGGGAAGCUGACUAUAGUUAUUCGAAAUACUAUUCUAAUGAUUUAUCAUCUUUAAUAAAAUAUACUUUCAUUUUAAAAUUUUAAAAUAUUUAAUCAAUCAUAUUGAAUCAAACUAUUUAUUACUUUAAUAGAUGAAGAGUAAAAUUAUAAAUAUUUAAACCACGAUACUUAUUUGUUAAUACAUUUUAAAAACUAUCAUUUCGUUAUGUAUAGUAUAGACAUAUAUCCAUGGCAUAUGUUGAAGCAUGCAAGAGGGUUUAGGACAUCUUGGCUGGAAAACUUUAGACAUAAUUGGAUAAUUCUUUUAAAAUAAUCAGAAAUUAUAAAUUUUUAAAUUCAUAAAAGUAACUUUUAUUUAUCUCUUAGGUCUCGAAGUCAAGUAUUGUAAAUUAGAAGACGUGAUUCGCUAGAAAGUUUGUAAUAAAAUAAUGGAUUUCACGUUUUUUCUAUUAUUUAUUCUUUUGCACUUGCAGACACUAGGGGAAACAAGGAUUGAUCUCAAAAAAAAAUCCAAGACUACUCAAGAUAUGGAACAACUCAAUGCAGAUCCCUCGUUUCAGUAAUCUGAUCAGAUUGACUGUGACUGACUGCGAGUUUUUAUCAGAUGCAGUGCUACCCUUCUAUUUCCUUUCUUCAUUACCCAAAUUGGAAACAUUGCAAGUUCGAAACUGUGGUUCUGUUAAAACCAUAUUUGAUGUCAACCCUACAACAGAAGAAGACAGAUUAAUUGUUUUUUCUCUGAAGAAAUUGGUUUUAUCGGAGCUGCCAAGGCUGGAAACUAUUUGGAAUAAAGAUCCUCGUGGAAUUCUAAGCAUGCGCCACUUAGAACAAGUGUUAGUUUAUAGCUGUAAACGCCUUAAAAGCGUGUUUCCGGCAUCAGUAGCCAAAGAUUUAGAGACACUUGAAACCUUUGAAGUCAUUAGAUGUAAGAGUUUAAAAAACUUGGUAGCGUGCACAGUGUCUUUCUCCAAUCUGACAUGUUUGAAAGUAAAAGGUUGUGAUGCCUUAUCAUAUUUGUUGACAUCCUCAGCAGCCAAGCGCUUGAGUCAACUCAAAAGAAUGGAGAUAAAGGAUUGUGAUUCAAUUGAAGAGAUAGUGUGUAAGGAAGAUGGGAAGGAAUCAGAUGAGGAUGAGAUAAUAUUUCCGCAGCUCACUUGUUUGGAUCUUUAUCUGCUACUGAAUCUCAAAAGGUUCUACAGAGGAAGUUUAGGUUUCCCAUGCUUGGAGGAACUGUCAGUAACAGAAUGCGAUCAAAUGAUAACUUUAUGUCAUGGAAGUAUAGAAGCAGCCAAGUUGUCUCAUGUUAAACUUGAUCAGGACUCAGAUGCUAUUCCAUUGGAAACUGAUCUCAACUCUACUAUGAGGAAGAAAUAUCUUACAAAGGUACGUGUUUAAUUUUAGGACACGUGUCAUCAUUUUAUUGGUCUAUUUGAAUUUAUGUUUAAAAAAUAUUUAAAACAAACCAAUCACAAGCUACCACGUAUGCAUUGUCAAAAAGUUGUUAAAAAAGUGUUGUUAAAAAAAGUUUUUCCUUAAUUUUAUUGUUUUUCAUUGAAUAUUUAUGAUACAUAUCUAAGUAUAUGAUGGAAAUUGUGUAUUGUAUUGGCUAGCAAGGAACUUUUUAAUCUUGGUACCUUAAUAUUCAUAUUUUAAGGCUCAAACUUAUUAGUAAGGAAGACAUAAAUAAAAUAACAUAUGUUUUCAAGUUAAAAAUUUUGCGGAAAAGUUUUAUUAAAUCAUUUUUAAUUAUAGGAAACUUAUUUAUUUAUCUCAAGUUAUUUUAAACACACUUGUUUUUUCUUUAAAUUUAAAGUAAGCAAGAUAUAUUGUACCUUACAAAUUUCCAUUUUUUUUAUAAAAUGCAACAAAAAUACAUUCAAAAAGCAAAUAAUUUAUAUGUUAACAAAAUUUAAAUUCUCUAUCAUUAAAUUAUAAUCAUUUUCAUAAUAAAUUACUUUAAAAAUCUUAUUUGACAAAAAUUAUGAUAAACUGAUGGUUUGAAACAUUGUUCCAAUAACCAUACAAAUUAAAUUAAAUUUAACUUAAUUAACGUACUCAUAGUAAAUCGUAAAUUUAUUAAUUAAAAUAACUUAUAAAUAUAAAGAAAUAGAACAGAAUCAAAUAUUUUUUAUAUGCCAUUUUAACAUUAAUUUAGUAUCUUUACUGAUAAUAUAUGUUUUUAAUUAAUUUUAAAUUUUUAUAACUUUUAUUUAUUAAUAAAUUGUUAUCAUUAUAUUUAUUUUAUUUUUCAUUGCUAUAUAUUUAUCAUAAAGAAUAUUUAUUAUUAAUCUUCUACUAUGUUUUAUUAUAUUUAUACAAAUUUACGAUAAUGUAAAAAUAACACAUUUUUAAACAGAUAUAUGAUAAUUAAAGUAAAUUAAAAAUAGAUAUAAAAUUAAUCAUCUGUAAUGCAUAAAUAAAUAAAAAUGAUAAAAAUUAAAUAAAUCUACUAUAAUCAAUAUUAUUGGAUUUUAAGUAUAACCUACAAAUUAUAAAAUGAAAAUUAUGAAGAAUAUAAAAAUAUAAUAAUAGUAAUAAUAAUAAUAAUAAUAAUAAUAAUAAUAAUAAUAAUAAUAGAAAAAAUAAUUUGUUAUCAUUGUCAUUAUCUUAUUUAGAAAUAUAUUAGAAACGUUAAUUUUUUGUUACUGUAAAAAAAAUAAAAAUAAUAAAUACUUUAUAUAAAAAUAAAAAGAAAACUUAAUAAUUGUUUUAAAAGAUAAAUAGAUAUAAAUAUAAAAGGUUAAAAACUAAAAUAAAAAAUGUCACUUCUAAUAACAUUUAAAAGUUCUACAAUUAAGUUGCUAAAUUUGUUUUUCUGGAUAUUAGUAAUAGAUUUAGAAAACAUUAGAAAAUAGUUUAAAAGUAAAAUCAAAGUAAAAUUAAGUGAAGAUGUAAUUUGCAUCCUUAUAUUUGAAUUUACUCUCAUUCAUCAAGCUUUUACUAUUAUGAAAGUUGAAUUUUUAAAUUAAUAUUUUUUUAUAUAUUCCUAAACUUCAUAAAAACAAAUUAGAAAAAUUAACAAAAUAAUAAUUUGAAAAGCUAUAGAACUCAAUCAAAUCAAUGACAAAGUUAAUUAAAAAAUAGUUAGAGAUUUUGUUUAUAAUUAACUUCUAUAUUUAAAUUGCCAAAGGAAAUUAUAUUUUUUUUAAUCAAAGGAUGAGCGUAGAAACUAUUUUCAUUUUUAUGAGAAUUAAAUAGAACUUUAAAUGUACCUAAUAUUUUAGCAAUUCCCAAUGUCCCGAAAUAGAAUUGUGGAGGUAAAAUGUAGUAUGAAAAGAAAAAGUAUUAAAAUUGAUGCAUGUAUUUGUGAGUAAUUAGUUAUAAGUAAUGUUGGUUAUUUGUAUAGGAAAACUGUAAAGUCUGAAUUCUUGGUAAUUCUUAUACAAGAUUAAUUUAAUUUUUUUUUUUUUUUUCAUUUACAUGUGCUGAUUUCGAAAGAUUGUAUCAUCGGAAUCGAAAGAGAGUCUUGAAUUUAAAGAUAGGGCAGACCUACAAGAGAUAUGGUGUCUCUCACUGCAGAUACCCCACUUUUCUUUCACUUACUUGAAAACCUUGAUUGUGAAUAAAUGCAAAAUUUCAUCAGAUGAUGCAGUGCUACCUUUCACUUUACUUUCUUUGUUACCCAAAUUGGAAACAUUGGAAGUUCAAAACUGUGAUUCUGUCAAAACCAUAUUUGAUGUUAAAUGUACAACACAAACCUCAACCACUUUUCCUCUCAAGAAUUUAGUUUUACGGAAGCUGCCAAAUCUGGAAACAGUUUGUAAUGAAGUUACAGAGGCUAAUCCAGCUCUUUCAUCAGAAGGAACAAAUUCUAAUCUUACAUUCUCCUGUUUGACGUCAUUGACACUCUUGGAUUUGCCCAACUUCAAUGCAGCACCAACAUUUCAGGUUUGCGCUUCUUCUUUUUUCAAUAACAUAUACAUUCUCACACAUAUGCUUUUAUCAAAUAUAUAUAAUGCCUUAAAAAGUGCGUAAAUCUUGAUAAAUAAUCUCCUACCGACCUUCGAAAUAUUUUUCAUUAUUUUCUUCCUAUAGGAACCACUAUUCAUCUCUUUUAUCAAACUUUUCAUCUGAAAAUUAAUUUUAAAUCAAAAUGGUUGCUGCCUUAUGAGCAGCUACCUGGUCUCCCUAGUAAAUCCUUUUUUGUCUUUUAAAUGGUCUUGUUCACAUCUUUUAUUUUUAUUUAAUCUUGAAAUGUCAGUUUUUCACUAAUUAUCGGGAUUAUUUUGGUAUAAAAGUUCACCAUUUCAAUUUUAUACAGAGAGUUGAAUCUAUGACUUUGCUAACUGCUUUCACUUCGUUAUUGGUUCCUCUUUGUAGCUAAUUACACCGAACUUAGAAAAUCUGAAAGUGGGUGAAAAUGAAUUGAAGAUGGUUGUCGAUGGGAAAAUUCAGAGAAACCUUUUACACAAGUUAAAAGUCCUGGCUCUGUGCUUUGAUAAAAAGUUUGCUGAAUUUUCAGAGUAUGGAUUUCUACAACAGUUGCCAAAUGUGAUUAAGCUUGUGGUGUGUGACAGUUCCUUCAAAGUGAUUUUCUGCGAUGAAAGACCUAAUAAUAGUGAAAUUCUUUUACAAUUGAAAGAAUUACGCUUGGAGUCCCUUCAAGAGUUGGUUUCCAUUGGCUUAGAAAACUCAUGGACUGAACCCUUUGUCAGAAAUCUAGAAACCUUUGAAAUCAUUGAGUGUUCGAAUUUAAAAAACAUAGUAACAUGCAGAGUGUCUUUCUCGAAUCUGAUAUGUUUAAAAGUUGAAAAUUGCAAUAGCUUGUCAUAUUUGUUCACAUCUUCAACAGCAAAAAGUUUGGAUAAACUUCGAAGAAUGGAGAUAGAAAAGUGUGAAUCAAUGGAAGAAAUAAUAGCAAAGGAGGGGGAGGAAUCUGAUGAGAACGUAGAAAUAAAAUUUGAGCAGCUCCAAGAUUUGUCUCUUAAAAAAUUAGAUGAGCUAAGGUGCUUUUACGAGGGCAAUUUUACUUUAUACUUUCCAUCCUUGAAGGAAGUCCACGUCAUCCAGUGCAGCUCCAUGAAAAUUUUCAGUGCAUUCUACAAAAUAGAUAAUCCAACAAGGUGGCAUUAUUCAGAAUAUGAGAGACCCCGAAAGGAAACUGAUCUUAAUUCUGCUCUGCUCAGAAAUUCUGAAGAAGAGGUAUACAUGCUUUUACGUCUUAAUUUGGUAAAUAGAAUUAGGAGUAUAGGGCCCUGCGUAACAUUCUUCUUAAUUUCUCUUUAUCAACUGCUAUGAUUUAUCAUUUUCAUUAUAAAUACUGUACAUUUUCUUUGGGGAGAAUUUAUAAGAAAACCAUAAACAAAGCUAGUUAUUGGCGCUUUGAAUUGAGAACAUUGUUUUUAGCGUAAUGUGUUUUUGAGUUGCAUCAUGCUUAAAAGUAAGUUGUAUAUGGUCUUAUGCUUUAAAUAGGCUCCAGAUGCUUCUACUACAUCAAAUCCGUCAGAUACGGAAGAUAGUGGAUAUCGUACAAAUACUUCAGAUACGGAAGAUAGCGAAUAUGGUACAAAUACUUCAGAUACGGAAGAUAGCGGACCUGUCGUACAUCAAAUAUUAACUACUGCCAUUGCAAUUGUUAAUCUUUUUUAGGGUGAGUUUUACUGUCAUCUUCUCUAUGCCCAUGCAGGUGAUGAUUAAUGAGAAAGCACUUUUUCACAGCAUAACAUCAUGAUUACGUCUUAAUACCUAAGUAAUUUUGUAUUAGUGUCAUUUUAAGUUUUAUUCAUAUCUUUUUAAGUGAAUAUUUCUUUGUCAUAUUUUAGUUAUGAGACUAGUGAAUCGCUUGAAAUCGCUUUAAUGAAAGUAUAGUAAUUGUUUUUAUAAUUCGUCUAGGUUGAGUCUAUGUGGCAGACUCCAUUAUUGAAGUAAUUAAGAGGAGAUUGAAGGCAUAAAGAAUGGAUGAAGAGGAAUCUGUCUCGAUUUUAUUAUGUGUGAUUGUGUUUUAAAGAAAAUGAAAAAGAAAAGAAAAGUGUUAUUCUACCUAGUUGAACGUGUUUCUAUUUUAUUAGGUAUGACUGUGUUUUUUUUUAUAAAAAAAAAAAAUUCUGUGUUGUUCUACCCAAUUGAAGAUAAAAUACAUUAUUAUUUGUACUAUGUAAUGUGUGAGAUUAAAAGUGUGACAGUCAUGAAUAUUGAUUAAAGGUGAAGUGAGGAACUGUCACUAAAUAUUGAUUGUAAUUUCAUAUGUGAUUAUGCUGGUUAAAAAAAGCAAAGGUAUGCUAGUAUUCAUUUGCUAUUAAUUUUAUCUUCAUGUGAUCAUAAUUAAUGAUUUUAUCUAGUACUCAACUUUUAUCAUGCUUCACUUUUGAGUCCUCCGUUGUCACAUAGGUAAUGUAUAUGCAUAUUUGUUUACAAAAGAAAGUUUGAGGGUAGGAAGAUUUUGAAGAAAAUGUUUCAUACAACUUUUUAUCGGAAAGGGUUAUUUCGCUUAUGGAAGACAUGAAGUAAAGGGAUUAUAUAAACUACUUAAAAGAGUAAUUCCAAUAUAAAUAUUUUUGUACAUCAUUCUAAAUAAGAUUUUCUAGAAUUCUAUUUGGGUCUUUAUAAUAUUAGACUUUUAUCUUAUAAGCCUAAAACACAAAAUUAAUUUACAUUUCAACAAAUUUAUCAUCUUCAAGUACCCUAAAUCCUUAAUAUAUACACAUUUAUAAGAACAUUUUUACAACCUAAGAACAAAAUAUAAACACAACACAAAUACAAGCAAACAUAAGUUUGUACACACAUAAACACAAGCACACUCUAAAAUGCAAUAUAGUCAACCCUAGACUCAAAGAAACAAUAAUGUUCAAUAGGGAAUUCAAGCAAGUCAUUCAAAAAAAGUGUUAUCUGACAUCCAUCAAAAUUGUAUACGGCAGUCCCUUGGAAUCCAAUUAAAUACAAAAUCAUAACUAAUCAGCACUAAAUAACGAUUUUAGCAAGAUGUUAUAAUUGAUUUAGAAGCAGAACAUAUCAACUCUCAAGAUAUGCCAAAUAAUAUAUUAACAGAUAUUAGGCAAUAUUGUGUUAGUUAUAAUUCAGAUAUUAUUAUAAUUUGUGCAGAUUUGUGCUAUUGCUAUUCCUUUAAUAGAUGAAGAAUUAUAGGAUCCUUGUAUGUAUAUAUAUGAUACUCUACCCUUUGAAAUAAUACAUCAAAAUUAUUCUUUAAACCUUUUAAAAUAGUAUCAGAGUCAAACACUGAUAUCCUCUACAAUAUUGGAAUCAAUACUUCUUUUUUUCCAUUGAAUAUUUCUGAUGGCUUCUUCCUAUAAAAAUCAAUCGGAGAAACAUGAUUUGUGACCAAGUCAGGUAUAUCUGACUCUGCCCUUAAUUUUUCUGUUGUUACUAAGGGUAGUAAUUGGAUAAUUGAUUUAGGUGCUACUGAUCAUAUGACUUGUGAUCAUCAUAUAUUUACUAAUUUUUCCUCUAUUUGUUUCAAACCUGUUAUUAUUAAUGCCGAUGAGGUCUCAUCUCCUAUUGAAGGUAUAAGUAUUGUAUCUCUCUCACCCUCCUUAUCAAUUCCUUAUGUUUAAUUUGUUCCUACAUUAAACUGUAGUCUUAUCUCUGUCAGCAAGUUAACCAAAUCACUUUCUGGUAUUGCCUUGUUUUAGCCAACCCAUUGUCUUUUACAAAACAUUCAUUCCAAGGAGAAGAUUACUAGUGGUAGAGAGAGUGAAUAUUUGUAUUAUCUUGAAAAUGUCUCACAACAAAACCAUAAAAGAGGGUUGGCUUGUCUUGCGAAUGAUCACAUACAAGAUAAAAACAUAAAGGAAAUUUGGUUAUGGCAUAGACGGUUGGGACAUCCCUCUUUUGGUUAUUUAAAAAAAUUAUUUCCAUCACUAUUUCUUAAAUGCAAUAUUUCUGAUUUUUUUUUUGUGAAACUUGUGUUAUAGCAAAAAAUCAUCGUGUUGUGUUUCCUUUAAGCAAUAACAAAAUUGAUCUUCCUUUUUCAUUAAUUCACAAAGAUGUUUGGAGCCCUGCCCCACAAUCUACACAUAAUGGAAAAAAAUGGUUUAUCAGUUUUGUUGAUCAUUGUACUCGAGUAACCUGGGUAUAUUUGUUUACACAUAAAAGUGAUGUGGUUCGUUCCUUCUAUCAUUUGGUUGUCACACAAUUUAACACAUCUAUUAAGGUUAUUCGAUCAGAAAAUGGAAGAGAAUAUUUUAAGACUGAAUUAAUAGAGUUCAUGAACUCUAAAGACAUCUUGCAUCAAACUACAUAUGUCGUUAUUCACCAUAACAAAAUGUAGUGACUAAGAGGAAAAAUAUACAUAUAUUAGAGGUGACAAGAUCACUUUUGAUAGAUGGUAAUGUCCCAUCUCAUUUAUGGGGUGAGGUUGUGAGCUAUGUUGUUUAUUUUAUUAAUCGAACCCCUUCUAGUGUGCUUAACUUUUGAAGGCCUUUUGAUGUGUUGUCUGAUCAUUGUAUCCUUCCUCCCAUAGUUUAUUUAUCACCUCAUCUUUUUGGAUGUGUUAUAUAUGUUCACUUACACCCACAUCAACAUACAAAGCUUGAAGAACGAGCGAUCAAAUGUGUUUUAUUUGGGAAUGGAUUAACUCAAAAAGGUUAUCGUGCUUACCAUCCACCAUCAAAGAAAUUUUAUAUUUCUAUGGAUGCGACAUUUAAUGAGCAUGACAAUGAAAGUGAAGUGCAUAAUCAUGAUGUUAAAAUGCUUGAUUGUGAAGAUAAAUUAUUGUGUGAAGAUCAUUCUGCAGGAAGUGAGCCAAUCCUAAAUAUGGACACUUCUUUUCUUUGUCUUUUAAUCAUAACCAAUUGGCUUAAUCUUCUCCAAAGGUUCAACAUGACUCUUCAUAGGUACCUUCUGACCCUAUCUAUGAUAAUACUAAUUUAGAUGAAAUUGCUCAUUGAAUUGAUUCUUGACUGCGUGAGACCACUAGCACACCAAACAUUGAGUCUACUACUAUUAUAUAUUCUUCCACCUCGUUCUAACCGUGGUCAACCUCCAACUAUAUAUGAGGCAGACCUCCAAGCCAAAGUUAAACAUCUCGUUAGUAAAUAUGUGUCAUGAAAAACUGGAAAGAAAUAAGAGAGAUAUAGAACAAUUUCAAUUAGAACAAAAAUCAAAUGAAGUCUUCGAUGCAAGUUCAAGACAGAAUUCAUCACGCAGAAUGCACAACACACUGCAGUCGAAAUGAUUGGAAAGACCACGAGAAAAUCCAUAAAUGACCUCUAUCAGUGUAACUAUGACAAUUAAGCUUCAUCGGAGUUUAUCCAUAGCUCAUGAUAGUUUGCAUCAUUUAGAGAUCAAAAUCAACAAGGCACAUAACGGAGCAAUGAAAUUCCUUCAAAUAAUACACAUGAAACAAUCUAAUUUCUCUCCAAUUUUCAUGCUUACAUAUCACUUGAAUUUACAACUAUCAUCGAAAGGUACACAUUCAAGAAAUCAACAUGUUGUAAAAUCCAAAUCAACCCAUUACAAAGAUGCAACUACAAUAAAAACUAGUUACAAUUGAUUACCUUCUUUCCUAGCCUGACAAGCCUCAAGGCCAACUCUGUAGUAGUAUUUGCAGCAACAAUGACAUCUGCUGCCCUUCCUGUGAUAGGACCUUCCUGAAGUACAUGGAUGUGAGCUUCAGCAGAAAUAAAACCAUUUAUAUGACAAGCCAUAUCACAACACUAACCAAUCCAGCCAUCAACUUCCAAACAAUAACAAAAACCACAUACUAAAUUUUCCAAACACACAUCACAAAUUCAUCUUCUAAAAAUCUGACAUUUUCAAUAUAUCACCUUCCAACACUGCCUCAUCACUGUCUAGUGGAGAGAAAUGACAGACUAUAUUGUUUACUGAUAUACAUAUGGAAAAAGCAACUCUGAUGGCAACCCCUAAAUGGACUUCCCAUCCAAAGAAGCAUCGACUACACUAAAACUAUGAAAGGGAAGUUGAUUGAGAACUUAAUCUUUUCUUUCUAAAGUCUUAGCAUGUUUCUCUCUAACUAAAUACAUCUUACUUUGUUUUGUAGGUUAUUAAUAAGGCUUGGCAAACACUUAGAAGAAUUGCCAAGCAAAGGAGACAAGAGGAGACUUGUUCACGACCAACACUUCAUUUAGCAACAUGUUUCCUACAUGGAUACACCAGCUGCCAACACCUUUUCCACGUGCAAUAUACCUUGCAGCACCUUGCAGCACCUUUUCCAUGUUUACCACGUGGACAACAACUUCUUGAAGCUUAUGAUCCAUAUCUUCCACGUGCAAAAUUUCAAACUUCCAUUGUACACUUCUUUUCCAGCACAUUUGUAAUAAGUUCAUGGCUUGCAUUACACAACUCAUAGGCUCUCUUCAUCUAUAAAAGAGAAGCCAAAUCCUUUGUAAAUUCAACUUGAAUUGAAGUAAAGAAAUGCUGCCAAAUUUCAGCUUUUACUCUUAAGUUCACCUUUGUGCAUUGUUAUCUUGCACUUCCUCUAGCUCCUUUCCCUUUAGGAGAGCUCUCUGAGUUAGAAUUCACCAUUACACCAUAGCCAAUCUUUCACGGACCUUCAUCAAACACCUUGAGCACACUUCAUCCAUCAUCACUGUCUCAUUCAUCCGCUACAACUUCUGAUUACGUGAAGCUUCUCCAAGCAUGAAUCCAGUGGAGGCUUCCAUCAAGUGGUAUCCAGAGCCAACCGUUUCUCAUCCACGCAUCAAGAGCUAAGUGAUCUUCCUUCAUUCUAUCAAUUUCGCGUUGUUCUGUUCUAUGUGUUCUGUUUUCUCUGAAUUUUUCUUUUUCGUUUUCGUUUUGUGUUGAGUGGAUUGUGUUUCGUCCACUGUUCCAUAGCUUUUCUCCUUCAUUUUAAUCGGUGCAAUUCAUUCAUUUUGGUUCGAUUCCAGCUUUCUUUUAUGUUCCGUAUUGUUACUGUCAUGUGCAAAUGUGUUUGCAGUUUUAAUUCUGUCACAGUUUUUGCUUCUCUUCAGCGUUGAUUUUCGUUUUCUUUCGUUUUCAUUGAAUCUUGUGCGUUUGCUAAGCUAUAUGUUGAUCUAUAAAGCAAAGAUAGCAUGUCAGCUUUGAUCAUUUGAACUUCAAGGCACUGCACACUGUUUCACACUCAACACUCUACAGAAAAUGAAUUUUUCAGGUUUACUUUGGUGAAAUUUGUUUCAAUCCAGAUUUAUUGAUUUUAAUGCUUGAGACAAGUUUAAUUGAUGAUUUUCUACAUGUUUCAAGUAUUAACAAUCUGUAUUACACACUGAAUUCCAAAAAGAGUAGUUGAGUUGCUCAAAAUCUGGUUUCAAACACUGUGACUGUUUUUUUUAAUCAAAGCUUGCACCGUGCUUACCAUCCUUGCUGUGUUAUAGGUCAUUUAACAUCUGGUAGCUCAUAUUUUCCAGCUAGAUCUAGUUGCCUAGGGCCUUUCUUAACAGUUUCUUGAUCUAUCCAGCUUUGAAUCUGUUAUAUUCUUCAUUCCUGCUGUUGUUUUGUCCAUUUUUGAUGCAUAACUAGCAACUCAACAUGUGAUUUCGAGCUUGUGUCUGGUUCUGUGCAUUGUAUCUUUUUGAACAUGUUUAAUUGCACAUUUAAAACUUGUUUGCACUGUCCAAUUACUCUUUUCACAGCCAAGGUACCAUUUCACAUCUUGAACCAUCACUUUUGCUUGAAAUAUGCAAGUGUAUACCUCAUUUUGAGAUCCUUACUGUUUUGGAUCAGUCUCAUUGCUUUUGGAGUAAAUUUUGGUGAAUUAAAGUUGGUUUAUUACUGUUCAUAUGGUAAAUUUUGAACCAAAGUCAUAUUAACCUGCUGCAUCACCAAAUUUUACUCAUUUUGAAGUAGUGCACUUGUCAUUGUCUACUGCAAUCACCUUCUUUGCUAUUUAGGUGUUUGUAUACAUCUAUUAUGAUGAUAUAAAGUUGCUUGAAGUGUCAUUGAACCAUUUACCUCCCUGCCAUUCAAAUUCACCACUACUGUUUCUCAUUUUUCAGCCAAACUUCAAUGUUGUCACCAUAUCAGAUUUUUGGUUUUGAAAAAUUGGAUUGGCAAAAGCUGAGAUUUACUUUCUAAAUCAUUUCCAAUGUUCAACCACAUCUAAAACCAUACAGAAAAAGCAAUUAUAUCCCUGCAAUCCAGUUUGAAAAGCACAAAUCAGAGAAACACAUAAAUCUGCUGUUCAUUGAGGAAUUUUGUCAAACAGUUUUACAUUUUCAUCAAACAGUUACAACACACUCAAUUUCUUUGCAGUUUUUGAAGUUUUCUUGCUUUUAAAAUAUGUUCCUAGUGCCCUUCUUAAGCUCCUUGUGCGUCCCUGCUAUUAUUUCAAGCUUAAUAUCAUUUGCAUUCCACUUGCUUGACCUCUAAAGUGUGCUCAAAACCCAUUCUGCAUAUAUAACAGUUUGGUGCAGUGGUUGUUUCAUGUUCUCUUUACUUGUUGUUUCAGCUGGUUUAUGGUGUUAUUAUGGUGCAUUUUAACCCACCAGAUUGCUCCUCCAACGGGGUAGCCUAUUAAGGAGUGGAAGGCUUGCUAACAAGGCAACAAUUGUGGACAUUGGGAGUAGUUGUGUUGUUGUUCCAGCUAUACUUGCAGCAAUAAAACCGUGUCAUUCCAAGCAUAUUCAGCAAGUCUUUACAGCCACACUUGGCUUUAGUCCUUGAUUGCUACAUUUCAUUUUAUCUCUCAUAUUGUAUCACGAAACCUUUGAGUAUUACAUUUCAUUCUUUUUGAAACUGAAAGUAACUUGGGAAAAUGCUUUUCAAGCAAUUCCAAAUCUACUAAGCAACAUUGUAAUAGUUAGUUCCCACCUCUUAGAGUGAAAGUGUGUCAAGGGGCUCCAAGUGUCACUUGCACUUUCACAUAGGCCCGUUUGUCAUUGUCUUUCAUUUCCAUUCUUUUACUUUUCCUUGCUCGACUAAACUUUUAUGUUUUAAGUCUCCGUGAUACUUAGGAGUGCGUUUCAUAUAGAUAAACCUUUGUUUGGUUUAUAGGUGCAUCUCAUAGUGCAUUCAAAAAGCUUUUGAAAGACUUCUCUAGUGAAACUUGGGUAAGAAACGUCAGAAGAAACUUUGGCUAGGAAGGACAAGGUUUCUAAGCUUGUCCAUUGUGACUCACCUCUCCUUCCUGGGAGCUAUUCGGUUUCUUCACCUCUAGAAUCUCUUUAGAAGUCCUUCACCAAAAACAAACAAAUCUUCUUUUCAAAAGUUUUGAUUCAUAAUUGUGAAAGGCUUUCAAAUCCUUGUGAAAAAACUUUCUCUACUUCACAAGCAUGAGUCACUCGAGUGUUCAAGGUAACAUCAAUCAAGUUCAAGAGAACAUAGAGUUGCGAGAAGAACUCAAUAGAACCAAGUCUGAGUUGAAUGAGCUAAGGCAAAUGGUCGCCAAUCUUACUCACAAUCAGAGAGGGCACACACGAGGGGAUCACUCUCAUAGGCAAAACCAUGAUCAUGAUGAUCAUUCCCAACAUAGUGAUCACCAUAGUUACCAACCUUAUGAUCACUAUUAACACCCUCCUAGGCGUCAUCACAACCAUAGAGAACAUCAUGUAGAACCUAAGCUUGACCUUCCUCCUUUCUAUGGUAGAGAUAAUGUUGAAGAAUACUUUGAGUGNGAGAUGAAGGUUGAACAAAUUUUUGAAUGCUACAACAUAGAUGAUAGGAGGAGAGUGACCCUAGCCACCUUAACCUUUCAAGGUGCAGCCCUUUAUUGGUGGACAUCCAUCAUGAGAGACCAAAGGAUGCAUGGCGACUACACAAUCCAAUAUUGGAAUGAGUUGAAAGAAGUCUUACACAGGCGACAUGUCCCGGCCUACUAUGCUAGAGAAGUCAUGGACAAGCUCCAUCGACUUCAACAAAGAAACAUGAGUGUUGAAGAAUAUAGGCAAAAAUUAGAGUUACUCAUGUUGAGAGUGGGGAUAAAAGAAGAGAGAUUCACCAUAGCUAGAUUUCAGAGUGGAUUAAACUAUGAGAUUAGAGAUAAGGUAGAACUUUUACCUUACUUAGAUCUCAAUGAUUUNNNNNNNNNNNNNNNNNNNNNNNNNNNNNNNNNNNNNNNNNNNNNNNNNNNNNNNNNNNNNNNNNNNNNNNNNNNNNNNNNNNNNNNNNNNNNNNNNNNNNNNNNNNNNNNNNNNNNNNNNNNNNNNNNNNNNNNNNNNNNNNNNNNNNNNNNNNNNNNNNNNNNNNNNNNNNNNNNNNNNNNNNNNNNNNNNNNNNNNNNNNNNNNNNNNNNNNNNNNNNNNNNNNNNNNNNNNNNNNNNNNNNNNNNNNNNNNNNNNNNNNNNNNNNNNNNNNNNNNNNNNNNNNNNNNNNNNNNNNNNNNNNNNNNNNNNNNNNNNNNNNNNNNNNNNNNNNNNNNNNNNNNNNNNNNNNNNNNNNNNNNNNNNNNNNNNNNNNNNNNNNNNNNNNNNNNNNNNNNNNNNNNNNNNNNNNNNNNNNNNNNNNNNNNNNNNNNNNNNNNNNNNNNNNNNNNNNNNNNNNNNNNNNNNNNNNNNNNNNNNNNNNNNNNNNNNNNNNNNNNNNNNNNNNNNNNNNNNNNNNNNNNUUAAUUGUGGAUAGUGGUUCUUCUAGCAAUUGUUGUAGUUCUAGAGUGGUGCACAAAUUAGCCUUACCUACUAUUCCUCAUCCUAAGCCUUAUAAGCUUCAGUGGAUAACAGAGGAUGAAGAAAUAGUAGUGAACAGACAAGUAACCAUACCAAUGUCCAUUGGCAAAUAUGAAGAAAAUAUUUUAUGUGAUGUUGUUCCAAUGGAUGCUGGGCAUGUAUUACUUGGUAGGCCAUGGCAAUAUGAUCAUAACUCCACUCAUGAUGGCUAUACCAACAAAAUAACUUUCCUCCAUAAAGGCAAUAAAAUAACAUUGAUUCCUCUUACACCUGAACAAGUAAAAGAGGAUGAGAUAAAAAUCAAAGAAAAAAUUGAAAAAGAAAGAAAACAAGAAAAUAUGUUGGAAAAGCAACAUUCUCAAGAAAAGAAGAAGGAGACAAAGGUAUGCAUGAUAUUAACUCCUUCCUUAGCAGGUAAAUACCUUGACUUUUCUUCUUUUCAAAAACAUCACUUUGAUUCUCCAUUUCAUCAUGGGGAAUGUUCCAAACAAAGUGAAAACAAAAAGGCCAAGACUUCUUCUAAUCACAUUUUUGUCACAAGGCCUUCAUUUCAUUUUUUUCUCUUUGCAUAUCUCUUAUUCAUCAUACUCAUUUUUACUAUCUUUUGUAGAUAUAUCUUUGACCCAGGAGGAAAAUAAACACUAAAGUUCUGCUUCUUCUUUCUUCCCGAUUUGAGGACAAAUCGUUUUUAAAGAGGGAGGGAAUGAUGGCAACCCCUAAAGGGACUUCCCAUCCAAAGAAGCAUCGACUACACUAAAACUAUGAAAGGGAAGUUGAUUGAGAACUUAAUCUUUUCUUUCUAAAGUCUUAGCAUGUUUCUCUCUAACUAAAUACAUCUUACUUUGUUUUGUAGGUCAUUAAUAAGGCUUGGCAAACACUUAGAAGAAUUGCCAAGCAAAGGAGACAAGAGGAGACUUGUUCACGACCAACACUUCAUUUAGCAACAUGUUUCCUACAUGGAUACACCAGCUGCCAACACCUUUUCCACGUGCAAUAUACCUUGCAGCACCUUGCAGCGCCUUUUCCAUGUUUACCACGUGGACAACAACUUCUUGAAGCUUAUGAUCCAUAUCUUCCACGUGCAAAAUGCCAAAAUUCCAUUGUACACUUCUUUUCCAGCACAUUUGUAAUAAGUUCAUGGCUUGCAUUACACGACUCAUAGGCUUUCUUCAUCUAUAAAAGAGAAGCCAAAUCCUUUGUAAAUUCAACUUGAAUUGAAGUAAAGAAAUGCUGCCAAAUUUCAGCUUUUACUCUCAAGUUCACCUUUGUGCAUUGUUAUCUUGCACUUCCUCUAGCUCCUUUCCCUUUAGGAGAGCUCUCUGAGUUAGAAUUCACCAUUACACCAUAGCCAAUCUCUCACGGACCUUCAUCAAACACCUUGAGCACACUUCAUCCAUCAUCACUGUCUCAUUCAUCCGCUGCAACUUCUGAUUACGUGAAGCUUCUCCAAGCAUGAAUCCAGUGGAGGCUUCCAUCAAACUCCUUUCUCAAUCUUCUUCUUGUAUACAUUUUCAGUUUGCCUACACAGACAAGAAACAACACCUAUUAGUAAAACUUUGUAAAUAUAAAAACGUUUAGAACUACGUAUACAUGUCCCAAACAGAGCAUGAUGGACUCGUUCAUGAAGUUGAACCACCUGAUUUAUAGAAACAUAGGAUAGGAGUGACUUCAAACUUGGUUUUGUUAUAUCUGAUGGCUUGAAAGACAAAAUCAUCUUUUGCUGCAUAAUUAUCAGCUUUGUAACAGAGUUAAAACAUCACCAUCAAGUAUUUUGGGCACUCCAUCGUACUAUGACAUAGAUGUAAGAAAACAUGUUUGGCUACAUAUUCUCUCAAGUUUAGAAUAGAAUCUCUCUUAUAUUAUUCUGAGGUUACUAACCUCUAUAUUUAUACACAAGUCAGCAGCAUAUUAUGGGCUGCUAAAUUUACUGGACAAAUCCCUAUAAUUAUGGGAUCAAUCAAACAUAAAUAACCUAAUAAAGGUAGCANGCAUAUUAUGGGCUGCUAAAUUUACUGGACAAAUCCCUAUAAUUAUGGGAUCAAUCAAACAUAAAUAACCUAAUAAAGGUAGCAUUUAACAGUUAUAGAAAUACAGCGUAUUUAAAUAAAAAACUUCCUAAACUAUUCCAUGCCAAUUAAUUCCACGCCAAUCACGGUUUUGACACUCCCCCUCAAGCUGGUGAAUAGGUGUUUUCCAUUCCCAGCUUGGAGACAAUUCCUUCAAAGUUUAUGCAGUUCAGUCCCUUGGUGAGUAUAUCUGCAAGUUGGUUCUGUGUAGGUACAUAUGGUGUGCAAAUCAUGCCACUGUCUAGUUUUUCCUUUAUAAAGUGUCUAUCAACUUCAAUAUGUUUAGUUCUAUCAUGCUGUACCGGGUUAUGAGCUAUGCUAAUUGCAGAUUUAUUGUCACAAUAUAGCCUCAUAGGUUCAUCCCACUUUAUCUUCAAGUCUUCCAAUAUAAUUUUCAGCCAUAGAAGUUCACAUAUUCCAUGGGCCAUUGCUCGAAAUUCUGCUUCAGCACUUGAUCUAGCCACUACACUCUGUUUUUUACUCUUCCAAGUCACCAAGUUUCCACCAAGGAAGGUACAAUAUCCCGUGGUUGAUCUCCUAUCUACCACUGACCCAGCAUAGUCUGCAUCCGUAUAUGCUUCAAGACUUAAAUUCUUGUUCCGUUUGAACAAAAUCCCUCUUCCGGCGGUCCCUUUCAAGUAUUGUACAAUUCUAAGAGCAGCUUGUAGAUGUGUUUCCUUUGGUUGGUGCAUAAACUGGCUAACUAGACUUACAGCAAAUGCAAUGUCUGGUCUAGUGUGAGAUAAGUAAAUAAGCCUGCCCACAAGUCUUUGAUACAUUUCCUUGUCCACAGCAAUAUCAUCCUCCAUACUUCCCAAUUUUAUAUUUGGAUCAACUGGAGUACUUGUUGGUUUGUAGCCUGUCUUCCCUGUUUCUCUAAGCAAGUCGGUAAUAUAUUUUUGUUGAGAUAUGAAGAUUCCUUUCUUGGAAUGGGCCACUUCAAUUCCCAAAAAAUAUUUAAGUCUUCCCAGUGUCUUAAUCUCAAAUUCCGUGGCAAGACAUUUGCUUAAUACUUGUUGUUCCCUUUUGUCAUCCCCACUCACUAUAAUAUCAUCUACAUACACUAAUAGAAUUGUUACUCCCCCUGAAGCUGAAUGUUUGAUAAAUAAAGUGUGAUCCCCUUGACUCUGUUUGUAUCCUAGACCUGUCAUAACUUUGGUAAAUCUUCCAAACCAUGCUCUCGGGGAUUGUUUCAACCCAUAUAGAGCCUUUCUUAAUUUGCAAACAGUUCCAGCAGCAACAUGUUCCUUGUAACCCGGGGGCAACUCCAUGUAUAUUUCUUCUUCAAGGUCUCCAUGUAGAAAUGCAUUCUUCACAUCAAACUGCUGCAGAUCCCAACCAUUAUUUGCUGCNAGUGACAAUAAUACUCUGACCGUGUUCAUCUUAGCNACCGGGGCAAAUGUCUCCAANUAAUCAACUCCAUAGGUUUGAGUGAAGCCUUUGGCCACCAACCUUGCCUUGUAACGUUCGAUUGUCCCAUCAGCCCUAUACUUUAUUGUAUAUACCCACUUACAUCCCACUGGUUUUUUUUCCAGAAGGUAGAGUGACAAGUUCCCAAGUCCUAUUCUUGUUUAAUGCCUCCAUUUCCACAUCCAUGGCAUUUUUCCAUUUCCUGUCAGACAAUGCUUCAGAUACAAAGGAAGGUGUGUGUGUGGAGUUGAGGUUAGUGAGAAAGGUUUUAUGGGUAGGUGAGAAUUUGUCAAAGGAUAAGAAAUUUGAUAGUGGGUAAAGUGGCUUUUGGGUGCAAGCUCUAGUUCCUUUUCUAAGGGCAAUGGGUAGGUCAAGGGUUUGGUCUGCCUGUGCUUCUAGAUUAUCAUAAACAAACUCAUUAGAAUCAUUAGAAUUUAUAGGAUUUGAAUGUGUUACCUCAUGUAGUGCUGGUGGGUUGGAUUCUUGGACAUUGCCAGAUUCUAGAAUGGCCUUUCCUCUUCUUGAGUAUACCUUUCCAAAUUUGCCGCCAUCAUCAGGUGCAGGUCUUGUGGAUUCAGUAGGUUGAAUUCUUUCCUCAAUUUCAGGGACAACAGGUUGAAUUCUUUCCUCAAUUUCAGUGACACCAAUGCCGUCACCAUUUGUCCCAGUUUCAGGCCCAAACGUCGUAUUUGGGGACAUGAGAGUCUCAUCUUCCUCUCUUAUAUUCUCCCCCUGAAGAUGAGGCUGUUUGAAGUAGCUCUCUUGUUCGUUGAAGGUGACAUCUCUUGACACAUAGAAUCUUUUUGAAAGGGGUUGAAAACAUUUGUACCCUUUUUGUGUGGUAGAGUACCCUAAGAAAACACAUUUGACANNNNNNNNNNNNNNNNNNNNNNNNNNNNNNNNNNNNNNNNNNNNNNNNNNNNNNNNNNNNNNNNNNNNNNNNNNNNNNNNNNNNNNNNNNNNNNNNNNNNNNNNNNNNNNNNNNNNNNNNNNNNNNNNNNNNNNNNNNNNNNNNNNNNNNNNNNNNNNNNNNNNNNNNNNNNNNNNNNNNNNNNNNNNNNNNNNNNNNNNNNNNNNNNNNNNNNNNNNNNNNNNNNNNNNNNNNNNNNNNNNNNNNNNNNNNNNNNNNNNNNNNNNNNNNNNNNNNNNNNNNNNNNNNNNNNNNNNNNNNNNNNNNNNNNNNNNNNNNNNNNNNNNNNNNNNNNNNNNNNNNNNNNNNNNNNNNNNNNNNNNNNNNNNNNNNNNNNNNNNNNNNNNNNNNNNNNNNNNNNNNNNNNNNNNNNNNNNNNNNNNNNNNNNNNNNNNNNNNNNNNNNNNNNNNNNNNNNNNNNNNNNNNNNNNNNNNNNNNNNNNNNNNNNNNNNNNNNNNNNNNNNNNNNNNNNNNNNNNNNNNNNNNNNNNNNNNNNNNNNNNNNNNNNNNNNNNNNNNNNNNNNNAAAUCUUUUAGGAACAUGAUUUUGAAAAAGUAGAGCUCUAGUUUGAUCUAAAAGGUGCCCAUUUUUCCUUUCUGCAAUCCCAUUCUGUUGGGGUGUGUUCACACAUGAGGACUCAUGGAUUAUCCCUUCCUUUUGGCAAAAAGAGUUUAGUACAAGGUUAAAGUAGUCCUUGGCAUUAUCCGACCUAAUUCUUUUUAUACCGACCCCAAAUUGAUUUUUAAUCAUAGAGACAAACUGGACAAACACAGAGCUAACUUCAGAUUUUUGUUUCAAUAAAAAAACCCAAGUCACCCGGGUACAAUCAUCAAUGAAUGUUAAAAACCAUUUAGCACCAGAAAUAUUAGGAACAUAAGCAGGACCCCAUACAUCAGUAUGAACAAGAGAAAAGGGGAAAUGACUCAUCUUAUUGCUAAUGGGAAAAGGUACACGUUUAUGUUUUGCCAACUCACAUACCUCACAAUGAAGACUUUCCACACUUAAAUUUUUAAACAAGGAAGGAAAAAGCACUUUUACAACUCGAAAUGAAGGAUGUCCUAGUCGGCAAUGAUAGAGGUGAGCUUUCUCUUUGUUGGUCAUGGUGGAUUUAGAGAUGAGACUCUUGGUAGGCAGAUUAGGAUCCUCCAUGUAGUACAGGCCAUUCCAUUCUCUAGCAUGUCCAAUCGUCCUCCCCGAGUUCUUGUCCUGCAAUACACAAGUGUUGCUAUAAAAAACAACAUUACACGCAAGGUCUUUGGUGAGUUUUUGUAUAGAAAUCAGGUUGGUGGAUAGUUUAGGGACAUGAAGGACAUUUUUUUAACGUCAUGGAUGGGCUUAUUUGGACCUCUCCUUGUCUGGCUGCAGUUAUGAGGGUUCCAUCUGCUGUGGAAAUUUUCUUGUUACUAGGACAUGGAGAAUAUGUGGAGAAGUAUUUGGAUAGUGGGGUCAUAUGGUCAGUGGCUCCAGAGUCUAGUAUCCAAUAAUGUGUGAACGGUGUAUCUGAAACAUUAAGUCCAAACAAGAAUGGAAAUUUACCAGAAUAUGUUAAGGAGCACGUACCUGUAGGCUUCUCCAAUUUACUAAGGAUGGAUCUUACCCNUUCUAUCUCUUCAUGAUUCAANUGGACAGAUUCUUCACCUUGCCCAUUAGCAAUGUAUGCUUGCCCUCCUUUUUUCUGUGGGCCUCCCUUCAAUCCCCAUUCUCGGCCUGGGAGUUUCGGUCCCCAUUCUCUGCUUGAGGUUUUCCCAUCUUUCAGCCCCCAUUCUCGGCUUGGGGGCUUUCCAUGUAAUUUCCAGCACUUUUCCCUUGUGUGGCGCGGCUUGUUAUAAUGGGUACACCAAAUCUCCUCAUGUCUUUUCUCCCAGUUUUUUCUCUGGUUAGCAACCAUGAUUGUUCCUCCUUCAGCUAUCAUUGCAGAGCUUUCAGUGGUUGAAGUUUCCAGCAUCAACCCUCUCCUGCUUUCUUCACUCCGAAUAAUGGCUACCACUUCAUUAAGCCCUGGAACUUUCUCCUUUCCUAAGAUUUGAAUUCGGACCUGGUCAUAUUCAGGAUUUAGGCCCACCAAAAAAUCAUAGACCCUAUCUUGUUCAAUAUAUUCUUUUAAAAUUGCUGAGUCUUCUGAACACUUUGCUUUUAUAACCCGAUAGUGAUCCAAUUCCAUCCAUAGGGAUUUAAGUUGAUUGGCAUAUUCUGUAACGGACUUACUUCCCUGUUUAGCAGCCACGGUUUUCACCUUUACAUCAUAAAUUUGAGCAGCAUCCUUGGCCUUAGAGUAAGUUUGUUCGACUGCCUCCCAGAUCUCCCUUGCUGAUUUUAGGAACAUGCAGGUAUCACUGAUUUCUGGGACCAUUGAAUUCCACAGCCACGCCAUGAUCAUGGAGUCUUCUUCAUCCCAUGAUUUGAAUUUUGGAUCACUCUCACUCGGUGCAUCCCCAGUUAGGUGACUGAUUUUCCCUUUUCCUUUCAGGAUGGUCCUAAUGAUUUGAGACCAUUUGAGGUAGUUUUUUCCAUUUAAUCGAUAAGCAGAAUGGAUAUUCUGCAGUUCUCCAGUGGUCUGGAAUCUAUCUCCAGUUUUCGGGUUCCCAGCUUCAGCCAUAACGCGAUACACUCACGAUAAGUGACGAAAGCUUGACGGUGACGUAGUGAUGAUGACGCAGCAAUGAAGGCUGCCGCAAACGAUAAGUAACGAAGGCUCGACGGUGACGCAGUGACAGUGACGCAGCAAUGAAGGCUGCCGCAGACGAUAAGUAACGAAGGCUCGACGGUGACGCAGUGACGGUGACGCAACAAUGAAGGUUGCCGUAGACGAUAAAAAUGAGGGCCUGAUGGUGGAGCAGCAAUAAAGGCUGCUGUAGUUUUAGGUUGAAGGUAGAGCAGCAAUAAAGGCUGCCGUAGUUUUAGGUUGAAGGUAGAGCAACAAUAACGGCUGCCGUUUUGGAUAAAAUAACACGGUCAGAGACUCCCAAGGAUCGGGAGCUCUGAUACCAUCUCAAGUUUAGAAUAGAAUCUCUCUUAUAUUAUUCUGAGGUUACUAACCUCUAUAUUUAUACAAGUCAGCAGCAUAUUAUGGGCUGCUAAAUUUACUGGACAAAUCCCUAUAAUUAUGGGAUCAAUCAAACAUAAAUAACCUAAUAAAGGUAGCAUUUAACAGUUACAAAAAUACAGCGUAUUUAAAUAAAAAACUUCCUAAACUAUUCCAUGCCAAUUAAUUCCACGCCAAUCACGGUUUUGACAUAUUCUAGUCAAUAAAAGUGCUUGCAUAGGAAGCUAUUAAAAGGUAUUUCCUCCGAAUAAGCUAACAUAUAUUAAAGAAAAAACAUAAGAAUCAAGGAUAUGAAAUACAAAAUCUAUUCCAUGUAAUGGUUGAGUCAACCAUAUUUAAUUGUUGUGCAAUUAUUUAUUAUAAGAGAAAAAAUAAAAUGAAAAUGAAACACCAAUGAUAAUAAAUUAAAGCAGAGUUCUUACCUAAAUUUUGUGACUCACUUGUGAAACACCAAGGAAAGAAGGCUUUUGAUAGAUCAUAUUUUACCCUGUACACAUGAAAAACAAUGUUACUCAAGAUAUCAAAGGCAUUAGAGCAUUGCCUCCCAAAACUCGCCAAUUCACUUAAAGUUGCUAAUUUCUACAAACCAUUUCUUUUCUUAAUUCAGGAGUAAUCAUCUAGGUGCUUAUUUAUGUUAUACAAGUCUAUGUUCCGUUGUUAUCCUUAAUCACAAAUUACUUAUAUAAACAGGGGAAUUAUAUAAACAGGGGAGGGAGAGAUGAGUCAAUAUAUUUCACGCAUCAAUAUAUUACAACAAUGCACUUGAACACCCAUUUCCGAUCUUCCUUAGUUUAGGCAUAAUUUCUUCGUCUGACUUUUUCAGAAUUUAUCAAUAACAUACACCUAUUGUGUCUUGUACCUCCUUUUCGUUUCUACUUCACUUCCUUCUUAUCUUUUUCUCUUUCGUCAUGCCUUUUUUUACCUGGUACCUCUUUCUCUUCCUUUUUUAUUUCUUUUUUAAUUUGGUGUCGACUUCCCAAUACACCCCAGCAAGGGAUGCCUCUUUGACAUAUCCACAUUUGAGAGAAUAAGCUUUUUGUCAAAGCAGCUCCAUUGGAUGUCAAAGAAACCCUCAAAAGGUCUAUUGCCUGACCAAAAUAGAUACAAUGAAUGUCAAUUAUAAAUUGAAAAGGAAGAAAUGUUGUACGCAGUUUAUUAUAGCCAUUUAUUUUAUUAGAUUAAUUAAAACCAUAAAUAUUGCGGUUGAACAAGUAUUCAAGAGUUGAUUGAGAAUAUUACCUCAUGUGACUUUCUUACUUUAAUAAAAUGUUCCUCCAAAUCAUUCACCUUCACAAUCCCUAGUUCUUUCAAAUGCGAAAUGCUAGAAGCAUUUGUCAUUGGUUUCACUUCAAGAUCAUCGCUCACAACAAAUAGACAUGGUCUCUUCAUAAAUCCCACAGGAGGUUCUCUUGCUCCAUCAGAGGAUCUUGGGUCAAAAAGUUUCACUUUUUUUGGAUCUCGUAACAACUCUUUUCUCUUUGAAAUCAUUGUACGCCCCUCAUUCUCUUUCUCCACUACAGGGCCAUACCAAUAUUCAGGAGAAUCCUCCUCUUCUAAUGGAUUCCUCUUACAACCAAAAUGAGGAGCAACCUUUAUAUUCUUUAAAGAUUCAUUAGAUGAUCUUACAAACCAUGAUGGAUUGAGACGCUUCACACUUUUGUACAAGUUACGAAUGCUUCCCAAACACAAUUUUCCUUUCAUAAGCCUCACAAUAGAUCCAAUAGGUGUUGUGAGGAAGCUGGUUAGAAGGUCAACAAAAUCUCCAUCUACUUCAGCAAAUAAAAUCUUGUUCUGUGAUUUGCUCACCAUUACUUUGAUUUUUACAUGACCUUUCGAAUGAAUGGGACCGGUAUACUGUGAGGAAGAGUAUUUCUUAUAUUCUUCAUUUUUCAAUAAUACAUCACUCAGAGGAGAUUUGGAGAUUAAGGAUUGCUUUAGUAUGCUCAAUAUCUGAAAAUACAACCAAAACCAAGCUAAUUAAGGAAGUCAGGAAGGUUAUCAGUUGAGCAAAUAAGAAUAAUGUCUUAACUUUAUACCACAAAAUAAUCAUUUUAGUAUCCAAAGUAUUUUCUUCAUCCGCAUAUCAACUCCUAUUUCUUUCCCUGAUACAUAUAUUUUAAGGGAAUGCGACUGAAACAUUCUCUUGACUUAAAAACAAUUACCUCCUUGAUGCCAACUUUUCCAGAUAUUUCUGUGAGGAUGCUGAUGUCUUUGUGUCGAUGCUUGAGAAAAGUUUGAACAGAGUCACCAACAGAGCUUCGGAGGACUCUCAAGUCAUCCAAGAUCAAGAACAUGGCAUCUGAUUUAACAAAAGCACCAUUGUCCUUAGCUAGCUCUUCCUUGGAUUCUUCCAGCAACAUCGUUUCUUUUCUCAUCAAUUUUCCACAAUGGCACCUUGCACCAUCAAAGGUACUCAGCAACAAAUCCUUUUCCUUUGAACAGCUGUAACACACGAAAUACUUGGUGGGUUCUGUAUCAUCCACUUUCACUUUCAGUCUUUGGCAAGAGCUCUCUAACGGGUUGCGAGGAGAAUGCAACAUUUUCUUGCAGAUGUUGUUCCAGAAAACAUUAGAUUCCAGUUUAUCAACACUGUCGUACAGCUUAUUGAUGCAGCCAAGCUGUAUAUGUUGAUCCAAUUUGUUUCCAAGCCUAAUAAUAGUUCCCAAUGGAAGGGUGAGGAAACUGAAGAGAACAUCUACCAACUCCCCACUUGCUUCUGCCACAACUACACGCCUUUUGUUAUCGUCCACCCAAUAUUUCAAAGGGAUUGUUACCUCUUCGUCGGAAGACAUAACUGAAACAUAAAACUAAAGAACAUUAACGAAUUAAUCAAACAAAACAUGUACGAUUUUGGUGAAAUUUCUUAUACCUCAUCUCAGUCGUUGCUUGGGUUGUGUUUCCUACGCGAUAUUUUUAAGAAUUAUACUUGUGGGUGUAUUUUUAAGAGAUAAGCAAACAUGAUGAGAGCGUUAUGUAGUCGUGAAAUAUACCUUGCUUUUAGAGAGAGGAAGAGACAGAAAAACUUGAAAAGUAAGGGAGAGAUGAUCAACCCAGACUGCUGAGAAUGUAGAGAAUAAGUUUAUGAUAGAUGAAAGAAUCAUUUUAAAUUAAUACAAUUUCUGCGAUUGAGAAACUCUUAUAGAACUACUGGAUGUUUAAGCUAUGAAUGAGAGAAUUCACCAGAAGAGGGAAAUUAACCAAAAAGCUUUUGUUGAAAAAUACAAAAAAGAACUCAGUGUCAUCACAUAUCGCCAGAGUUUAGAACGUUGAAACGGAUAUUGUACUAUAUGAGUAAAACUUUUAAAGUAGCCUAUAUCAAUGUCUUACCAUGAUAUAUCCAGAUCGAUUCAUCAGAUUGCCUAAAAUUAGUUUCAUUUGUUCAGAUCAGUUUGUCCAGUGAGAAAUUCUCACAACAGUAGUUCCCACAAACAAAAAGAAUUAUUGCACAGCUCAACUUCAUAUUUUAAAUUUCUAAUAAUUACGAGUUACACAAGGAUUAAAUGUAAAUUCUGCAUUCAUUACAUGAACAAUGAACGGUUAAUUAAACCUAAAGUUUAGAACCUGUUUCCUCCGGAGGCCACGGAAAGAAUUCAGCACAUAUCUGCGAGAGUUUAGAACUUUGAAACGGAUGUUGACCUAAAGCAUCAUAGAAAUGAGUAAAACUUCCAAAGUAGACUAACAUUGAUAAUAGUUAAAAUUCUUAUUAAAUUAAAAACGAGAAGUUUGAGUAACAUAUAAAAAAUUAUAAAUAUAAGUUUUAAAAUUAAAUUUUAAUUUCGAAAUGGUGUCAUAAUAUUUUAUAUAUUGUACUUAAGUAAAGAAAGAUGCCUUCUUAAAUUUAGAAUCUAAUAGACAUAUGUAAGCAAAAUACAUAUAGUUUUGAUUUUCAUAUAUCUCUAGUGACACCUUAAAAAUAGACUAAAUCAUCAUCAUUGUUGAAUUAACAAAGUUUUAUAAUCUUAAAUAAAAUUUAAACUACACAAAAAAUAUUUUAUAAAUUAUUUCUAACGUUUCCCUUGUACCAAUUAUAUUUCUCAUUGUAUCGUAUAACCCUCUUAACGUUAAGGAUUUUCAAUUGACAAAAAUUAAGUUGAUUAAUUAGUUAGGUUCUAAAUUGUGAUUGCAUUAUAGAAAUUGUGGUUGCAGGCGUAGUUGCAAUUAGGGAUGGACAAAAUGUAAAAAUAGAACUAAACUAUUGUUAAACAAAACUGCAUAUAUAUGCAAUUGAGUUUGAUAUUAAUUUAGCUGAGUUGAAGGAUGAUAAUUACAAUACAUAUUUCAAUUGUUGCAUAAUAAGUAUGGAGAUAUUCUUACAAUCAUUUGAUUAGUUUAUUGAGUGAAAGGAGGCCAAACUCAUUGAUUACCAAUUCAACACAUUAUUAAGAGCUUGGCUGUCAGCAGACCCACCAUCUGAACACCACAAGUGGAAAAUGUGAGAUAAUUAAGAGCCCUUUAGACCACUAUCUUAUCUUUUUCUUUUUUCUUCUCUUGACUCUUUCUUCUUUUUCUGUUUCAUUUUUCUCUUACACUGUGUCUCUGUCUCUUUAUUUCUCCCCACUUCCUUCUAAAUUUCUAAUUCCAUUUUUCAUAUAUUCUAAAAUCAGAUUAUACGCUUCAGUGGCAGAUAUAUUGUCAAACAUUUCUAUUCAAUUUUUUUUUUAUUUAAUGCAAGAGUAAUAUUUGCUCUAAUAUUUUUUAUUUUACUAUUAUUAUGUAAACGUUUAAUCUUUUUGUUAGGUAUAUCACUUGACCAAAAGUUAUUCUCUUAGUUAAUUUAUUUUGACUAAAUUUUGGAUUUGUUUCAUGAUGUUUCACUUGUUCUUUUGGAUUUUUAUUUGGGAUAAUGAUAUUUUGACAACAUUUUUUGUAAACAUUUUAAUACCAUCUACAUGUCAUUCUGGGAUUGGUCUAUGGUGGUGUUUAUGAUUAUUUUUAUUAAUUGUGGAGUAAUUUUAGAGUAAUCAGAGAAUGACACAUAGAUGAUAUUAAAAUAUUGUCAAAAUAUCAUUAUCCUUUUAUUUGUAUGAACCACUCCUUUUUAGUUUCUACUAAAAGUACGAAUAAGUAUUUAGUAAAAAAAAACUGACUUGAGCUGAGUUUCUUCUAUAUUAGAGUAUGAAAGUAAUUAUUGGUGAACUUUUUGUCGGGUAAUAUUGAUUGAAUUUAGGAUUUCGAUUAUUUUGAACUUGAAUUUAGUUAGAGGAGUAAUGUAUUAAUUGUGAUUCACUAAAGUUCUACUAAUGGUUAAAAAAUAUAGCUGCACAAUGGACUUUCCAACGAUGGUUUAAACAGAUUUUUAAUGAUAGUUUUCGAACUGUCGUAGCUCAAGUUGAUGUUAAAUAUAAGACAAAGUAAUAGACGAUUAUCGUUAAAAAUUCCAAACGAUGGAGAUUGUUCUUAAACUACAAUUAAAAGUCAUCGAAGAAAAGAAAAAAAUAUAAUAGGUUCUAUAUUAUCAUAACGGAAUUAACAAACCUACGAAAAUAAAACAGAAAAGUAUCUCUAUUUCAGUUUUGAAAGACAUGACAGAUAAAAAAAAUUGUUGAAUAGAUUCUAUAAAAAUAUAAAUUUUAAACGAUAUAAAGAAAAUAUAAAGAGUUGAUUAUGUAAAAAGAAAAAGGUUAAAUGACAUAAAAUAGACCAUGUAGAAAAAUAUUAGGAGUAAAAGUUGUAAAUAUAUAAAUAUUGGAUGUCUGGACUAGUCAUAUCUUAACACAAAUUCGUAUUUCAAACUUUUAUAUUUACAGUAUUUUUCUUAAAAUGAAAAAUUAAAAAUAAUAUAAAUAGUUUAAUAAUUAACUUUACUAAGAAAACAAUUAGUAUUUUUUAGUUUAUUAACAAUGUCAUUAUUCAAAUAUUUAUUUAUUUAUUAUUUAUAUUAUGUUUUAAUUUUUAUUAUUAUUAUAUUAGUAUUAUUAUGUUAUUAAUAUUUAUUAAAUCUUAUUACAUAUUAUAAUAUAAUGAUAUACUGUUAAGAAUCCUCCAAUUUUAUUACAUAUUAUUAAACUCUUCAGCUUCCAAAAUUUGUUCUCAUCUCGGACUCUUUUAAAAGGAUUGAAAUAAAUUACAAUUGUUUAGAGGCAGGACCAUGAAAAGGUUUCAGUUCUUUUUUACAUUUUUUAUUUUAAUUUGAAUUUAAAAUUCAAACUUUUUUACAAUAUAUUUACAGUUUUUUUUAUAAUUUUGAAUUUCAAAUUUAAACUUUAUUGCAAUUUCAAAUUUAGAAAUAUGAAUUUUAAUAUUAGAAAAAGAUUGAAAUAGAAAUCAUUAGUUUUUUAUAUCUUUAAAAGUUUAAAAAGGUUAUAAUUUUCACAUUUUAAUAAUGCACUUUUGUCUAUAUUAUUAAAAUUAGUUUUUAAAUUAAUUUGACAUAAAUAUAUUAUAAUUUUAAUUGAAGUAUUAUUUUCAAGAUUUAUUAUUUAGUUUAUUUUUAAUCUAUUAACAAUGUCAUUAUUUAAUUAUUUAUUUAAUGUUUUACAUAAUAUAUUAAUUUUAUUAUUAUAUUAAUAUUAUUAAAUUAUUAAAUUAUUAAAUAUUAUUAUGUACUAUAGCAUAUUAUAUAUUUUUAAGAUCGAUAAAUUUUUUGAACUUUUUCAGCUUCUAGAUUUUGAUCUUAUUAGUUACUUUAUCAUUAAUUAUUUUUUAUAUCUCAAUUAACAUAUUUUAUUUAAGUAAAAUUAAAAGUAUUAUUACAAUUUAUUAUAUUAUUUCCAACUUAUUAUAUGAUUAAUUGAAAUUAAGUAACUAUUAAGUUUAUCAUUUAAUUAUUAAUUAUUAAUUGAAUUAUCAUUUAUUAUUAAUUUUAAUUCUUAUAUUAUUUUAUCUUUAUUUUAGUGACAAAUGAGCUCUUUUAUAACUUAUUAUAUUUAAAUCCUCACUUUUAUUUUUCUUUUGUAAAUAUUCUUCUUUUUAGACUACAUUUAUUUAAUUAUAACUCUAAUCUCCUCUUUUUGUACUUAUUUUGGUGUUAGAAAGACCUUAUAAUAAAUUGAAUAAUCUUGAUAACCUAGAGAAGUAAGAAGAUCAGCAAAAAGGUGAGUUUUAAAAGCUUAGGUGACGUUGAGCGUCACUUAUCUAUGUUGAGCGAUCCAAUUACAGAAAGCAUCUGAAGCAUCCACUGUCGAGUGCCCCUUCUACCACUGACCACCACAAUUAUAGAGAGCGUCUAGGGUUGCCUUGAAGGUCAGUGCUAAGCAGUAGAGCCCUAGUGCUGAGCAGUACCUUUGCUAAUGUGUCAAGAUGAGCCUAUUUAUUCAACUCCUCUCGAAGGAUAUCGAGUCUUUGGUGAUUUGGAGGCACAACCACAUUAUUUGGAGCGCAUGGAAGAUGCUUGAGGCUUGUGGGAACAUCCUCUUCUUCCUCCUUGUGUCUCCUUCUUCUUUCACCUUCUAUUUUGUGAGCUUAAGGAUCUUUAUGGAAAUGGAAAGUCAAUGGAAAUGAAGAGUCAAACCCAUCUUAUUAGAGGCUUUUAUAAUCAUUAAACUUUUUUGUACUCUCUAGAUACCUUGAUUAUAUAUAUAUAUAUAUAUAUAUAUAUAUAUAUUCCAUUAAAUGUUAAUGUCUUGUUUCUAUUCUUAAUGCUUGUUUGAAAUGGGGACGUGGAUAACUUGAUUUAUGAGGAAUCUAGUGAACCCUAGACUUGAAACAAGAGAUCUAAUGAAACUUGUAUGUAGGAAUGGAACUGGAGCUAUCAGUUGUCUUAAAUCCUAAAUGCAGGUUAGCUUGUUAAGUGUCCAAGGGAUUGGUUCUUAAUGAGUAAACCUAGACUCUAACACCUAAAGAUUGGUGUUUGAGUUCUUUAGUGGGUUGAUUUUAGUGUUUGAUGCAGAGGAGAUGAUUCUAUGGGUGCACGAGAGUAAAACUGGUGAAUUCUACCUCUAGCAUGUCAUUUCAUAUCAUUUCUAACAUUUGAUACAUUUUUCAUAUCAUAGGGACUAAAGUUGACAUUUUUAAAAGCGGAGACUAAACUGAAAAUCAUAACUUAACUUAGGGACCAAAAAAGGGUUUAAAUUUAUUUUCAACUAUCAAAGUUUACCUUUUUAAUUCUCUGUCUAUUCAUUUAUAAUUAUACGUAAUCUUACAUUUUUUAGUCUAGAUAAAUUAUUAGUCCUACCAUUGUCUAGUAUUACACGAAUUUUUGAAAAAACGACAUUUAAGGUUAAGGUUAUCAUUUUAUAUUAUUUGAACGAUUCGGUACAUUUGUCAAAAAAAUCACAUGUAAUUAAUAUAUAGAUUAAUAAUGUACAAAAUCUUUAACAUCUAAAAGUUAUAAUAAUAAGUGAUAAGUUUUAAAUAAUUAAUUUGAAGUUACAUCUAUAUAAGUAAAACUAUAUAAUAAUAAAGCAACUUGUAUUUUGUUCCGUAAGUAAUUAUGAACUUAGGUUUGAGAAAAAAAAAUAACAAAUAAAUAUAUUAUAAAAGACCAAUAAUUGUACCUAAUAAAUGUUACAAAAUUUGCUUGUAUACCAUAUUUUUAGUUGUAUUAAUUAUAUUUCUAUCUUCCUUUAAGAUAGUUAACCAUGUCUUAAACUGGACACAGAAGAUAUAAUUCAAUUUUUUAAAAUGAUUGAACAUAACUCUUUUUGGAAAGCCAUUGAACAUAGCUCUCUUAUUGAUUUUGAUGACAAAAUAUAAAUAUAAAUAUAUAUAUAUAUAUAUAUAUAUAUAUAUAUAUAUUUAUUGGAUUAUCUCAACAACACAAAAUAAAUGUUUUGGGAUAUUCCACGUUAUUCUUUUAUUCUUUCUUCUCAUCACUGACUCAGUUGAGAGAGAAGAAAACAGUGUAUUGUCACAGUUUGGGUCCUAGCUUGUCUCUGUAAACUAACGUUUUAUUACAAUCCAAAAGUUAAAGUUAAAGCUAAUAUAAUAAUGAAAAAUUAUCUUUUCACACCCAUCAUUUUUUUAUUUAUUCUUUACAACCUUUUCAAUAAUAAAAUAAUAUUUUUAAUUAAUAAAAAUAAAUAUAAAUAAAAAUUUAAAAUAAAAUAAUAAUCUUAAAAAGUGUUAAAUGAACAUAUAAAUGAGGAAAAGUUUCAAACAUAUAUAGCCCUACAAUGUAUAGACGAUGGCAAUGAUGACUACAACUUUAACUUAUAUCAAGUGAACACAACAGGUGGAAAAUCAGAGAUAAAAGACCUUUUAGCGUAGUAACUUUUUUUUCUUUCUUUCUUUUUCUUCUUUUCUUUCAUUCUCUUUCUUCUUUUUCUUUAUUUUUUUUUUCUAUUUCAGUGUUCUAUUAGCACGUGUCUCAAUCACUUAAUUUUCUCCACUUUUUUAAUUUCUAAUUCAUUUUUCAUAUAUCCUAAUAGAAUAUAUGUUUUGGAACAUUUGUAUCCAAGCAAUUUCUAAUUUAGUGCAAUUGUAAAAUUUGCUCUAACAUUGGUCAGUUUACUAUUCUGUAAAUGCUUAAUCUUUUUGCUAGUUCUUGAUAAAAGUUAUUCUUUUAAUUAGUUUAUUUUUUUAAUUUUGGAUUCGCUAAUGUUUAACUAGGAUUUUAGGAUUUUUUUUAAUCACCUAUUAUUUUCUACAAGUAACUAUCCAAUAGGAAAAAUUAACUUGAUUUGUAAUUGAGAUUUUAUGAGUACGAAAAUAAUUAUUGAUGAAAUUGUAAUUUGACUUAAUUAGUUCAUUAAAUUUAUUGCUUUCAUUGAUUUUGAGUGAAACAUCUUAUUGUUCAAGUGGUAAAAUUGUAGUAUUUUAAGUCAGACUUUGGAAUGAUUACUAGGUUUCAUAACAAUGAAUAUCAGCCAAGCAAUGCUACCUUAAGUGAUAUGGCUUAUCUCUUGGUGUCUAAAGUGAAGGGGGAAUCAAGAAUAAUCAUGAUUUUCUUUUAUAAUAUUGUUUACGCAAGAUAAUCUCAUUCAAGUGAUACUCACAUGUUCCUUAAGCAUAUAUUAACCUAGUUUAAAAGUAUUUAUAUGUUUAAUAAUCUUAGUUUAUAAUUUUCAUAAAUUUAUGAAUGUUUAUUAUGAGAAAGUGUUGAAUUAUAUAUAUGAAUUGAUGAAUCGAUAAUAAUUCAGAAAUAAUGUGUUGUAGUAUGAGUGAUCUACUAUAUAAAACUCAAAGAUAUUAAAUAUAGUUGAAGUAACAUACCUGUGAUGAUAUGUUAAUUACACUGUGAUUGUGUAUAUUGAUUAUUAAAACCUAGGUAGGGAGAGAGAAAAGAGAAUUCUUGUAUAGCAUUAAUAUGUAAAGACACAAAUUUUGAAUGCAAUAAACUUAUUUUUAAUAUUUAAUUUAACCAUUCGCUUGAAGAAGAAAAUCUUAGAUGAGUCAGACAUUAGUCUCUCUCUUUUAUAUAUAUUCAAUUUGAUGCUUAGAUCCCCUAUGUUAAUCUAAAAUUUUGAAAAUUAUUUUUUUUAUUAUGUAUAAGUUGUUCAUGAGUUUGAAUAGUAUACUAUCUUGGUUUUUUUUUUUAAUAGCUUACUCUUUAAUUUUAGUGUUAAUUAUAGUUGGUACAUAAACAAAUAGCAUUGCAAGUAAGGAGAUAAUUUUGGAAACAUUUAGGAAGAUGUUGUCAUAUUCAUAUAUAAUCAUGUAUAUAUUUUCAUUUCGUGACUGAGAACACAUAUAUAUAUUAUACUUUAGAUGAUUACAUAAUUUAUAUAUAUAUAUAUAUAUAUAGUAAUAUAUAUAUAUAUAUAUAUAUAUAUAUAUAUAUAUAUAUAUAUAUAUAUAUAUAUAUAUAUAUAUAGUAAUAUGAACGGAAAAUAAUGAAUGAAAUUGGUAUAUUUUGAAACGAAGCAAGUGAUAGGAGGAUAGUGCACUGUUAAGUGCUCUCUUUAAAGCUUUAUUCAGAGUCUCUGACUGUGUGGUGAAGUAAACACUAUGAUGAUAACUUGAUACUUUCCACUUGAAGUUCAGGUUUUUCUCUCUCUUAAUCAUCUUCCUCAUUUCUUGUUCUAAAUAAUUAAUUACGCAAACAUUUACACAUAGAUAAACUGCAUCGCUCAACCAAAAUAUCAUUCUCCUCUUUCUCAUAUCCUCUCAGUAUUCUCUUGCAGUAUUGCUCGGUCUUACGAUUUGGAACACUGGCAACUAAAAGGCAAAUCACAACUUAAGGUAAUCCCGAAUUCCAAUAACAGAGGUGUUUUAUAGCUUAUAUAUACAUCAAUCCAUCGAUCAAUAUAUGUUUUAGAUCCUUCACACUACUCUUUUAAUGGAUCCAUUUUUACUUCAGCUCUUUUUAUGGAUCCAUUGCUCAAAUCGUAAACUCAAAUACUUACGUAAAGCAUGUUGUUAUAGUUGAAAUAAUUAACUUUUACACAGCAGCAGCAUCAGUUCUAAACGAGGGGAAUAUUCAGAAAGGGAAAAGAAAUGGAAAAUGGAGCGGUUGAUGGUCAUCAAUCAGAGCUUUCUUAUUCUUACUUUGUCUCACAUUCAAGGUUAGAUUUUUAUAUUACCACUUAUACCCUUUAUGUCUUUUAAUGAUCCAUUGCUCUGUUUUUAGCUGAAUUAUAAUACCGGUUAGUGUAUAAUUUAUUUCAUAUGAAAUAAUAAUAAUCAUUUUAUCAUUUCAUAUUUUGAAGUUAAUUUCAAGUAUAAUAUUAAACAUAAAAUACAACAUUAAAUCAUUUUAACAUCUAAUAAAUAGAAAAAUUAUUUUUAUUGUAUUAAAAACUGGAUUGGUCAUUAUAUUAAGAUUCAAUGGUUCAGUCAAACUACAAUUAAAUCAAUAUUAAUAUAAUAACAACAAUAAUAAUAUUAGAAAACUAAAAUAUCGUAAUUAAAAUUAAAAAGAACACAUAUUCCAUAGAUUUUCACCACUUAAAAUACAAAUAGAAAAGAAAGUGUCUUAUUAAUUUAUAUUACUUUUCUUGAAAAGUUAAAACAACAAUAUAUUAAAAAAUUUCACCGACCCAAAACAAACCCACUGUUUUGGUCGUAUUUUUCAUAUUUCUUUUUUCUUUUUUAAUUUGUUUAUCGAUUCUUGCUUCUGUUAUAAGAUGAUCAUCUAUUUGAAGAAGAGUUAAAGUCAACAACCCAAAAAUAUUUUGUAAGUUGGAAGUGACGAAAAUACUUAUUGAAGAUAAAAUUAAAAAAUAAUAUAAAUUAAAUUAAAUAUAAAUUGAAAUUUAAUUUUAAUUAUAUUUAUGUUGAUAUAAUAUAAAUUAAUUUUAAUUUUAAUUAAAUUAAAUUUAAUAAAAUAUAAAUAUGAAUAGUAAAAUACUUCCAUUUGACUAUUAUAAUCAUUUAUUGAUUGGUAAAUCUUUUAAAAUAUAAUAUGAUGUUAUGAUGUAAAUAUUAAACAUAAUUUUCUAUUUAUAUAAUAUUAUAUUAUAAAUUAAUUAAUUUUUGGCAUAUCCCAUAUUAUUAUAUUUGUAAUUCAAAUAGAAGAAAAAUUAACACAUAAUAUAUUGGCAGAUGUAAUAAUUCAAAAAUUUUAAUAUUGGCAGAUGUAACAUUUACAAUUAACUUGCAAAAAGCUAUUGAAAACCAUUUCACCAUCGAAAAAUGAUCCUAAACCAUUUGAUCACCUCUCAUGAAAAGUUUGCAAAAUGUUUUUAAGCUAUAUUUUUAGCUUCUUUUUCAAUUACUUAAUUCAAACUUCUCUUAAUUUUAGUGUGAACAAUAAUUAACAUCCAUUACAUUACGUUACGUUUACACUCAUACUGUACAUUUUGUUUAGUAUGCUACAAUCAAUUGACAAACAUAAAUAGUAAAACAAUUCAAACUUAAGUCAAUAUCUUAAGCUAAAUCCUUUUAGACUCUUCUAAAAGAAAUUUGCAACACUUUUUUUUUAUUAUCAAAAAUAAUAUUUUAAAGUACCAAUCCAUUACAUUUCUAACCAAUAUUUUUUCCAUUCUUAAAAAUUUAGCAUGCCUUUAUAAAUUUUAACACAACAUUGAUUACUUUUACUUUAGUACAUAUAACUUUUUUUAAUUGAUUAAACAAUAUCCUCUUUUCUUAAUUAGUUAUUGACUAAUAUGUUUUCACUUUAUGUUUGUUAGGAAAUAGAUGUAAUUUGAUCUUGUACAAGAUAAACAAUAUUUGGAGAUGGACUUUUUAGGGCCUUUUGGCAAAGUUAUCGAAGGACUGAUUGAUUUUGUAUGGAAACAUGGUGUUCGACAAGUAACUUACAUUGUCAAUUACAAUAACAAUGUCUUUGAAUUAAAAGAUAGUGUUAAGGAUCUUGAAUUAGAAAAAGAAAGGAUAAAUCAUCAACGUGACGAGGCUGAGAAAAAUCUAAACAACAUUGAAGGAAAGGUUAUUGAAUGGGAUCGAAAAUUGAGUGAAAUCGAGACCGCAGUAGAGGUGUUUGAGAACGAUGAUGGCCACACAAGGGCCCGAUCACCCAAUUGUUUUUUGUUUCCGUUCUUACGGAACAGACACAGGUUAGGAAGACAAGCACAUAAGAUGAAAGAGGAUGUUAAAAGGCUAAUUGGUGAGUCCCCUGAGCUUGAUGAAGUUUUCUAUAGGCAAAAUGUAACAUGUAAUGAUGCCACAUUGUCUAAUUGUGGUUUUGUAGAAUUCAGUUCUAUAAAAUCCAUAAUCGAAAAAGUAAUGAUCCAACUUCAAGAUUCUACAGUGAGAAUGAUUGGAUUGUAUGGGAGAGGGGGUGUGGGUAAGAGCACUUUAGUCAAAGAAAUUGCAAGGAAGGCUAAAGAGAAAAAGAUGUUUGAUGUGGUUGUUAAAGUAGAGAUAACAGCUGACCCUAAUCCACAUAAAAUUCAGGAAGAAAUUGCUUACGUGUUAGGAUUAAGAUUGGAAGGGGAAGGUGAAAAUGUGAGAGCUGACUGUCUACGAAGGAGGUUAAAGAAAGAAAAAGGGAACAUCCUUCUAAUCUUGGAUGACCUGUGGCACAAAUUAGACCUAAAUAAGUUAGGGAUUCCAGUUGAAGAUUAUGAUGAUGAUGAAGAUUUUAAUCGCCAAAAGCCAGAUAAUAAAGAUAGUAACAAUGAUCCUAGUAGCAAAGUUUCGAAAAAAGAAAAUAUCCCUGGUGGUCAUAAGGGGUGCAAGAUUUUACUAACUUCACGGGAUAAAAAUGUGUUGUGUGUUGAAAUGGAUGUAAAGUCAACUUUUUGUAUAAGGGAAUUAGAUGAUAAGGAUGCUUUAAUUUUGUUUCAAAAGUUGGCGGGAAUAGAUAAUGAAAUGUCUAGCUCUAAACAAGAAAUUGUGAAGAAGUAUUGUGAGGGAUUACCCAUGGCAAUAGUUGUAGUUGCAAGAGCAUUAAGAAAUAAGAGUGAAUCAGUGUGGGAAGCAACAAUAAAAAGACACAAAAAGCAUGAAUUGAUGGGUGAGGGGACAUCUAUGGAUAUUUCAGUGAAGAUGAGUUAUGACCAUCUUGAAAAUGAAGAAAUCAAGUAUAUUUUCCUACUUUGUGCUCAAAUGGGUCGUCGGGCAUUAAUCAUGGACUUAGUUAAGUAUUCUUUUGGUUUAGGUAUAUUUGAAGGAGUUUCCUCGCUUUGGGAAGCUCGAGAAAAAAUUAAGACAUCAAUCCAAAAGCUAAAAGACUCUGGUUUAUUGUUGGAUGAAAGUUCUAAUAAUCAUUUCAACAUGCAUGACAUGGUUCGAGACACUGCUUUGUCUAUAGCACAUAAGGAUCACAAUGCUUUUAAUUUGAGAAAUGGAAAACUAGAUGAUUGGCCAGAACUCGAAAAGUGCACUUCCAUUUUUAUGUGCAACAGUGAUAUCAUUGAUGGGCUUGAAGUCAUAAAUUGUCCUCAUCUUAAACUUUUCCAGAUCGACACUAAUGAUCCAUAUUUGAAAAUACCCAAGAGUUUUUUCAAAAGAAUGAAAAAUCUGAGAGUUCUAAUAAUGACUGGUUUUUGUGUAUCAAACUUGCCAUCUUCAAUUCAAUACCUAUCAAAACUCAGAAUGCUUUGUUUGCAGCGAUGUACUUUAGAUUGCAAUCUUUCUAUAAUAGGAAAGCUGAAAAAAUUGAGAAUUCUGAGCUUCUCUGGAUCUAUACUUAAAAAUUUGCCGAUUGAGUUGCAAUGCUUGGAUAAGUUACGAUUGCUAGACAUCAGUGAUUGUUCUGAACUGAAGAUUAUUCCACCUAAUGUUAUAUCAAGUUUAACAUGUUUAGAAGAGCUAUAUAUAAGAGAAAGCUUGAUCAAAAUGUUGGUGGAAAGAGAGACAAACAAAGGUCAAGAUUUGUUUCUUUCCGAGUUAAAGAAUUUACAUCAAUUGAAAGUGGUGGAGUUAAGCAUCCCACGUGUUUCAAAUUUCCCCAAUCACUUGUUCUUUGACAAGUUAAGAGAUUACAAUAUUGUGAUUGGUGACUUUGAUUUCUUUUCUCUUGGAGAAUUUAAGAUGCUCAAUAAGCAUGAAACAUCCAGAGUUUUAGCAGUGCAACUAAAGGAUAACACUAACAUUCAUUCCCAGGAAAACAUAAAAUUGUUGUUUAAAACAGUACAAACUUUGUUGUUGGGAAAGACAAAUGGUGUUCGAGAAGUUGUCAAUGAUUUGAAUAUAGAUGGAUUUCAAGAUCUGAAGCACUUAUCCAUCAUAAAUAACAAUGACUUCAAAUAUGUCAAUUCAACAAAAUUGUGUAAUUAUGUGAAUGUUUUUCCCAAUUUGGAAUCUCUUUGUCUCUACAAUCUGGGGAAGUUAGACAUGAUAUGUUAUGGUCCAGUUACAGUUGUGUCAUUUGCCAAAUUACGAACCAUCAAGGUUGAGAUGUGUCACCGAUUGAAGAAUCUCUACUCCCUUGACAUGGCUAAGUUUCCUAUUGGUGCGCAAACAUGUGAUAUUUCUGAAUGUAAUUCUUACAUGGAUAUAUUUCUUUCUAGUAUAGAGAUAAUUGAAGUUUCUGAAUGUAAAUCUUUAAAGGAGAUCCUUCAAAUUCCAAAGCAUUACAGAAAGGUUGAGUUUCUUAAGUUGCACACUUUGACACUCCGAUUAUUACCACUGCUUUCAUCGUUUUAUACCAAAGUGGAUAAAUUUUUCUGGCCGCAUCUAACAAAGGCUCAAACUACAAUUAUGGGUCACAAAGAUCUUACGAGUGAGGAAGAUAAACAAAGUGAUGAGGAACCUUCUCUUUUUGGUGAACUGGUAUGAUAUUCCAUUAUUUUCAAUAAUUUUAAAUAAUUAGUUCAAUUGUUAUAAAUAUAUUAAUCAUGUAUGUAUGUGUUUGCAGGUUGAAAUUCCAAACUUAGAGACCUUGAAUUUAUCCUCACUCAAGAUCCAUAAGAUAUGGAGUGACCAAAACUCGUCAAGUUUCCUUUUUCAAAACUUGAUAAAAUUAGUUGUGAAAGAUUGUGAUAAAUUAACACAUCUAUGUUCAUUGUCUAUGGCUAAAAGUUUGAAGAAGUUGAAAAGCCUUGUCAUAAGCGAGUGCCCAGUUAUGGAGAAGAUUUUUGAGACUGAAAGAAAUAAUGCAGACAAGGUAUGUAUUGGCAUGAAUAAGUAAAUGUUCGUAGUUGACCAAAUAUAAGUUUACGACUUUGCUAGUAUUAAGGUUGUGAUGAAAGGAAUAGAUUAUGAGAUAGAGAACAUGUGGGAAUAGUAGAAUUUGAAAGUAGUAGUUGAAAGAAAUACAUUAUGUAGUUGUUUUGUAUUAUGUGUUUUCAUAGAUUUAUCUUAUUUCAUAGAUGUUAUCUUACAUCAAAUGGUAGUGUACGUGGGUAAAUAUAUAGACCAUAGAUUAUUAUAGAAAAUGCUAGUCAUAACUUAUAGGGAAUGUUUUAGAUUUUUAGCUAUGUAGAAUAUUCUUGAUUUUUUCCUCUUAUCUUAAGUUUUUCUUCAAUAUUCAGAAUUUGCAUUAAGUUUCAAUAAUUCAAUCUUAGGCUAUUCUAUAUUGUUCUAGAAUUUGCAUUACAUGUUAAUAUUCCUUCUUGAUGAAAACUCACUAAAUCCAAGCACAUUGCCCAAUAGUUCAAACCUUGGGCUUGGUAACGCCUUUGUGAAAAUAUUUCCAGUUAGAUCUUCUUCCUUCACUGCCUUGGCCCAUUCUUCAUGUUUUGCGGUCUUUUCAAAGCUUGCAAACUCUAGUAUGGCCAAGUUGCAAGAUUCAUAUAUGUCUACGAGAUAUCUUACAUUUCUUGGAGUAAAUUUAGGUGAUAAUUCUUCUUGUUCUUGAAUUGAUGUUGGAGUUUGCAGGAGAUUCUGGAGCAUGUAUAUUGUUAUCUUCUUCCUAGUUCCAAGUAGCACUUUAAUCUACUUCAUUUUCUCUACUAAUAGUUAGCUUCUUUGUUUGAAUAUUGUAGACGUUGUAGCCUUUUGAUUGUGUAAUGUAUCCCAAGAAUAUUCCUUAUAUACUCUUGUUUUCAAGCUUGUGCAUAUAUGUAGUAGAUAUACCCAAAUACUCGUAGACGUUUAGCUGAUGACUUUCUUUCACUAAUAGGAGUCUUGUCUUGGUUAGAAUGUAAACUAUAGUGUAGCCUGCUUCUGCCUACAAAGUUUUAGGCAUAUUUCCCUUUUAACAUUGAUCUUGCCAUAUUCAUGAUAAUGCAAUUCUUUUUCUUUGAGACAACAUUUCGUCGUGGAGAAUGUGUUAAGAAAUGGACUUUAAACCUAACUCAAUCCUAUAAAACCAACUUGUAAGCCACCUAUAGUGGCGGGUGUAGUGGUAGAGGCGACAUAAUUUUUUUUUUUCAAAAGAACCUUAGGCUUUAGAUAUCAUCUUAAGAAGUGGAAUUUAACCUAAAUCAACCCUAAAAGGUUGGCUUGUAAGGUUAGGCUUACACCCACUUAUAUACUAUAAAUUAGUCUUAUCUCUAGUCAAUGUGGGACUUUCAAUAACAUGCUACUAUGAUUUAUCUCUCUAUGCCUUCAUCUUUGCGAAAAUUUUUCAAACUUACAAGUUGUGUACUCCUUUCCACGAUCACUUUUAAGAUCUUUUAAAUGUUUUUCACUUUGUUUCUUCACAAGGGGCUUGAAUUUUUGAAUAUUCCAAAGAUUUCUUACUUUUCCUUUUGAUAAAUAGGUCUAUAUUAUUCUAGAGAAGUCAUUAAUGAAGAGGAUGAAAUAUUGAUUGUUGUGAUGUCAUUACAAAACAAGUAUUACUGAUGGUCAAAAUUCAUCGAAAACGUCAAAAAUUUGUUAGUGAUGAGUUUUCUCGACGAAUUUCUAACAGGUCCAAAUCGACAGUAAUAGUUCAGUCGGUAAUAUUUACUGAUGGAAUUUUAUAUUUAUCAGUAAAUACUAAUAGAAAAAUCCAUUGGUAAUUAGAAGAAAAAUUCAUGAGUAAUUACUGAAAAAAAAAAUCUAUUGAUAAAUCUUGUGAGUAAAUAUCACAAUCUGGUUCAUCUUUUCCUUUUCUCUCCUUCUUCAUCUUUCUUUUAACUUUCUCAAUCCAAAAGUAUCGACAUACUACAAAUGAAAGAGGUAGCUCAUCUUCAAUCCAACAGAAUCCAGUCAUUAUAAACUAAUAAAAUUUUGAGGAAAAACUUAUUAGGGUUCAAGCUAAUCCAAUAAUAGGAGGCAACAAUGGAGGCUUCUUAUUCCUAGGCAACGUGUGCAACAAUGGAGCACUUGCGACAAUGGUGCCCUUGUCGUAGUGGUUGAUUCAUCACAGUGAUGUCCUCAUGCGAUUUACUACGUCGUCUAUGUUGGAAGCGAGACAACUCUUUGUCACAGUGGGUUGCCUCUUCCGGAGUCAUGAAAGGUAUGGCUCAUAGUGUAUCUCUCUACAAUGGUGGUUUUUGUUCAUGGUGAUUCACGAAGAGUCUUGUUUAAUGGUUUAUGUUUGUGGAAAUGGGGGAGAAAUUUGUCAAUUUUUUUAUCAACAGAUUAUAUCAAUGAAAAUAUCUUUCGAUAAAUGAGAUAUGUAUUACCGAUAAAAAAUUCACCAAUAAAUGUAUUACUAAUGGAAAAAUCUAUCAGUAAAUGCAAUAUGUAUUACAAACAGAAAAAUUCAUCGGUAAUUAAAAUUUUAAAAAUCUUUCGAUACAAAAAUAUUGGUAAUUUAAAUUCACCGACAAAUUUAUUUCUGUUGGUAAAAUUUCGUCGAUAAUUCCAACAAUUUUUGUAGUGUAAGUCUCAUCAUCGGUCCACAAACAUCCGUAUGAAUCAACUCUAGUAAGUUUUUUGUUCUCAAUGUUUUUCCUAUUGAAAAUAGGUAAUCGGUGUUGUUUUUCGAGAAAACAUCCUUUGCAUGAUUCAUUAUUCUUCUUCAAUCAGGGAAGAUCUCUCAUUAUAUUUUUUUAAUAUAAAAGUUUUAAGAAAUGAGUGUUGAAAUGAUCAAAUUUUCUAUGUCAAAACCAUAAGUCACCAACUUCUACCUUUAUAGCAAUAUUAAUUCCAAGUUUAAAGCUUAUAGGAACUCCUCUAUUUCUCUUCACCAUUUUUACUUGGCCAAUGUUAGCUGCAAAACCAACGGCAAGUGCACCGGUCGCAACGUAGCAAGUGAUAAAUAUCGUUCUCUCCCAAGGGACUUCUGCAACACAUUACAACUCUUCCUUUUAUAACUCAAUUAGACAUCAAAGUACACAAAAAAACACAAGAAACUCUUUUUGGUAUUUUAUCAAACAGUUGGUGUGUAAGGAAUUUAACAUAGUGUAUUUACAAUUUGUCAAGACUAGAGUUCAUCCACUUCAUUCUCAAGCAUUUACGAACAACUCAAUUCCAUCAAUUAGGUGUUCAAUUUCAGUUCUAAGUUCAAGUCAUAUUUUCCAAUACAUCAAGAACUACAAUUCAAUCCAUGGGUGAUGAAGCCACAACAAGCAUUAAGCAUAGAAAUCAAAUACUAACAUUGAAAUGGAAAAGCAUAUAUCAUUAACAUCACAAAAUACAUAAGAAUUUCAUGUUUUACAACUAAUCUCAACAAAUAGGAAAAGCCUUCCAUGGUGGAGAACUUAGGGUUCACAAAAUUGAAGAAAUAAGGAAGAAAUUGGAACCAAAGAGAAGAUGCCAAGCCUUUCCCAAGGUUCUUGGCAGUUGCUUCAUGCUCUAUUUGCGUCUCCCCUUCGCAUCUCCAUCUCAAUUUGUGACCCAUCUUCUUCCUCAACCAAAAAGGGGAAAAAUCACCAUUGAUGAAGCUUGAAGACCCAAGGAGGAGUGAAAGAGCUUCCCAACACCCCAAAUAGACUCCAAGGGCCUCUCUUAAUCUCUCUAGGUGAAGAAUGAAGCGUAAGAGAAGAAGAAUGUCCAAAAAAUCGCGAGACCCAUGUUUAAAUAAUCCAUUUUGACACAUUAGCGAAAAGUCACGCCCAGCCCCCUUCUAGGGCGCCCAGGCGUGAAAUCUGUAGAAAAAGGGCACUCAGCCCCCUUUUGGGGCACCUAAGCCCCAUUUUAUGGCGCCUGAGCCCCUUUUUUGGAUGCCCAACCCCCUUCUGUGGCGCUCCACAUGGGUAUUUGUUUCAAAUUGAUCUUUUAUUGUUCCAAAACAUGUUCCCUUGAGUUCUUGUUUGUUUUCCUCCACUAGAAUUGCUUCCUAUUCAUUUAUUUCACACACUUAAAUAUAGAGAUUAGAGGUAAAAACAAACAUAUACUAAAUAAAACACAAGAAAACUAGAAAACACACUAAACGUGAGGAUAAAACAAGGUAAAAGCUAUGAAGGAGUUGAUUCGUUCACAAAAUAUACACACACAAACAUGUUAAAUCAACCGUUAUCAGCCAAUUUUUAACCUUUUACUAUACAAUUUUUCCGUGCAUCUUUUUCAAAGUGAAAAGAAUAUCCAUUUUUCGCCAUUUGGCCAAUAUUUUAAAGAUUCUCUUUAAGGUUGGGUACUAGUAGAUGUUCUUGAUAAAUUUUGUACAUUUUUUGUUUCCAUCAAGACAACUCCUUUGCCUCGAGACUUCACUGUGGUGGUGUUUCCCAAUCAAUCAUUGACAUUGACAAAUUUAUUGAUCAUGUCUUUGACGAUGCUUUAAUCUUUAAUUGGUCAUGUCACUGAGGCAUCCACUAUCCAAGUACCAAUUUCCUUCUCCAUUAGGAGAUUCUUUACUGGCAUGGAAUAAGUGUUGCUCAUUAUUAUGUUCUUCGACAAAGUUUUUUUUAUGCUUAUUUUUAUUACGAGAAUGCUUUUCCAUGUGACCAAAUAUCUUAUAGCAUGAACAUUGAGGUUUUCCACGAUGCCAACAACAUUUUUUCCGAGUGACUUAUCUUUUUACAUGUCACAUGAAAUAUAUUUUCCUUAACAAGUUAUAAAGAAGCAUCUAGAAUUUUCUUUAUUUAUUGAAAUUUCUCCUAUACUUUUUUUUUUCCUUCAUACUUUUUGUUAUAAGUAUAUAAUUUUAGUUUUGAUUGAAAGACAUUUUCAACCAAGUCCUUUUCACAUCUUUUCAAUAUUUGUUCAUAAUAAGUUUCAAGAGAACCCAUUAUUUGUGUUAUUGACAAUAUGACUAAAUCCAUUUUUUCGUUCAAUCGUGGUUGCAAUUGCAUCAUGUUUUUAGGAAAGAGAAAUUAAAAUUUCCUCAACGAUAUUUUUUUGUUAAGAAUAUUUUCUCCAAAAGCUUUAUGAACAAUUAUUUCUUUUAUUAUAGAAUAGUAGUCUUUAAUCAUCUCAAAUUCUUUCAUUCUUAUUAAUUCAAACUAUUGUUUAGAGAAUGAAUUUUAACAUUGCAUAUCUCAUCACUUCCAUGAAACUCCUCUUGUAUUAUGUUUCAAGCUUGCUUUGCACUGGUGAAUCCUAUUAUUCUUGGAAAGAUUGCGUCAUCAACUAUUUGUUGAAGAGUAAAUAAAGUCAUCGAAUCCUUUUGCUUGUUGUUGAGACUUUUGCAAGUGUACCAAAUCUCAUCAAAUGAUGAAUCGGUAAGUCUAAAUGUCAUUUUCCCAAGGCAUUUGUUCUGACUUUGCUAAUUGUGAAAGUUUAUCGAUUUAGCAACAAUAACUAAUAUCAUAGUAUUUUUAUGCACAAUUUAAUUAAAAUUUCAGAUUUACAAUUUAUACAAAAAGAUCGAGUUCAGAUUCAUUGGAGUUAAAAUUCAAGUUCCAAAUUCAGUGCUCUUUUUCUAUCAACACAAUUCCUCAGAAUCAAGCAUCAACAUCAUAGGCAUACAAACAUCUAAUUCCCCAGAGGACAAAUUCUGAACCAUCAAACUCAAAAAUUACUAAUGCCUUACCAAAUCUAGAAUUCAGAUUCAGAUUAAACACGAUGUUACAAAUGAUUAAAAGUUUCAAACUAUGUUUAGAAUUGAAUUCCUUUAACUGUUCUAUCUGUUGGAGGGAGGUUCGACACACACAUAGAACUCCACACAUGGUAAGACAUUGUCCGCUUUGGGCCAAGCCCUAAAGGGUUUGCUUUUGGUACCACUCCAAAAGGCCUCUUACCAUUGGAGAUAUCUAUGUGUAUAUAAACCCUUGACCAGUCCUUCUUUCACUCAAUGUGGGACUUUGUUUGCUCUCCAACAUCCUCCCUCAAACAAAGGACUAUGGUCACCUUCCUCCCUCGCUGCGAAAGUCUUGUCUUAUUCAUUCGAGUACACCAUGGUCAACACAGAGCAUUUCUCAUUUGCCCUCUUUCACGAUCCAUGGUCACAAUGAGCUUUUCUAGCUCUCCCCACCUCUCAUGAUUCCUCCGGCGCCACUGGCCUCCUGCCUGGCUCGCCUGAUCAUGGGGGGCGUACUCGUCUAAGCCCGGUUACCAGACCCGAACCAUGGGCUCUGAUACCACUGUUGGGGGGAGGUUCGACACACACAUAGAACUCCACACUGGUAAGACAUUGUCCGCUUUGGGCCAAGCCCUCACGGGUUUGCUUUUGGUAUCACUCCAAAAGGCCUCUUACCAUUGGAGAUAUCUAUGUGUAUAUAAACCCUUGACNAGUCCUUCUUUCACUUAAUGUGAGACUUUAUUUGCUCUCCAACACUAUCUAUGUCCACGAUCUCAUGCAUUUCCCAAUGUUUUAACUGUUGAAAUAGUUUAGAUUUCCAUCAUAUGCGUGAACAAUAAGCAUAGAAAACUAAAUUCAUCAAGAAUCAUGCAUUGAACAGAGAAAUUACAAAGAGUUUUAGAACUUUACUCUCAACCCAAAUGAAAAUGGAGUUUCAACUACACAUAGACAUCAAGGAAGCAAGAAGAAGUGAUUUUGAUGGAUUGGAUGGAGUAGAAAUGGCGUCCUUGCAUUGGAGUCCUCUAAGCUCGAGCUGGAGAGCUUCUGCAGUGUUCCCACCAUGAAAAACUGGUUCUGUUUGCGUUUUUUAGCCAUUUUAAUGAGUUCUGGAAAGUCAACUCGCUCGUGCAACUUUAGAGACUCGUUGGAGCGAGCUCUCGUUCGAGCGAACAAUGUCAUUAACUUGAGUGAAAAAGUCAACACAUGAACAGUAAAUGUCAAUGCGUGAACAGUAAAAGUCAACUAGUGAAUAGUGUCGAUCAACAGAUGAAUAGUGUUGGAUGAAUAAUGAAUAGUGAAUUUUAGUGACUUUGUUUGCACAUUGUUCGCAUCACUGUACAUGUGACUCUUGUGGCACCUAGUGUGGGUAUUCACUUAAAAUCUAUCUUUUGUUGUCCAAUCAUGCUUCCUUGAGUUUUGGCUUGUUUUCCUCCACCAAAAUUGCCUCAUGUUUUCUUAUUUCACACUCAAGGAGAUAUUAAAAGUAAAAUAUAUAUAUAUAUAUAUAUAUAUAUAUAUAUAUAUAUAUAUAUAUAUAUAUAUAUAUAUAUAUUAACUAAAACAUAAGAUAACAUCAAAACACACUAAACUUGGGGAUAAAAUAGGGUGAAAGCUAUGAAUGAGUUGAUUUAUUCACCNGUAUUCACUUAAAAUCUAUCUUUUGUUGUCCAAUCAUGCUUCCUUGAGUUUUGGCUUGUUUUCCUCCACCAAAAUUGCCUCAUGUUUUCUUAUUUAUCACUAAAUGAAUUAUUAAAAGUAAAAUAUAUAUAUAUAUAUAUAUAUAUAUAUAUAUAUAUAUAUAUAUAUAUAUAUACAUAUAUAUAUUAACUAAAACAUAAGAUAACAUCAAAACACACUAAACUUGGGGAUAAAAUAGGGUGAAAGCUAUGAAUGAGUUGAUUUAUUCACCAAAAUAUAAACACAAAAACACAUAAAAUCAAUUGUUAUCACUUAUUUUCCUUAAAACUCCUUCUUCUGAGCUGUAAUAAGAGUAGAAAUGUCUUCUAGAUAGUGAAUACAUCUUUUAUAAUGUCCCAUAAAUCUCGAGAGAAAAAUAAUGUCUUCAUUUUGACACUCCAAAAAUUAUAGGUACUAGAAUUGAUGAUGUUUGAUUGGUAGUGGUCAUUGGUUGAAAAAAUAUUUUGGAAGUAGUAUGGAAUGAAGCUAUAGUUUUUUUUAAGUAGUUGAAAAUUUUUAUCUAUGACCAAUGGAUGACCGAACAUAGCUCUGAUACUAAUAUUACUAUUUUGAAGUUGUGAAAGGAUUACUUGAUCGGAUAAAGAAAUUGAGUGGAUAGUAGAAUGUGAAAGUACUAGUUGAAAGAAGUAUAUUUUGUAGUUGUGUUGUAUUGUGGUUGCCAUAGAUGUUGUUUUACAUUAAAUGAUAGUGUACAUGGGUAUUUAUAAACCUAUAAAUUAUUUUAGAAAAUGUGAGUCACAACUUAUGUAGAAUAUUCUAAAUUUUUAUCUAUGUAGAAUAUUCUAAAUUUUUAUCUAUGUAGAAUAUUCUUGAUUUUUUCCUCAUAUCUUGGACUUUUCAACAAUAUUCUAUAAUUUUCAUUACAUUUCAAUAAUUUUAUCUUAGGCUUUUUUAUUGUUCUAGAAUAUACAUUAUACUUUAAUAGGUUCUCCAUCAGACUUUACCUUGUACAUUUUCGCUUAGCUACCAUAUGUAAUAAUAGUUUGUUUUCAAAUGCAGGUUUGCAUCUUCCCUAAGUUAGAGGAAAUCCACGUUACCAAAAUGAAUAAGCUAACAGAUAUAUGGCAAACUAAAGUGAGUGUUGAUUCCUUUUCUAAUCUCAUUUCUGUGAAAAUUGAAGAGUGCAAUAAAUUAGACAAGAUUUUUCCAUGUCACAUGGAAGGGUGGUUUGAAAGUUUGGACAACUUAAAAGUUUAUUGGUGUGAGUCGGUUGAAGUGAUUUUUGAAAUCAAUGAUUCUCAAGAAAUAGAUGAAUUUGGAGGGAUAGACACAAAGUUGCAAAUAAUUCUUCUUGAAGGCCUCCCAAAGUUAAAACAAUUGUGGAGCACAGAUCAAAAUGGAAUUCUUAGCUUUAAAAAAUUGCGGACCAUAGAUGUAGAUAGUUGUGAUGAACUUAAGAAUUUGUUUCCAGUUUCUGUUGCCAAAGAUGUUCCAAAGCUUGAACACAUGUCCGUAUUGGAUUGUGAUAAAAUGGAGGAAAUUGUUGGAAGUCAAGAUGCAUCAGAUGCUAACCCAGAUCUAUUGGUGUUUCCUGAACUAAUCUAUGUGAGAUUACAUCGUCUACCAAACAUGAAGUAUUUCUACAAGAAGAAAUAUCCUAUAAAGUGUCCAAAGCUGAAGGAGUUGAGUGUGACAAAAUGUGUGAAGCUCAAAACAUUUGUCAAAGAUACCAUUAAUACAACAAACAAAGUGGGAAAUUUUGUUUUCUCAAUUGAAGAGGUAAGCAAUAUUCUAUCUUUGUCGGAGUUCGAGAAAAAAACAUUUAGUAAAUGUUUUAUUAUAUGUUUGGUAGAAAAUAAAAAUAUACAUAGAAAAAUAAGUAAAAGGAAAACGAACUACGUGACAACUUAAAUGAAGAAAAAACUAUUUUGUUUGAGAGACAUAAAAUAUAAAUUAAAUAAAAAUAAUAAUUCACUUAAUCUUUUAUAUUAUUUACUUAUAUUUGUUUAUUCUUUAGGUAUUUCCCAAGUUGGAGCAUAUGGAAAUUGAGUUCAAGGAAGCACAAGAAUUGUUACCAAAGUACCAAAUGCAGCGCCUAAAAGAACUUAGUUUGAUUUCAGUCGAAAGUGUCGAUCUUCUCAACCAGUUUCCAUACAGAACACCAAAUUUAGAAAAGCUAAAAUUAGAAUCCUAUGAUUUUAAAGAGUUAGCGCCAAAAGCAAACAAUGGACGACAAAAAGGAUUGGGGAUUGUAUUGCAGCUGAAGGAAUUAGUUUUCUUGGAUUCAAAUAUAAAGGAUCUUGGAUUUGAACGAGGCCAAGUUCUACAGAGACUAGAGGUUUUAAGAUUAGAAGAUUGCAGUAAAUUAAGCAAUUUGGCUCCUCCCUCUGUAUCAUUGAAUUACUUGACACAUUUGGAAUUGAAGUAUUGUUUUGGAUUAAAGCACUUAAUGGCAUCCUCCACUGCCAAAAGUAUGGUUCAACUCAAGACAAUGAAAGUAAGCUAUUGUGAUAAAAUAGAGCAAAUAAUAAGCAUGGAGGAAAGUGAAGAAGGCAAAGUGAUGAAAAUUGUAUUCAGCAAAUUGAUUUCUAUAGAACUUGUGGGGCUAAACAACCUUGCAAGUUUUUGCAGUCACAAGGAGUGUGAAUUUGAAUUCUCAUCACUGGAAACAUUGAUUGUAAGAGAAUGUCCGAAGAUGGAGAAAUUCAGUGAGAAAAGAUCAAUAGCACCCAAGUUAAGGAAUAUAUUUGGUGUGGAAGGAGAUGAAAAAACAAAGUGGCAGUGGGAAGGUGACUUGAAUGGCACGAUACACAAAAUUUUCGAUGAUAAGGUACUCUCUCUUUCGCUUAUUAUUAAUUUCAUUUAUCCUUAUCUUAUCAACUUUUCUUCUGUCCAAAGAGAAAAUCACUUCAUGGGAAAUUAUAAAUCCUUAUUUUUGGCAUAAAAGCUUUAAACGUUAAAUAGUAUGUUUGCUGAGAAUUUGAAAGAGUGAAUUCGAUCUGGUUCUUUAAAGCAUUCUAUUUAGUCCUAAUUUUCUGUAAAAGCAUUCAAUGUUAUCAUUUCUACAUAAUAUUUACAUAAUACUUUAUUCAUUUUAAUUUUAUAUAACAUUUAUACUGUUAUUUGUACGAACAUCAUAAGUAUAUAUCUUACGGUUUUAAUUUAAAAAUAUAAAUAUAUUAAAUUAUGAAAGCGAAGUAUAGAGGAUUAAAGUUUUUAACUUCAAAUACUUAGGAGAUCUGUUAAUUAAUAAUUUGAAUGGUAGAGAAGUAAUUUAUUCAUUUGUCUGAUUUACAGGUCAGUUUGGCAUAUACUGAGAACUUGUGGCUUGACAUUGAUAAUGAUCAAUAUAUUAUAGAGCAACUAUGGCAUGACAGACAUUGGGUGCAGCAAAACAGCUUUGGAUAUUUGAAAACAUUGUUUGUAUGGAGAUGUGAUACUGUAGUGCAUGUAAUUCCAUCUCAUUUGCAUUCUUGCUUUCCCAAUUUGGAAGGGUUAGAUGUACGGUAUUGCAGUAAUGCAGAGGUGAUAUUUAAUAUGAAUGAUGAGAACAGGGUGAUGACAAAACCUUCCGGAAUAUUCCGUCUGAAAAUAUUGAACUUAUAUAAUCUACCAAAACUGGAGCAUGUAUGGGACAAGGAUCUGGAGGGAAUUAUUGACCUUGAUGCGCUAGAGGAAGUGCGUGUUGAAAAUUGUAGGAGUCUUAGAACUUUUUUUCCAGCGUGGGUGGCCAAAGAUCUUAACAGACUUGAGGUGUUUCAAAUAACAAAGUGUGAUGAAUUGGAAGAGAUAUUUAGGAGUGGAGAAGAAGAAGAAGGAUCACUACCAGACUCUGUUUUUCAUCAACUCACCACAUUGACGCUGCAACAAUUGCCACGCCUCAAAUAUUCUAUUCACCGCUCCAAACAACAGGCAAUUCUCACACUUUUUACUUUAUCUAUGCUUACUCUUAUUAUUUCAAUUUUAAAAAAAUAUAAAUUUCUUUCAUUAAUAAACAAAAAAUGUAUUAUUUAGAUAAAAAAAAGUUAUUUAAAUAACAGUUAAUACAAAGAUAAAUAAAGAAAUAUAAAAGAGGGUUCAGAAUUGAAUUUUAACACUACCUUAAUUUUACAAACAUGAAAAUUGUUUUUAUCUUUGAUUAAUUUAAGACUUUUAAUAAAACUGACUUUAUGUAAUCAUAAAUUGGCUUAUAUAUGUAUUAUACCAUAAAAAAAUAUUAUGUAUUACACCAUUAAAAAUCAUAAAUAAGGUACUUGAAUUUUAUGCAAAAAUAUUAUGUAUUAUACCAUUAAAAUUUAUAUAUAUAUAUAUAUAUAUAUAUAUAUAUAUAUAUAUAUAUAUAUAUAUAUAUAUAUAUAUAUAUAUAUAUAUAUAUAAUUCUUAGUAAUUGAUAAAUAUAUAUUAGAGAUAACAAAUAGUAUGGUGUUGGACUUUAUUUUAUAUAAUAAUACAAAUAAAUAACUAUAUGAAUACUUAUAAUUAUAUCUUAAUUAUAAAUAUACUUAAUUUGUAUUUGGUUUUGGGUAGGUAUACAAGUUCUCAAACUCGAACUUUGACUAUAAUUUAAAUUAAGUAAAUAGAUAACUAUAAUAAUUAUCUAAUUAAUAUUGUUGGAAGUUCUACAUCGACUAGAGAUAAGACCAAUUCAGUGUAUAUAAGUGGGUGCAAACCUCACCCUACAAGCUAGUUUUGUGGGGUUCAGUUAGACUUAAAGUCUACUUCUAAUAUGGUAUCAAAGUCAUGAUUAGAGCCUAUCGUAGCGAUAUCUGUUGUUGUUCAGCAUGUUGUUCCACCCGCUAUCGGGCCAUUAUCGGACCACCCAUUAAAUGUCUAAUCCCACGAGAUGUAUAUACCUCAGCGUGAGGGGCGUGUGCUAAAGAUAAGACAACAAACUGGUUUUGUGGGGUUGAGUUAGGCUUAAAUUCCACUUCUAAGAAAUAUUGAUCUACUUUGGCAAAUGCACCAUAUGAAGCAAAUUUAACAAAUAGGGUUAGGAUUUUUGAACCAAAGAACACCAUAUCUAUUAAAGUUCUUGUCUUUGUGUUUGUCGCUCCUAAAAGCAACUUUUACUGUUUAGGUUUUUCUGUUUUAUAGUUUUUAUUGUUGCUAUUAGGGAUUACUUCAAACCCCCCUCACUCCAAACUUUUGUAUAAAAAGGGACUUCCGGUAUUUUCAUGUUGUAACUAAGAUACACAAACAGAUAAUGAAAAGAGUUUGAGUUUCGUUUUUCUUACGCUGUUUGGGUGCCUUUCUUCUCCCUUUAUACUUGUUCCACUCGAUUCUAGCCACUGCUUUCUUCUUCGAUCUGCAGACGUGUCUCCAUGGAAAGCCCUCGCGCUCUGUCUUUCGCACACGACUUACAUCUUUCAGACUCAUCCGAUAUCUGAUGCCACGAAGCUUCUCGAGAAAGGUCUCCUUUCGCGUCUUGGGUUAAAUGGCCUUUGGGCCUUUGUCACACGUUUUGGGCCGAUUUUAAUAUAGUGACAACAUCUAAAUGAGAAGAAAAUAAACAACAUCUAAAUGUUCAAUGUAAGGAUUGACAACAUAGCGACUUAGUUUAUGGACAUAAUAACAUACGUCUAGUCUAGAGAUGGUUAAAUAUAGUAACCUCCAUAUAUAAAUCGUACGUAGAUAUUGGGUCAGAUAUGUUGGAAUAAAUUUAAAAUUUUGGGGUUUAUUAGUAAUUUUGUUUAAAUCUUAUUUUAUUAGUUUUGAUCAAUUAAUAUUUAGUUUGUUUUUGAUAAAGAUAAAAUAGAAAUAGUUAGUUUUGAUUUAUCAUUUAUUUAGGUACAAUAUUAUUUUAUUUUGUUGAUAUAAGAUAAAGAUAAAUUAAAUAGUUGUUUUUAUUUUGAGUCAGUUAUAUUUUGUUUUUAGUUUUUAUUAUUUGGUCUAAGGCAUUAUUUGCACUUGUUUAAGUGUUGCCAAGGUUUAAUAAAAAUAAUCACAGUAGAAUUGAAGAGUUCAAUUAUUUGUGUGUGUCACAUAAUCCUUUUAACAAAAUGGUAUAAGAGAUUACGAUAGUUGGUAUCUGCAUAUGAAGGUUCUUCUUGGAUCUCAAGAUGUAUGGUUCAUAGUAGAGGAUGUGUACAAUGAACCUGCAGACGAUCAACAUUAAAAAAGACAUCGGUGAAAGAGGCUUUGUACUUUAUUUAAAUGUAGUAUUAAGUCGAGGUUUGAGAAAAUAGCUAAUGCAAAGUCAACAAAAAGAUGUCUGGGAUAUUUUGAAGGUGGCAUACAAAGGACAUAUCCACAUACGGCAGGUCGAGUAUAAACUCUUAGAAGAGAGUUCGAACAUAUGGAGAUGGACGAAAAGCAAGGAGUUGCUGAGUUUAUAACUCGAGUGCAGAAGAUGACCAACUAUCGUGGUCAAUGGAUGAAGUUGUCUCAUAAUGAAUGAAUAUAUUCGACGGAUGGGAGGGCUUCUGGAUGGCUAAUGAGAUUAUAGAUAAAUAGAUGAUAGAGCUUAAGGAGUUGAAGAAGACCCUUAUUGACUAGGAGAAGGAAGCAUCUAGCGUUCUUGAACCAGAUGAAAACGGGAAAGAGGAAGAUGGAGAUGUUGAGAAGAACCAUUGUUGUGACUUUGGCAAGCGUACCAAAUCGUUCAAGUAAUAAAACCGGUAAGACCGAAUAUCGUUUCCCAAGAGACUCGUUGCACUAGACAAUCAUAUAAUUUCUAACUAACCUAGACUAAAGAAUGCUUCCACAAAUUGAGUUUUGGUGCAAUUAAAGUAAACAUGAAACAUAAAUAGUAAAAGUGAUCUUUUGCACUCAAAAACUUGGAAAUGGCAAGAUGAGAAAUGAUAUGGAAUGGUAUUGUGGGGGGUAUGCUUUCACUGAUUUCACUCUUAUGUAAGUAAAAUCACUUCCUCUUCAUUAAUAUGUCAAAGUCAAUCUACUAAUUUACUCAAACCCCAAUCACUUGGUAGAAUGAGCCUAGACUUUCUUAUUAGGCUUCAAUCCCUUGGAAAACCUAACAAUUAAUUCCGCAUUAAGAAAUGAGAUUUUAAGACUACCAAAGGUCCUAGUUCUAUCCCUAGAAACUAUUUUCUUUAGGUGUUUAACCCAAGUCCGGAUUUACCCAACAUUUCCCAAUAUUAAGCAAACCCUAAAAUCAAGUCAUGGGUAGCAACUUCACAACAAGCAUUAAGAGAAGAAAUCAAACACUAACAAUCAAUGAAAGAGGCAUAUAUUCAAUCAAAACAAAGGGCUUUACAUAAGAGUUCAGUGGCUACAACAAUCUCCCAACAAUAAUGAAACUAGCUCUCCAUGAAUGGAAGAAGAAGGACUGCUCCCACAGCUCCUAGCUCGCGUCCAAGAGCUCCAAAACGAGAGAAAUGCGUCUGAGUAACAAAAGAUCCCAAGCUCUUCGUGCCUCUGAGUGAAAUAGGGCAAAUCUGCCAUGUCAGCAAAGUUGGCGCUCAAGUCCCCCCAAAAAUGGGGCGCUCAGGCGUGCGACAGUCAAACUCAGGAACUGGUGCACUAGCGCUCAAGCCCCCUUAAGCUAGGGGGCUUGAGCCUGAUUUCAGCAGAAUUCUUAUUCUUCGUUUUUUUGUUGAUUUUCUUGGUUUUCAGUGCCUUCCUUUGAUGCAUAGACUUCUUCCAAUUAAAUUAAGCACAUAGAAGCAGGGAUUAGUUAUCAAAAUAUCUCAUUAAAGCUUAGGGGUUUAUUAGUAACUUUGUUUAAAUCUUAUUUUAUUACUAUUUUUUUGUAUAGUAAUGUUUAGUUUGAUUUUAACAGAGAUAAAAUAAGAAGAGGUAGUUUUGAUUUUUCAUUUUUAGGUACAAUAUUAUUUUAUUUUCUUGAUAUAAGAUAGAGAUAAAUUAAAUAGUUAUUUUUAUUCUAAGUUAGUUAUAUUUUUUUUUGUUUUUAUUGUUUAUAUUUAUUUCAAAGUCCUAUUUGUACUUAUUUAAAGGUUUUCAAGAUUUAACAAAAAUAACCACUCUAAAUUGAAUGGAUAAUGAUAUUUAGACAACAUUUUUUUGACAACAUUUGAACAUUGAUUACGUGUCAAUCUGUGAUUGGUUAAAAAUCAUUCCACAAUAAUGUUUAUGAUUAUUAUUAUUGAUUGUGGAGUGAUUUUUGACCAAUCAUAGAUUGACACGUAAUCAAUGUUCAAAUAUUGUCAAAAAAAUGUUGUCUAAAUAUCAUUAUCCAAAUUGAAUAGUCCAAUUAUUUGUGUAUGUUUUUUUUUUUAACAAGAUAGGUGUUCUAGAAUAAACAUACAAUUUAAUAGUGGGAAUGAUAGUCAUUAAGAAUGAAAAGAAUGUAAUGAUAUUGACACAUAAAAAUUUCUGUUUUGGAUUUUGACAGCUCAAGCUGGAGAAAAAACUUAAUAUCUCUAAGAUUUUUUAACAUAAAAGAUAGAUACAGCAAAGCUUUAAUAGAGUAGGUAAUACUUUUACUAAGACUAGCAAUUACAAUAUCAUCAACGCAAAUAAAAAUAACAUAUCGUGAAUGCCUUUGAUAAAAAGAAAAAAAAAAUUAUAUCUUAAUAAAACCUUGAGAAUGAUACUAGAAGAAAAGGUAUUAAACCAACUUAUGUUUAUUAUGUGAUAAAUGAAAUUUAUGUUAUGUUGAAUAUUUAUUAUAUAAUAAAUGAAGUUUCACAAUAGAUUAUAAUAAAACAUGUACGUGUGUUAGGAGGAUGCUUAUAUUACUUUUAUAAAGUGUAUGAACCAAAUAGGAAUGAACUUAAGUGAGGAAAAGAAAUAUAAUUUUAUAAAAUAAUUUGAAGAUAAAAAUAUAUAUAACUCAUUUUAUUAUUAAGUCAUCUCAUCGUUGUUGUUAGUAUUAUUACUAUUAUAUAUAUAAAUCUAAUUUGUUUUGCAGGAGAGUACAUCUUAUUUGAGUGAGAGAGAUAUAAAAGGGUUAUGUUUUGGGUCUCAGGUCAUCCCAAACUCCAACUUCUGUCUCUUAGAAUCUCUGAAGGUUGAUGGUUGUCAGUUUUUAUCAGAUAUACUUCUACCAUUCAAUUUACUUCCUUCCUUAGCUAAUUUGGAAAUAUUGGAAGUUCAGAACUGUAUGUUUAUCAAAACCAUAUUUGAUGUCAAAUGUACAACGGAAAGUAAAGAUGUGACAUCUACAGGACCAACUCUUUUUUCUUUGAAGAAUGUGACUUUAUCCAAUCUGCCAAAUUUGAAGAAUGUUUGGAAUGAAGAUCCUGAUGGAAUUCUAAGGAUGCACCAUCUAGAAGAAGUAUACGUUGAGAACUGUAAAUGUCUUAGAAGCGUGUUUCCUGAAUCAAUAGCCAAAGAUGUUGUGGAGCUUAAAAAUCUAGAAGUGGAAGACUGUGAGGGAUUGACGACUAUUGUUGCAGAGAAUAAUAACGCAGAUCCAAGAGGAACUAAUCAAGAUCUCCCCUGUCCAUUGGUAAGAUCACUGAAACUAAAGAGUCUGCCCAUGUUCAAGUAUUUUUACCACUGUUCACUGCAGUGCGACAAUUUUGCAAAUCUAGAAUCACAUAGCGAGAAUCAAGUAGGUACUGAAAAGGUACGUAGUACUGUUUUAUUACUUCCUCACUCACUUAGCUGUUGUUUAAAUUUAAUGUAGAAUCAUCAGUCUCGUUAGUUGUUUGUCAUUGUUCCAUAUGGAGUACGAAAUACUGUGAAAGUUAAAAUCUGAAAAUUUACUUACAAAUCUUCUAUCUUCUUUUUCUAUUAAUCUCUUUUUUUUUUUUUUUUUUGCUUUAUAUCAUUGUUGUCAGAACAUGUAGGAUGGGUAGUGUGUUAAAAGAGUAACCAUUGUCGCAGAGUCUAUAUAUGGAUUAAAUACAAGAAACUCAAGAAAUAGAGGGUACAAACACAAGAAACUCACAACACUGUAAAACCCACAAUACACAUACUUAGUGGUAAACUUAGUCCCUCAGCCUUUAAUUUUGCAUUUCUAAAGCUAAGGCUGCUCACAAACAAUCUUGUACCAUCACGUAGUUAAUUUGUCACCGAUUAUUACUUAUCAGGAAUAUUCGAGCAUUCAAGGUUAUUUACAUGUCUUUUAUAUAAAAGAGAUGGAUUACUAAUAGUCAUAACCUGCUUUUGCUUUUGCUUGUUUUCAGUUAAAGUGGUUGUCACUGGGGAAUAAUGGAGUAGAGAUGAUUUUGCAUGGAGAAUUUCAGAGAAACUUCUUAGAAAACUUAAAAGUUCAUACUCUCUGCUUGUUUUCGGAUGCAUUUGGGUGUGAAAUUCUUGAAGAGGUUCCCAAUAUAGAGAAGCUAGUGGUACGUGGUGGUUCCUUGAAGGAGAUGUUCUGCUGUCAAAGUCCUAACAAUGAAGAUUAUAGUGGACUUCUGUUACAAUUGAAAGAAUUACGCUUAGAGUCCCUUCAAGAGUUGGUUUCCAUUGGGUUAGAGAACUCUUGGACUGAGCCCUUUGUCAGAAAUCUUGAAACCUUUGAAGUCAUUAGCUGUUCCAGUUUAAAAAACUUGGUAACAUGCAGAGAGUCUUUCUCGAAUCUGAUAUGUUUAAAAUUUGAAAACUGCGAUAGCUUGUCAUAUUUGUUCACAUCUUCAACCGCCAAAAGUUUGGCUAAACUCCAAAGAAUGAAGAUAAAAAAGUGUAAAUCAAUUGAAGAAAUAGUAUCUAAAGAAGAGGAGGAAUCAGAUAAAGAUGAAAUAAUAUUUCCGAAGCUCAAUUGUUUGAAACUUAAAUAUCUGAAAAAUCUCCGAAGGUUUUACAAAGGGAGUUUAAGUUUUCCACUGUUGGAGGAAUUGUCAAUAAGAGAUUGCGACGAUAUGGUAAGUUUAUGUCAAGGUACUCUGGAGGCAAGUAAGUUGUCUCAAGUUAUACCAUUGGAAAUUGAUCUUAGCUCUGCUAUAUGGAAGGAAUUUAUGAGCAAGGUACGUGUUUAUUUAUUCAACAUUCUGGUAGCAAACAAGAGACAUUUUCUAUCAUUACAAACAAAAAAUAUAUAUAGAAAAUCAUACAUAAAAUUUAUAAUAAACGUUUAAUCAAAUGUAUCUACAUUUCCUUUAGACCUUUUAUUUGAGAAAAAAAAAAAUGAGUCUUGCAAAAUAUUCAACUUACAGAUCAAAUAACUAAAAAAGAGAAAUAAAUAUAUAUAUAUAUAUAUAUAUAUAUAUAUAUAAAGAUUUUAUUGGUUGACAUGUGCUGAUUUCGCCAGAUUGGAAGGAGAUCGAGUGUUGAGUUCAAAGAUAGGGCAGACCUAAACGAGAUAUGGCGUCUCUCACUGCAAUUCCAGGACUUCUGUUUCAGUAACUUGGAAACCUUGGUUGUGGAUGGGUGCCAACUUUUAUCAUAUGUAAUUCCCUUCCAUGUGCUUCCUUUGUUACCUGAAUUGCAAACAUUGGAAGUUCGAAACUGUGAUUCUGUUAAAACCAUAUUUGAUGUCAAAUCUUCACAACACACAUUCACUUUUCCUCUAAAGAAAUUAGUUUUACUGAAGCUGCCAAAUCUUGAAACUAUUUGGAAUGAAGAUCCUGCUGAAAUUGUUACAGAGCCUAAUCCAACUCAUCCAGAACAAACAAAUCCUAAGGUAACAUUCCCCUGUGAUUUGCCCAAGUUCAAGCAUAGUUGUAUACAUUGCAUUCAUGAUCCAACAGCAUAAUAGUACAUGCAUUUGAGGAUUUUUUUUUCCAAGACAAUUACAUAUAUUCUUCUACUUCCAUUGAAAUUAUCAUGCAUCAAAUAUUGCUUAAAUCUUUAUAAACAAUCAUAGAAAGUUUGUUUCAUUAUUUUCUUCAAGGAGGAACCACCUCUCAUAUCAUUUCAUCUAAAAUUUUAAACUCGAAAUUGUUGUUAAGUGCAUACGGUCUGGCUUGUUCAUCUUUUUUACAUUUUUUUAAAUAAACGUUUUUUCUUUCAAAUCGACUUAUUCACACCUAUUUUUAUUUUAUAUUGAUUUGUUUAGUUUUUUACUAAUUAUCAGACUUAUAUUAGCAUGAAAGUUCACGGUUUCAAUUUUAUAUAGAGAGAAGAAUAUAUAUGACUGUGCUAACUGCUUUCACUUCGUUAUUGGUUUCUCUUUGUAGCUAAUUACACCGAACUUAGAACACCUGACAGUGGGUGAAAAUGAAUUAAAGAUAAUUGUCGAUGGGAAAUUUCAGAGAAACCUUUUACACAAGUUAAAAGUUCUCGGUCUGUGCUUUGAUAUGGAGUGUGAUGAAUUUCUGGAGUAUGGAUUUCUACAACAGUUGCCAAAUGUAAUGAAGCUUAUGGUGUGUGACAGUUCCUUCAAAGUGAUUUUCUGCUACCACAUACCUAAUAAUAGUGAAAUUCUUAUACAAUUGAAAGAAUUACGCUUGGAAUCCCUUCAAGAGUUAGUUUCCAUUGGCUUAGAAAACUCAUGGACUGAACCCUUUGUCAGAAAUCUUGAAACCUUUGAAGUCAUUAGCUGUUCCAUUUUAAAAAACUUGGUAACAUGCAGAGUGUCUUUCUCGAAUCUGAUAUGUUUAAAAGUUGAAAACUGCGAUAGCUUGACAUAUUUGUUCACAUCUUUAACAGCCAAAAGUUUGGCUAAACUCCAAAGAAUGGAUAUAAAAAAGUGUGAAUCAAUCGAAGAAAUAGUGUCUAAAGAAGGAGAGGAAGCAGAUGAGGGUAAAAUAAUAUUUCCGAAGCUCAAUUGUUUGAAACUUAAAUAUCUGAAAAAUCUCCAAAGGUUUUACAAAGGGAGUUUAAGUUUUCCAUUGUUGGAGGCAUUGUCAAUAAGAGAUUGCGACGAUAUGGUAAGAUUAUGCGGAGGUACUCUGGAGGCAAGUAAGUUGUCUGAAGUUAAACUUGAAGAAUCAAACACUAAAUUGAAAACUGUUCUCAACUCUACUAUGAGGAAGGAAUUUCUGAAAAAGGUACGUCGUUAAUAUUUUUUUUUAAUUGAACAUUGUUACGAUUCUUGUCUAUAGCUCAUGUUUAAAUUUGCAAGAUAAACUGUUCACAAUAGCCUACUGCUAUUCUAGGCGACAGAAAAUAUAUAUAACUGUGACCUUAUGUACGACUUGAUUAACAAUUCUCCAAAACAAUAUUUCAUAAUAGGAUUAUACUCUUCAUAUUUUUUUAACUACUAGGAGUUGCCUACUGCAAGACUAAGUAUAAAAAAAAAAAAAAGAUAUAGAUGGAUGUAAUUUUGAUUAUUACAAUUUUUUCUAUAACUUCUAAUUCACAUUGUGUCUAUAAUUUAAACUCAAAAUUAUAAUAUUUAUUUACAAAUUUAAUUAAUAACUAUAACGAAAUUUAUGGAAAAAAUUUAAAAGUACUAUAAUAUUUCAAAAUAAACAAAAUAUAAAUAAUGGGGUUUGUUAACCCGUAUACUAAUUUCAAAAUAAAAAUAGUGCGUAUUUCAUAUUUGUAGAGUACUAAUUUAAAACAUAUUUAGUUUCAUAUUUUUUUUAUUUAUUGUUUUGCACAUGCAGAUUUCAGAGCUUGACAAACUUGAUCUAAAAAGUAGGCCACUCCAAAAGAUAUGGAAUGGCUUACUGGAUAUCUCCGACCUCUGUUUCAGUGGGUUAGCUAUAUUGACUGUGAAUGACUGUCCAUUUUUAUCAGAUGCAGUGUUACCUUUCCAUUUACUUCCUUUAUUACCUAGAUUGAAAACAUUGGAAGUUGGAAACUGUGAUUAUGUCAAAACCAUAUUUGAUGUCAAAUGUACAACAAAAGACACAUCAUUUACUUUUCCUCUGAAGAAAUUGGUUUUAUCCAAGUUGCCAAAUCUGGAGAAUGUUUGGAAUGAAGAUCCUCAUAAAAUUUUAUGCAUGCAACAUCUAGAAGAAAUACAUGUCAAGGAAUGUAAGGACCUUAAAACUGUGUUUCCCCCAUCAGCAGCCAAAAGUCUUGUGGAACUUGAAGAUCUAGUAGUGGAAGACUGUGAGGGAUUGAUGGCAAUUGUUGCCGAUGAAUCUAAGGAGGGGAAUGAAUUAGAUAAGAAUGGGAUAAUAUUUCCUCGGCUCAGUUAUUUGAAGGUAGAAAGUUGCAAUACUCUGCCAUAUUUGUUCACAUCUUCGACAGCAAAAGGUUUGGCUGAACUCAAAACUAUGAAGAUAAAACAAUGUAAAUCAAUUGAAGAGGUAGUGUCGAAGGAGGGGGAAGUAUCUGAUGAGGACGAAGAAAUAAUAUUUAAGCAGCUCGAGGAUUUGUAUCUUGAAAAGUUAGAUGAGCUAGGGUGCUUUUAUUCUGGCAAUUUAACUUUAAGUUUUCCCUCCUUGGAGGAAGUCCACGUCAUCAAGUGCAGCUCUAUGAAAACUUUCAGUGCAGUAAACAAAAUAAAUCAUCCCACAAAAUGGUAUUGUUCAGAAUAUGAGAGACCCCAGAAAGAAACUGAUCUCAAUUCUGCUGUGCUCAAAACUUCUGCAAAGGAGGUACCUACACUUUUACGUCUUAAUGUUUCUUCAUAGAGAAUGAUAGAUGAUAUUGUCCAGAAAUUCUAGAUUCCUGUAUAACAAUAUUUUCAGACAUUAUUUUUAGUGUAAUGUGUUUUUUAGUUGCAUCGUGCAUAAAAUUAACUUGUACGUAUUCUUUUGUUUUAAAUAGGCUCCAGAUGCUUCUGGUGCCAUCAUUUCAGUUCUCCAAUAGCACAGAUAGUGAAUAUGGUACAUCAAAUAUUAUCUAAUGCUACUAAAUUGUUACUUUUUUUAUGGUGAGUUAUGAGUUAUACUAUCAUUUUCUCUAUGCAUAUGCAGGUGGUGAUCAAUAAGAAGCAGUUUUUCACAGCAUUACAUGAUGAUUAUGACUGAGUAUGUAAGCAAUUUUUUUUAGUUUAAUUUAAUAUUAUAUUGAUUUCUAUUUAAAUGGAUGUUUUAGUUGAGACUUAUGAUAGAAUGAUAUUCUCUAUAUAUAAUGCUACUUUUACUUCCUUUGUAAUUAAAUUCAUAUUCUUUUCUUAAUAACUUUUAUGAAAGUAUAGUAAUUGUUCUUGUACAUUGUAUAGGUUGAAUCUGAGUUGCCGACUACAAUAUUGCAGUAACUAAGAGGAGAUGGAAGGCAUAAUUAAAGAGUGCAUGAAGAUGAAUCUAUCUCUAUUUUACUAUUUUUGUGUGAUUUUUUUUCAAAAUAAAAAAAAAAAUGUGUUUGUUCUAGCUCGUUGAAGAUGAAAUACAUUAUAUUAUUUAUAUUAUGUAAUGUGGGAUUAAGAAUGAUGAACAGUCAUGAACUGUCACUAAAUAUUGACUGUAAGUGCUUAUGCCGAAAAAAAAAAAGUGUGCUUGUUUUCAUAUGUUGUUAAUUUUAUUUAUAUCUCAGGUUUGAUCAUAAUACUUUAUUGGAGCUGAGCAACACUUAGCCUGCUUUUACUUCGUCAUUGCUUUCUAUCUGUAGCUAAGAACUUAGAAAAUGAAAUGAAGAUAUUACUCUGUGCUUUCAUAUUGAGUUGUAUUUCUGGAAUUUAUGGAACACCUCUUGUGGUGAAAUGUGGAGAACCUUGUGGUGUGUUAUGGUUUCUUGAAGGGACACCUCUUACAGCUGAAAGAAUUACACUUGAAGUCCUUUCGGAAAGGGGUUUUCAUUGGGUGAGAGAACUCUUGAACUGAGUCCUUUGUUAGAAAUCUAGAAAUCUAGAAAUCUUUGAAAUCAAAUCAAAGCAAUGGAAAUAAAAAGGUGAAAAUCAAUUAAGAGAUAGUCUCAAAGGAGGGGGAGGAAGUGAGCAUGAAAAGUUAAUAUUCCAGCAGCUGUAGGUUUUGUAUCAUAGGCUAAGCUGUUUUUAUUGUAGCAAUUUUACUUUAUGUUUUCCUUCGAGGAAGUGUUCGGAAGAUAAUAAAAAUAAUAUUCGAAAGUUAAAUUUACAUGAUUUCUUUACAUAAAAAAUAUGCAAAGUAAUGAAAUGUACCGAAUAAAAGAAACAAAUUAACACAAACUAAACUUUUUUUAACGUUCUAGAUACUAUUAAAGUUCAAAUGCAAUUAGAUAUGAAAAUUUUGCUCGCAAGUCUUUUUCCUAAUUAAAUGAAAUCAAAACUAAGAAUACCUCUUGUACAAUUGAAGCAGAUGGCUUGUCAUUGCAUGUUUAACUUCAGCAUUGCUAAAUUUUGUGAUGCACAUGAGCUAGGUAUAUAGCCUUUCUAAACCUAUUGUUAACUUGAAAAUUAAGUUCAUUCAUGUAGUGUGGGGGCAGGAUAACUUGUUGUCAUCGUCAAUAAAUUUUUUUUUUUUGUUUUGUAGUGUUAUUAAAAAAGAGAGAAACAAAAAGUAAAUUAAGUAAAACAAGACAAUAUUGAUUUAUAUAUUAACUAAUUGGGGAUGUAAAUUUCUAUAUUUUAUAUUUUUUAAUUUGUACUUUAUUGCUUUAAAUUAUGUAGAAAUAUAUUUAUUUUUAUUUGUUCGUUUGUGAGAAUUUUUAAAAGAAAAGUUUGUUUAAAUAUCUUAUCUUAUAUUAGAAAGAAAAGUUUGCAGUGUACGAUGGUUCCUUGAAGGAGAUCCUCUGCUGUCAAAGUUCUGAUAAUGUUGAUUACAGUGGCCCACUGUUGGAAAAAUUGGAUUCUAUGACGGGAUAUUAUGAUAGAUGAAAUCCACCUUUCAUAAUACAUUGAUCGGUAAUAAUUUUGUAAUAAAAUUAAAAUAUAUUAUAACAUUUUAUAAAACUUCGUAAUAAGUAUACCGGCGAUAUUUUCGUAAUAAAAAUUAAAUAUAUUAUAACAGAUUAAAGAUCACCUAUCGUAAUAAGCUAGACGUGGUGGGAAGUUCGUUGUAGAAACCAUAUUAUGACAGAUAUUUAAAAACAUAUCAUAAUACCCCUUCAGAAAUCUCGACCUUCUCGAGUAGACCAUUUCAUUUCUUCCAAUUCGUCCCGCGCACAGCUUUUCUUUCUCCUUUACCAUUUCACUGCACAACUUUUCUUUCUCUUCACCGUUUCUUCCAAUUUUUUUCUCUCAUCCCAGAGCACUGUCUCCAAGCCCUAAGCAUCUCCAAGCCCUAAGCGUCUCCAUGCCUUAAACGUCUCCAAGCCUAGUCUGCGCACACUAGUCGUAGCAUCCACGCCGUCUCCUGGUGGUCGCUGAGGAUUGUGAGAUUUCGGUCUUCGAUCUCAGCCGAGGACAGUGGCGAGACUGUGAGGGAAGAGUGCAAGUCGCACAUUGCUAGGGUUUCACAGGAAUGGGGUUUCUUUCAGGUCGACGAGGAUGCCGAAUUGAACAGUUUGAAAAAGGUAGGACUUAAGUAAACUUUUGAAAAAAGGAGGGACCACUUUGAACAGUUUUUGCAAAAGGUAGGACUUAAGUGAACUUUUGAAAAAAGGAGGGACCACUUUGAACAAACCCUCCCAAGGAGGGACCAAAAUAGGUAUUAAACCUUUUGUAAAUAGUUGUUGCUUGAUUGAAUAUAUGUAAAUGUAUUUGUGAUUUUUAUUAAUAAAUACCUUUUACUUUUCUUUAUUACUCAUUGUACAUAUCUAAAAUUAAAUCACAAUUUAUCAUCAGAAUUAAAAAAAAAUCAACAAUUUAAUUUUAUUAAGGAUUGAUUUACUUUUCUUUAUUAGUAGACUGAUUUAUUUUCACUAUAUUUUGUUGACAAAGAGAUGUAGUCGAGGAGAUACAGGAAAAAGAAGUUCGAAGUAUGGAUAUUGUGUUGAAGAUAUUUGAUCCAGUAAUUGAUUUUGUGUGGGAUCAUGGUAUUAAGCAGGUGACCUACAUUUUUUGUUACACGAAAAAUUUUAAGGAACUAAAUAAGAAAGUUAAGCGUCUUGGAGAAGUAAAAGAGAGUUUAGAUCGUCAACGUGAUGAAGCUAGAAGAAAGGGUGACAUAGUUGAAGCUAGGGUUGAAGAAUGGUUUGGGGAAGUGGGUGAAUUUGAGAGUAGUGUUGAGAACUAGAGGAAAAAUGCAGGUCACAAGAGGACAAGUGGUCUUUAUUAUUUGCUUCCUUACUAUAGGCACAAACUGGGCAGACAAGCAAAGAAGAUGGAAAUGGAGGCUUUGAGACUAAGAGAUGAGUCCCCUAAGGUUGAUGAAGUUUCCCAUGCAGAGAAAGUAACAUCUUUUGACCUCACUUCGUCUAAUCUUGGCUACAUUGAAUUUGAUAUUAGAAAAUCCAUUGUGAAAGACAUAAUGACAAAACUUAAAGAUCCCAAUGUGAAAAUUAUUGGACUCUAUGGAUCACAAGGGAUGGGCAAGAGCACUUUAACAAAGCAAAAAUUUCAACUCUUCCUUCAGCCAAAGCAAAAAUUUCAAUUAAAAUAAAAAAAACCCUAAUGCUAAGAAGACGAAAACGAACACAUCAAACUAAUAGCUUAAUCAAUAGGUUUAUGGUUAUAAGACGUGAAAAUUUGACGAAUUUAAUCGUGGGUAUUCUUAUUAGCCAACUGAUCAUCUUAGGAUCACACCUCUGCCACACGCAUUUCUCACCAUACUUCUGCAACUGCAAAUUUUUAAUAUUAUGUUUAAGUUUUAAAAAUUAGCUUUAAAUCUCUUUUUGGUUUCUAAGUUAUAAGCGAAUGUUAAAAGUACAGAGAGCAAUAUAAAGUGCUCUUAUUAUUAAGAAACAAAUCAGAAAGAAACAACCAAAAACAGUAUUUCAAGUCAAAAAAAUUUGAUACAUUUUGUAUAACUUAAGAACCAAAGGUUUACAUUUUUAAAAACGGGAACUAAACUGAAUAUCCGUUCAUAACUUAGGAACCAAAGAAGUUUAAACCUAAAAAUUAACUUUCAAGUAAUAAAGAAUACUUAAACACUUAACAUGUUAGUACAAAAGUUUUAGAGAAACAAAAGAUGUGGCGGUUAAAAUAAAUUAACAAAAAUUAGUAUAUUUAUAGUCAUUUCCUUAACAGCUAAAAAGAAAGCACUAAUUAAAAAUACAUUUUUUUAAUUGUCCCACUUUAAUAAAUAAUAAAUAUAAGGAUACAAUUCUUUGUGAGAUUUAAAUUUUUAUAUUAAUUAUUUAAUUUGUAUUUUUUAUUAUAUUUUUAUCUAUAAAUAAAAUUUUUCUAUUAAUAAUAAGAUACAGAAAACUAAUCUAUGUUCUUUCUUAUGCUCUAACGUUACUUUAUCAUACUUUUUAUUAUCAGAGUUAUUUUAUACCACAUUAUCAACUUCUUGUUUUAACCAGUUGAGCUAAUGGAAGUAUUUUUUUUUUUCUUUAAGGAUAGUGUUUUGUGUAUCUUAACCUAAGCUUUUUCUAAUUUUUUUCUCAUUUAUAAUUUUAUUUUAUAUUUUUUUUGUGUGAUAAAAAUUGUUUGAUUUUAUUAAUUAUUAUCUAUCUUAUUAUUAUUAUUUUUACUAUAACUAUUUUUAUGAGGAUGAUUAUUAUAAUUAUUAUUCUCCUAACAUUUAAUGUUGUUUUAUUAAUUUUAGUUUCAUGAAAAUUAUUACUGUAAAUAUUUUAUGCAUUAGUUCUAAAUAUGUCAAACUUUGUAAAAUUUGAAAUUGUAACCUUGAUAUAAUGAGAAACAAUUACUUAUUUUAGAUACUAGAUGAUGACAUAUAUUUAGAUGCAACGGUUAUUGGUCAUACCAUUAAAUAAAGAAAUAAAGAAUCUUAUGGACUAAUUUGUUUCAACAACAAUAUCGUGAAAAACGAUUUCACAAAUAUUUUGAAUUAAUUUUAUGUCUUUUUGUGACUGAAUAAAAAAAAAUAAGUUUUUUUAUGAAAAAUCAUGAGACUCGUCCAAUUAAUUUUGUUCCAUUUCUAGAAGUGAGUGCAACAAUAUCCGAUUCAUAUUUUCAUGGUCAUAGUUGUGGUCUUGGUCGUGAUCAUGAUUUUGUCAGUGAUCAUGGUAGUAGACUUGAUCAAAAAGGAAAUUUCAAAAAAAACAUUUUAUCAUCAUAUCUAAAAUAAUAAUGUGAGAAAGGAAAAGCAAAAGGUUAAAAUAAUGACAAAUAAGAUGAAAAUAUAUAUUAUCGUUGUAAUGAUAAAGGUCAUUGGAGUCAUAUUUGUCAUACAUUUUUUAAUAAAGUGACAAAAGAAGUCUUUAUGUAAUGAAGUUUUUAAUUUAUUUUUAUUAUAAUAAAUUUAAGCCUAAUUUUCUAUCGUAUUUUCACUAUAUAUAUUGAUUUGAAAUAUGCCUAGUAUUAUACAUAGGUAUAAGAAUCAAUUUUUCUUUAUAGAAUGUAUAUGUGCAAUGAGUGUAUGACGAGCAUUUAUUAUUAUAUAGAUUUUAUAUAGUAAUUGUUAUAGAACUGUGAAUGGAAAUAUUCAAAUAUCAAUAUUAUACAUAUUAUAUAUAUAUAUAUAUAUAUAUAUAUAUAUAUAUAUAUAUAUAUAUAUAUUAUAAGAAAAUAAAAACAUAAAUCUAUAUCAAAAUUCCUAUUUCACAUUCUUACACAUAAUAUGUAUAUUUUAAUAUAUCAUUAACUUAAAAUAUAUUCAUUUGUAAUAUAUAUAUAUAUAUAUAUAUAUAUAUAUAUAUAUAAAGAUUUUUGGAGAUUAUGUUUUAUAUUUUUUAUGAUAAUAUAUGACUUGCAGAGUUGAUUAAUUUUGGGAUGCACCAAGAACGAGUUAAGAUUAUUAAAUCUAUUAAAAUUUAAUUAAAUACAAUCAUUUGGUAUACAAUAGUGUUGUAUAGACUAAUAUGUUGGGUACAAACAAAGUCCCACAUCAGAAAAAAUAAGAGAUGGACAUGGGUUUAUAUACACAUAAGAUACCUCUAUUGAUAAGAGGCAUUUUGGAUGGUACCAAAAACAAAUCCGUGAGGGCUUGGCCGAAAGCGGACAAUAUCUUAUCAGUGUGGAGACUUAUGUGCAAGAAGUCAAUAUUAGCAUUGUUUUUAGUACUAUAAAUAUAACUAAAGGCUAGAGCUAUUAUACUUCUGCCAUGAAGUCUAAUAGAAACUUAUUAAGCUCCAAAGAUAUUUGUCUAAAUAAAUAUCAUAUUAAGAUGAACAAUGAAGGAGAUCUGAAAUAUUUUUAUAUCAUUGGACUUGGGUUGAAUAAAAAAUGUUGUAUUGGAAAAAUUACAAAUCUUCUCUUAUGGUUUGUACUACACGUAUAUUAAUACAAUUAAAAUGGAUGUCAUUGUAAACUAAAAGUUUACAAAUGAUGCAAUAAAUAGUUGAAAACUCAUGUGGACACCCACUUAACAUAUUUGUUUAUUAUCAACUCACAAUCAGAUAUUUGCAAGGUCAUUAGCACAAUUAAUCAAGUUAAAAGCUCAUCUCCCAUAUUAUCCGAUUAAGAAAAUUUGUCAUAAUAAUCCUGAUGAAUUUUCAUUUCAUGCUUUCAUGAGCGUUGAAUGUCAAUUGGAAUUGAAAUAGAGCAUCCAAUAGCACAUGUUCAUACUCAAAAUGGACUUUCAUAAUCAUUAAUAAAACGUCUAAAACUAAUUACAAGAACAUUAGUUAUGAAAGCCAAUCUUUUAAUGGCUAUUUGGGGAUACACAAUUUUGCAUGUUGUAGUAUUGAUUCGCAUCAAGCCAACAAGUUAUCACAAAUACUCUUGCAAUUAGUUUUUGGUAAGUAACCUAAUAUUUCUCAUUUAAGAAUUUUUCAGUGUAUUGCAUGUGUUCCCUUUUCCCACCAAAAAGGACUAUGCCUUUUUCAUUUGGCAACAACAAAAACAGAAGUAUAGUAGUAUGUAUAAGAAGAAAAUCUUAAAGAAAAGGCAGAUUAAUAAUCACCUGCAAUAGACGUUUAGUAAAUGUCGCUACAUGCUUUAAAUCCUAAAAAGAUCCUUAUUCUGAUUUGGAAAAAAAAAAAAACUAAAAAAGGAUUUGGGCUUGGCCUAAUUUUGCUGUAGAUUAAAUAGAAAAAUUAAAAAUUAAAAAAAAAAUAAAAAAUAAAAUUCUAAUUUCAUUUUUUUAAAACGGAUACAGUGAUAUCUAAACCCGAUCCGAGCGAGAAUUAAAAUACCUAUUACCCGCAGAUACCUCUUACCCGCGGAUGCUAAAUACCCAUAGCGGAUUUUAUCCGCGGAUACGUGCGGGUAUGAGGUUUUUUGUCCUCCCUACCUAUGUUGUGUCUUCAAGUUGGAGAUUUUCAAGAGCCAUAAUCUUUUGAUUGGGUUGAUGAGGCUCGUUAAAGACAGGAGACAUUCAAAUGGAAUUUGUCCAAGUUCUAGAGAACAGUUUGCCACGUCAAUUUGAUCAGUUGUCUCAUAACUGGAUAGGUCAUUUAUUAUUAGUUACGGUGGACAUUAUAUCGUUAAUUUUUAACACGGUAAGCAAAAAGGACCAACUUAAAUACGAAAUAUGGAAAAAGUAGGACAACUUCAUCGCCCCAAGGGACCAAAUUAUGUAUUAAGAAAAAAAAUAUAUGUAUUAAUUUAAUUGAAUAUGACAUUUACAUUUUUUUUUUAAAUUUAGCAUCAUUCAAAAGUCCAACUAUAUCGUAGCAUGAAAGUUAAAUGACUGACCUGGUUCUCGAAUUAUUUUAAGUUUUCCAAACAAAGUUUAUAAAUUAUGAUUUAUGUAUUCAAUUCUUAAAUUAAAAUAAUCUUAACCAGGUUUGAUUUGAGGGACUCAAAAUUUAUAGGAAAUAAUAAUUUAUGAUGGUUUUAAAAAGUUUAGAAUCAAAUAAAAAAAUCCCAUAAUAAAAUAUUUAUUCACAAAAAUAUUUAGCGACCUUUUUAUAAUUAUCUGCUAUAAUUAAAUUUCAAAAGAAAAAUAUUUUUUCUUAAUGAAAACUAACAGUCGAAACCAUUUUCAGUGUUACGAAAAUUAAAUAAAAUUCUAAUCUAACUCAAAUUUAACCUUGUUAGCAUUCUCUCGAAAUUAAAUCGUGUACUAAAAAUAGUCUGUAAAGAGAAGUUAUUAACACGGUCAACCAAAUAUUAUAUACUUGUAAAAUUAUUAAACAUCAUUCUAAAAUAAAACAAGAAAAAAUAAAUGUUAAAUGAUAUCAAAUCCACUUAAACACAACUAUUUCAAAUUCCAAAAUAUAAUGCAGGCUUGUUCUACGCCACCUUUAUCAAUUUAGGUUUUGAUUUCUUCGUUUGUCUUCUGCACUGAAUUAUUGUUAAUCUCCUCCUUCUUCCUUUUAGUUUCUGCUGCACUUUUAGUUUCUUCCUUCUUCCUUUUUUCUUGUUUCUCUUUCUCUUUCUUGUCAUUUAACUCGAUAUCUUUCUCACUUUUUCGUCUUUUUCUUUUUUCUCGUUUUUUGUUUCUCUUGUUUCUCCACCAACCCCAUAAUGGAAUGAGUCUUUGAAGUCUCCACUUCAACAAUAAGCAGGAUAGGCUCCGAGUAAAAGCACCUUCGUCGGAGGUCAAAGAAGCCCUCAACAGGUUUAUCGCCUGACCAAAAUCGACACAUAUAUAUAUAUAUAUAUAUAUAUAAUUAGACAAAUAUUAAAUAAAACAAUUGGUAUCAAUCAGAUUUUCUUAAACCAAUAUCGAAAGAACAAGUCGUCAAGAGUGGAUUGUGAAGGUUACCUUUGACUUUGUGAUUUUCAGCAGAUGUUCCUCCAAAUCAGGAGACGGCAGAUUAUCCGAACCAGUAGACGGCAGAUUAUCCGAAACAGUAGACAGUAGAUUAUAAGAAUCAAGACUGGUAGUUGUCAACGGUGACAAUUUCAGAUUAUCCCACACAAGAAAUAGACAAGGCCUCUUCAUAAAUCCCACACCAUCUCUUUUUUUUCUAUCGGAAGAUCUUGGGUCCAACAUUUUGAUAUCUUUGGGCUGUUGUAGCAUAUCAUGUUUCUUUGAAAUCAUUCUCUUUUCACAGAUGACACGACCGUUUUCAUUUUUCAUUUCUCCAAGGCCAUACCAAUAUUUGGCAGUGUCAUCUUGCUUUGGUUUUAAUAGCGGAUUUCUCUCACAACCAAAAUAAGGAGCCACCUUGGGAUUCAGCAAGGAUUUGUUCGAUGACUCUAUGAACCACGAUGGAUCCAGAUUCUUCACACUUUUAUACAAGUUACGAAUGCUUCCUAAGGACAAUCUGCCAUUCCUAAACUUCAGAAUAGAUGCAAGAAGUGGUAUGGGGUAGCAGGACAGUUUCUUAUUCUUAAGGUUCAGAAUAAAUCCAAGAGGUGUUGUGAGGAAACUGGCCACAAAAUCGACAAAAUCCCCAUCUGCUUCAACGAAUUUAAUCUUGUUGUCUGAUUUACUCACCAUUACCUUGAUUUCUAAAUAACCUUUGUAAUCACUUGGACCAAAAACUCGUGAGAAAGAGACCGAUCGCUUGGAUGUGUUUUUCAAUAACACAUCACUAAGAGGGGUUUCGGAGAUUAAUGCUUGCUUCAGUAUGUGAAGUAUCUGAAAGAAGAUAAGUAAAAGAAUAUACCAAAUUCAUAACAGUUAACGCUAUAAACUCCUACUAUCCAAUAUUGGACUAUCAUUCUUGAAACAUAAAAAAAUUCGUGCAAUCGCUUCCUCAUAAAUAUUACCUUUUCCCUGUCAAGUAUUUCCUCACGCUUGGGGAGAUUUUUGUGUCGAGGUUUGAGGGGUGGUUUAAUGAAUUCACUGGGAGAGCUUCGACGCACUGUCAAGUUAUCAUAGAUUAAGAACUUGGCUUUUCCUUUAACAAAAACACCAUCGUCAGCAGCAGCCUCUUCCAGCAGUUCUAUUUCUUUCCUCAUCAAUGACCCGCAGUCGCAUUUUACAUCUUUAAAGGAACUCACCAACAAAUUACUUCCUUUCUUUGAACAGUUAUGACACAUGAAAUACUUUGUGGGUUCUGAAUCAUCCAGUUUCACUUUUAAUCUCUGGCAAGAGCUCUCUAAGGGGUUGCGAGGAGAAUGUAACAUUUUCUGGCAGAUCUUGUUCCUGAAAUCAUCAGGCUUCAAAGUAUUAACACUCUUGUACAGCUCGUUGAUGCAACCAAGCUUUACUUGUUGUUCAGAGGUGUUGCGAAGCCCAAACAUAUCCUUAAAACUCUGGCACAAUUUGUUGAUGCAACCAGUUCCUGCUUGUUGUUCAGAGUUGUUCGCAAGCCCUAGUUGUUGUCCAGAGCCGUUCUCGCGCCCUUCAUGUUGUUCAGAGAUGUUGUCUUGCCUUUGUUGUUGUUCAGAGCUGUUAUCACGUCCAUCAUGUUGUAAGGAGGUGUUCUCACGCCCUUCUUGUUGUUGAAGGGUGUUCAAAAGGCGGAUGAUAGUUCCCAGUGGAAGGGUAAGGAAACUGAAGAGAACAUCUACCAAGUCCCCAUCUGCUUCUGCUACAAUCACACGUUUCUUUUCUUUGUCCACCCAAUAUUUCAAACUCAAACCGUUUCCUACUUCUUUGUUUGAAGCCAUAACUGAAACAUAAAACUAAAUAAUAUUAACCAAUUCAAAAGAAAAACCAGUUUUAGUGAAGUUUCUGAUUCAAAUCAAUUAUUGCACUUAGGCGAUAUUUCUAGGAAUCACUUCUGCCAAAUGCAAUUGAAUUUUCUGAAACACCGCGUGCUUCUGACACCCAAAUAUCACAGAUUAGAUUCUUUUUCUUAUGCCACACUCUUCCUUAUACUUACAGAGAUAGUAUUAUUCUCUCUUCCAUUAUUUACUCUACACGCCCAAUCCAUCCAUUUUCUAAUAUUUACUUUCUUUUCAUAUAAAUAAUACCUCAAGUGUAUUUAUUUGAAUAUAAGCAACAUUGCAAUUAAAAUAAACGUAAGUUUAAAAUUUUUUAAAUAUAUGUUUAUUUAAAUCUAAUAUAUAUAACGAUUAAAAUAUGAAAAAAAUUCAUUAUUAUUUUAAAAACAACUGUUUUGAGAAAAAUAAUUUGUAUGCAUGUGAAGAAUUAAAAAAUUAAAUACUAAAAAUUAAAUAUUUAUAAUAAACAAAUCAAAAAUGAAAAUAAAAUUAUAAAAUUUUAUGAAAGAUAAAAUGAAAAAAAUUGUAAAAUUUGGUAUAUAGCUUUAAGUAACAAAAAUUUAGAAAGUGAAUUCAUACUUAAAAUUUUGUAAAUAAUAAAAACAUUAAUAAAAAUUGAAUACGUAUUUAAUAACAUUUUUUUAAUUUGGUAGCUUAAACAUAAAUAUAAGUCAUUCAAAAAUCACAAAUUAUAUAUAUAUAUAUAUAUAUAUAUAUAUAUAUAUAUAUGGGGUUUGCUAACUUGCGUACGCCUGUUUUUCAGUUGGUACAUUUUAGCAAUGUGUACCGGGUUUCAGUAGACAAAAAUACCCUUAUAUUAUGNNNNNNNNNNNNNNNNNNNNNNNNNNNNNNNNNNNNNNNNNNNNNNNNNNNNNNNNNNNNNNNNNNNNNNNNNNNNNNNNNNNNNNNNNNNNNNNNNNNNNNNNNNNNNNNNNNNNNNNNNNNNNNNNNNNNNNNNNNNNNNNNNNNNNNNNNNNNNNNNNNNNNNNNNNNNNNNNNNNNNNNNNNNNNNNNNNNNNNNNNNNNNNNNNNNNNNNNNNNNNNNNNNNNNNNNNNNNNNNNNNNNNNNNNNNNNNNNNNNNNNNNNNNNNNNNNNNNNNNNNNNNNNNNNNNNNNNNNNNNNNNNNNNNNNNNNNNNNNNNNNNNNNNNNNNNNNNNNNNNNNNNNNNNNNNNNNNNNNNNNNNNNNNNNNNNNNNNNNNNNNNNNNNNNNNNNNNNNNNNNNNNNNNNNNNNNNNNNNNNNNNNNNNNNNNNNNNNNNNNNNNNNNNNNNNNNNNNNNNNNNNNNNNNNNNNNNNNNNNNNNNNNNNNNNNNNNNNNNNNNNNNNNNNNNNNNNNNNNNNNNNNNNNNNNNNNNNNNNNNNNNNNNNNNNNNNNNNNNNNNNNNNNNNNNNNNNNNNNNNNNNNNNNNNNNNNNNNNNNNNNNNNNNNNNNNNNNNNNNNNNNNNNNNNNNNNNNNNNNNNNNNNNNNNNNNNNNNNNNNNNNNNNNNNNNNNNNNNNNNNNNNNNNNNNNNNNNNNNNNNNNNNNNNNNNNNNNNNNNNNNNNNNNNNNNNNNNNNNNNNNNNNNNNNNNNNNNNNNNNNNNNNNNNNNNNNNNNNNNNNNNNNNNNNNNNNNNNNNNNNNNNNNNNNNNNNNNNNNNNNNNNNNNNNNNNNNNNNNNNNNNNNNNNNNNNNNNNNNNNNNNNNNNNNNNNNNNNNNNNNNNNNNNNNNNNNNNNNNNNNNNNNNNNNNNNNNNNNNNNNNNNNNNNNNNNNNNNNNNNNNNNNNNNNNNNNNNNNNNNNNNNNNNNNNNNNNNNNNNNNNNNNNNNNNNNNNNNNNNNNNNNNNNNNNNNNNNNNNNNNNNNNNNNNNNNNNNNNNNNNNNNNNNNNNNNNNNNNNNNNNNNNNNNNNNNNNNNNNNNNNNNNNNNNNNNNNNNNNNNNNNNNNNNNNNNNNNNNNNNNNNNNNNNNNNNNNNNNNNNNNNNNNNNNNNNNNNNNNNNNNNNNNNNNNNNNNNNNNNNNNNNNNNNNNNNNNNNNNNNNNNNNNNNNNNNNNNNNNNNNNNNNNNNNNNNNNNNNNNNNNNNNNNNNNNNNNNNNNNNNNNNNNNNNNNNNNNNNNNNNNNNNAUAUAUAUAUAUAUAUAUAUAUAUAUAUAUAUAUAUAUAUAUAUAUAUAUAUAUAUAUAUAUAUAUAUAUAUAUAUAUAUAUAUAUUUAUAAUCUUUUCAUAUUUUUAUUUAAUAAUUAUUAUAACAUUCUAUUUCUAUUUAACAAUAUCAAAUAAACAAAAUAUUAAAUAUUUUGUUAAUACACAAUAACUUAUAGAAAAAUAUAUAGAACAUUAAUAUAUUUAUCCGAAAUAAUAAUUAUACUAAGAUAAUAUAUAAAUAUACAAGGUUUUACCAUGUAGAGUAAAUCUUUCAAAAGUGAGUCUAUACUAUAUUUCAUUUAAUAUUAAAUGAUUACUUUAUCUAUUAUUGAUAAUAACUGAUUUUAUGUAUUUUUGUGUAUAUAGUUAGGUGAAUAAAUCAAUUCCUUUAUAGUUUUUAUCUUAUUUUAUUCUUAAGUUUAGUGUGUUUUUUUGUAUUUUAGUUAGUAUAUAUUUGGUUUACUUCUAAUCUCUCUUGAGUGGGACAUAAGAAAAUAGGAAGCAUGAUUGAACAACAAAAUAUCUAUUUUAAGUAAAUAACUAGGUGCCACAAGAGUCAUAUUCAGUGCUACGAACAUAAUGAGCAAACAAAAUUAUCCACUUGGCAAUGUUCACCGACAUUGUUCGCGUGUUGACCGGAACUGUUCAUGGGUUGACCAACAUUUUUCACUUGUUAGGCGAGUUGACUUUUUCUUGGGCGAGUUGACCAGCUCGCGGAGCGAGAACUUAAGCUCGCUGAACGAAUUUGUCGAACUAGAAACACAUAAAAUGGGUAUUUAGUCAUGUUUUCGUGAAGGUCUUGAAAAUUCUUCUUCUCUUACAUUUCAUUAUUCACCUAGAGCGACAAGGAGAGGUCCAUGGAGUCUGCUUGGGGUGCUGGGAAGCUCUCCCUUCUCCUCUUUCAGCUUCAAGCUUCCUCAAUGGUGAUUUUUUCCCCUUGGGGUUGAGGAACAAGAUGGAUCACGAAUUGGAGAUGGAAAUGCGAAGAGGAAGUACAGUUGGAGCAUGGAGCAGCUGCCAAGAACCUUGGAAAAGGUCAUGUGUCUCUCUAUUGUUUCAAUUUCUUCCUUAUCUCUUCAACUUUGUACAACCCUAAGUUCUCCACCAUGUAGGCUUUUCCUAUUUGUUGAGAUUAGUUGUAAAACAUGAAAUUCUUUUGUAUUUUGUGAUGUUAAUGAUAUAUGUUUUUCCAAUUCAUGUUAGUAUUCAAUUUCUAUACUUAAUGUUUGUUUUGGUUUGACCACUCAUACAUGAUUUGUGGUUCUUGAUGUAUUGGGAAAUAAGAUUUGAACCUAGAAGUGAAAUUGAAAAACUAAUGGAUGACCAAAGUGAUAUUCCUGACUUGGGGUUUAGUUUAAAAAAAAUUCCAUUGUCAGAUUUGCAUACUAAUGCUCAAAUGGUCAAAUCUCAUUACUUGAAUUCAAUAUUGAUUCAAACAAUUAUAAUUCACAUGCAACCAAUUAAAUCAACACAAAUUUAACAGGUUUAACCACCAAUAUCAUAAUUUCAACCAAUCUCAGAUAAACUAAAUAUGCAAUUUAAAUUAUCAAAGCAUCAGAACUUAAAAGAAGAUAAUUAGCUUCCCUUACCUAACAGAUGACCAAAACGUUAUAGAAACCUUAAAACAAAUCUAAAAUACACAAGAAGUUUACCGACGGUCUUCAAGCCUUCAGUAAUGGAUGAUUACCGAAGGAUUUACCGACGGCCUACUUUACUGUCUUUAUAGACGGCAUUUGGCCUUCGGUAAUGUUCACGGUGCAUUAAGUUCAAAAUUGGGGUAUUCCUUCCCCAAAUUCCCCAAAAUCAAUUUCAGUACUCCUUCUCAUCCCUUCCCUGUUCUCUCGACGUAAACCUUGUAUGGGCGCGAGGUUGGUGUUCCCUAGCCGGUUCAAAAUUGGGGUAUUCCUUCCCUUACCUCUUCAAAGAUUUGUGCAUAUUUGUCUAUAUCUUAUCGAAGGCUUUACUGAAGGCUUCUGUCCCUUUGAUAAUUACUGAGAACUUCUGCUCUUUUUUAAUUGUUAGCGACAAGAGAUUUACUGACAAUAUCAUGAUUGUCGCUAAGUCGUCGAUAAAUGGUCAUUAUCGACAGCUCUUGACUGUUUCUGAAAGAUUAUGGUCAUUGGUAAUACCCUUCUUUUUUGUAGUACAUACUUGUAAUAUCUUAUGUAAUAUUUUAAGUUCACUUUAUUAACCGUGUGAUAAUGAAAGUUUAACUUUUUCUUCAUACAUAAUGUUAUUAUCACUAUUGCAAUGUUUCGACUUUUAUUUAAUGUACGUUUGUUUAUUAUCUUUAUAAUUUAAUAUAAAUGAACCAACCAAUAGACAUUCAUAAUCUUCAAUAACUAUAAUAAUAGUAAUAAAAUAAAUGGCAUUCAAAAUUAUUAUAAAAACAAAAGUUAAGACCCAUGUGACUAAAUUAUAUAGUAAAAAACACUUAUUAUCUAAAUAUAUAAUUUUGAAUGUGUUACCAAAAUAUAUUGUUUUAUUUAUUCACUAUAAUUUUUUUAAUUUUAGUAUUUCAAAUAAUUUUUACAAAAUAAAUGUAACUCAUAUAAAUAUAAUUUUAUAUAAUUUUUAACAUUAAUGACAAUUUGAUAAUUUUAAAUUUUUAUCUAUUAAACAUUAUUUUUAAUCUAUCACAAACUUUCAGAAAAAAAAAAUUAUUUUUAAAUUUACUUAUUAUCAUGUUUUCUAUUUUUAUAUCAUCUCUUACAUUAACAGUAAUGGCAAUGAUAACCAUAGCUUCUUAUCUAACAAGUUUAAAAUUAAAACAAUACAAUAAAUUUGUUGCAAAAUGAUUGUUUUAUAUCAAUUAAGAUCUCAUAUUAAAACGUAUAGACGAUUAAAUAAGGCAUAAGAAAAAAAAUAAAAGUCACAUAAUUUAAUUGACAAAAAAUUAAAGGACAGAUAAUUAAUUAAAAAGAAUUUAUAAUUUAAAUACUAGAUAUACUGAAAAAUUAAUUGAAAGUCAAUUAAUAUAUAUAUAUAUAUAUAUAUAUAUAUAUAUAUAUAUAUAUGAAAAGUUAAAACUUUAACUAAAAAAUUAUAAAAUAUAAUGUUUACAAGAAAUUACGGAGAUAUCUUUAACAUACUUUUUUUAUGGUUCACUAUGCCUCUUGGUCUGGUAUAUAUUUAUUAGAAUCACACAUUCUCACUUUUUCUUACAUUCAAAUUAUUAUUUUAUUACAACGUUCUAUUUUGAUUUUAAUAUAAUAUUUUAUUAUGAAAAGUAAUCGUCAGAUGAAUGUAGGUAGAAAGUGCUAUCGAAAUAUUUUUCCUAUUUAUGAUUAUAUGAAGGGUUGGCAGGAAAGUUUUUGAUGUACACCUUUCUAUUUUUCCAUUCUUUUUAAUAUCUAAUAAAAAAUUAAUAUUUAUAAUUUUUAUUAAUUUAUUUUAAAUUUUAAAAUAAAGAUAUUAUUUAUUUAAUGUUAGAAAAAUAUUGAACGAAAAAAUUAAAUAUAUGUAUAUGAUAAGGGUUAUGUGCUGACAAGCAUAUUAGAAUAGGUUAGAAUGGGGUAUGGUAUCAUCCGUUACUUUAUUGAGAGGCUACGGAUAUAUUUCAAAAGGACUUCGGAAGUGUUCUAAUCCAAUCAGUCAAGUAAAGAAUAAGAAAAUAAAAUCAAUUCAGAAUCCUGUGAUACUUGACUAAGAUCAUUCACCCAUUACCUUUACGUUUUCUUUUUCUUUAUUCUUUUCUUUCUCUUUUUUCUUUUUCUUUUUCUUUUUCUAUUUCAUUAUUCUGUUACAUAUAUCUCUAUCUCAUACUUCACUCUACUUCUUUUUAAAUUUCGAAUUCCAUUUACCAAGUUAUAUAGUAGAGCAUCAGAUAUAUAUUUUGAAACAUUUCUAUAUAAAUAAUUUUUAAUUUGUUGUGAGUGUAAAAUUUGCUCUAAUAUUUAUUAAUUUACUACAUCAGUGUUUAAGUGUUUUUGUUACUUCAGUUAGUAGCCAAAGUUAUUCUUUCCAUUGAUUUAUCUUGUUUUGGAUUUGUUUCGAAACGUUUCAGGUGGCCUUUAGGAUUGUUUUUCCUGUUCUUCACUUUUCUAUUACAUGGAGCACAAGUAAUUCUUAUGUAUUAUAUUGUCAAAAUGGUUACAACUUCGGGUUAAUUCGGCCUAUCACAGGUUUGGGUUGAGUUGGGUUUAAAAAAAUUAUAUUAUUUCAUUUUAUUUAAAUUAAUUUCAAUUUUAUAAAAAAUAUUUAUUACUUCUUUUUUCUUGGAAAAAUUAGUUAAGUUUCCUAUUUUUAAAAUUAAUUAAACACAAAAAUGAGAUUUAAAAUAAAAUUUGUUUAGAUUUGAAUUAUAGAAAGUUUAUAAUUUUUUUAUUUAAAAAAUUAUAAUUAAGUGAGUCAGUGAAUCAAUCCGUUUACUCACCAACUAAGUCGAAUUCAAAAUUUUCUAAGUUACUAAUAAAUGAGUCGGGUUUGAUGAGCUGGUCUAAAUAAUUAUUAUCAAUUUCAAUAAUAUUUUAUUGGUUAUAGUCAUAAUAAAAUGACAAUAUGAAAAAUUUACAAGGUAAGUUUUACCAAUUUUUAACUGACUUUUUCUUUCUUAUAAAGGAGGGAAUAUGCCAAGCGCAAUAUCCUGACGUGUACUUCAAAUAAUUAAUAUUUUUUUAUAUAUUCCGUUUUUUCAUUAUAACAAUAAUAAUUUGAAUCUAAUGUAACCAGAGAAUGAUGACCCUAAAAUAAUACUAACAUAGAAAAGAAAGGACAUAAAUUAAUUAUUAACAAAAGCAUUUGCUAUAAAUAGAUCAAAUGCAUAGCUCAACGAAAAGAUUAUUUUCCCCUGAAUUUAAUACAACACUGGUAAAACCUCUCAAUGCUCACACGCAUCAUUUAACUCAACCGAUGAAGCUGGUGGGAUCACUUUCUCGUAUACUCUCAUAACUCUCUUGCGGUGUUACGAUUUGGAACAGUGACAAGUAUACCCAAAUCACAACUUAAGGUUAUCCAAUUCGAAUAACAGAGGUGCGUUUCGUAGCUUAUAUAAAUAUCAAUCUAUCAAUUUGUACAUGGCCUCAUUUUUUAUUUGAGUUUUUAAGAAAUCUGACUGAUACAAAGAUAGAUAUUAGUUUCAGUUUUUGGGAUUUUUCAACUCUCACGGUUUUACAAAUAUAAUGAAGUUAUGAAACAAUAACUUGAAGUUUUACAGAGCAGCAGCAGUUCUAAAAGAAAUGGAAAAUGGAGUUGUUGAUGGUGAUGAAUCUGAGGCUUCUUAUUCUUAGUCUGUCUCACACUCCAGGUUAGAUCCUUAACACUGCCCUUAAUUACUGUUAUUUCAUAUCUUUUAAUGGAUCCAUUGCUGAAAUGAUACUCCAAAUAAAUAUACAAGCUGUUCUAGCUGAAUUAGUGUCGGUUCCUGGAAAAUUUUGUUUAUGUUGAUACUCUAUAAUUAGUUUCGGUUAAUGUGUUCAUCACAGAAAUUCAGUAAGUGACUGAUGAGGCUACUGUAUUAUUUAACUUUGCUUUCAUGAUUUAAAUGUUACACUAUUAGACUAGGUUAUGCUUCUCUUGAACCAUUUAUUAAGAUAAACUAGAUGUCUUGGGUUAUGCUUCUGAGUAUUUAUUAAGAUAAAUUAGAUUUUCAUACUAUAACUUAAAAUUUAUAUAAGAGAUUAUGAUAUUAUUUUUUAUAUUGUCACCAUCAAAAUCAUUUUAUCAUUGAAAUUAAUUUAUUGCUGUUUUUCAGCUUUGUCUGCAUUCUUAGUAUAGAACUAAUCCUUAUAAAACACCAAUGUUUAUAAUUAUUUUGGUGAUAAGAUUAUAUUAUAUUUAUAUUUAUUUUAUAACUCACUGACAUCAAGACAAAUUAUAUUUUUCUUUUUAGUUAAUACACUACAAUAAUGUUUGACUCAAUAAAUAAAAACAAAUAAGGUAUAGAGUGGGUCAAACCCAUUCUAAAAGAAAGAAAGAAUUAAAUUUAUAAAAUUAAAAAGUUCAGUUACCAUGUGUUAUAUUAAUCUGUUAUAACUAAAUUAGUAUUUUUUUUUAUAUUAAAAUUAUAUAUGGAUGUCUUCCAGAGCAACGCUACAUAAUAAUAAAAUCAAAACAACCAACACACGACAAUCUGGGAGAAGAAAGUGAAAUUUAAUAUUAAAAAUAGUAGAGAAUAGCGUCAACUUUGACGUUUAUAUUUAUUAAAAUAAUAAAAUAAUUGCUAGUAAGGUUCCCACUCAAAAAAAUAAAAAUAAAAUAAGAAAAUAGUAUUUUAAUACUAAAAUCUUUUUUUUACUCAUUUGAUACUAUUCGUCACUAUUUUUCAUUUUUUUAAUACAAAAAUUAGUUUUUGUAUUUUCUUUUAUAAAAGUUGUCGAUCAUAGGCAAAUUCAAAUGACCAUAAAGAUAAUGCCAAAUUUAAAAAGGAUCCUUAACAUUGGUCAUUAAACUAGAUUCAAUGAUUUCAAUGAAAAUAAAUUACAACCCGCAGGUCAAUCCACCGUUUGAGAGGGUUAGAUUUGAAAACUUUGUAUUUUUUUUAUACAAGUCAGAUUUCAACUUGAUUCAUUUAAACUCAACUAAUGCAGGUUGAAUUCGUGCUGGGUUGGGUUGGUCCACCAUCCUACCUACCUAAUUUUAUUUUAUUAAAAUUUAAUUUUAAUUUCAUAAAAAAAUAUUUAAUAUUUUUUUUGCUUAAAAUAAUUAUUUAAGUUUUUUAUUUUUAAAAUUAAUUAAACAUUUCUUGAGAGUGAAAUUUGUUUAGACUUAAAUUAUAGAAAGUUUAUAAUUUUUUUUAUUUAAAAAAAUUAUAUUUAAAUGAGCUAGUGAACCAACCUAUUUAUCCAUCAAUCUGUGGUAAGUCGAGUCGGGUUCAUCGGAAUACCUGUUUUGACAAGAGGAAAAAUCAGUUUUACCUUUUACCACAUCAAUAACAUCUCUAAUAGAAUAAGUACUUUGCUGGUGGUGAUAGACUAAUAGUAUAACCUUUUUUGUUGUAAUUAUCCAACGCCUAACAUAUCGUAUUUCAAAUGAGGAACAUAUGAAAUAUUAACAAUUAUUUCAACAAAAUCACUAUCGUUUUUUUUAUUUUAGUAUUACCUUUUCCCAUCACUUGAAAAUCCCCAAAGCUCACACUAAACUGGAAAUUUUCAUUUAGAAGGAAAAUAAUAUUUAAUUUCACUCAUUUAGUUAUUUCAUCAGUUAGCGUAUUGGCCAACGAUAUGACAAUAGUAUAAGUAAUAAAUAUUUUCUCUUUCUCUUUCAAUACAUGACAAUUAUUGCAAUCUAUAAUUCUAGACAAUAAUAUUCAUAAAAAUAUAAUAAAAAAUAUUUUUUUCACAGUUGUUGUGCAACCGAAAUUUAGAAAAUGGUAAAAAUAUAAUGUAGAAGUAAAACUUAAUUUAACUUUUUAUUAUAUAAAUAAUAAUCGGUUUUAGAAAAUAUCAUGUAUAUAAAAAUAAUAAUAGGAAAAAUAUGGGAUAUAAAUAAAAAAGGAAACAAAAUCAAUAGAUGUCAAAUAAAGCAAAACCUUUCAACUAUUGUAGUUAUAUCUAAGUUCUUUUGGAAUUUAUAAGGAUUAAUAAAAAAAAAAUAUUUUCAUCAAUAAGACAAUAAUAAAAAAAAUAGGAUAAUCAAAUAUUAUUAUCAAGUCCUAUGUAAAAAAACUACAAUGAAAUGAGUUUUUAUGAAUUUGUUUCAGUUUAACAUAUUGUGUAUCAAAUAAAUGAUUUUGAUAAAGUUGAAAAAGAGUUGAUGAAUAGAGAAACCAAACUUAAAAUAAAGGUUGAGAUGCAUAGGAAAAAGAUUGAGUAACCCAACAUUAUUUAACGUUUGUUGGGCCUAGGGCUACCGUUAAAGUAAUUUUUGGAUUAGGGAAUGGAUUUAAUGGUAAGUAAGUGGACAAAAUUUAAGGGGAUGGAAAGAAGAUUAUGGAUUUGUUUGGAUUAAAUAAUUUGAAGAGAUGAACGAAGGGAUUUGAAGGAAAAAUUUGUAAGAGUUUGUGAAUGAUGUCAUCGGUCUAAUAGAUUAAAAAAUAUAUUUUAAUUGAUAAAAAUAAAUGACUAUCAAUUUAUCCUUGUGUUGAAAUUUGAUAUAAAUUUAAAUUUAAGUAGUGAAAAUUAUAUUAAAAUGAAAUUUAAAUUAUUAAUGAUAAAAAAAAUUAAAAUUGUAAAAAAUAAAAUGACGUCCUUCAAUCGAAGAAAUUUUGUUUGAGAUAGGUAGGUUCGAUUUCACUAGUCAAAGUCAGCAACAGAGGAGAAGGUCGACAAGCUCGACAAGCAAGUAGGGCAAGGUCGACUUAGCUCGACAAGGUUGACAAUCAAGCUUGGCAAGGUUGGAUGAGCUAGGCAAACUCGGUUUUAAUGGUUAUUUCAUCAAAGACAAACAAUUCUCUCAUAAACAUAAUCGAUUCCAUGAUUGUCAUGUGAAAGAACAAAUUCGAUUUCACUGCAUGUUUCGAGACCAUGGAAUCGAUUCUAGUCUUAAUAAAUAAAAAUUGUCCACAUUCAUAGUAAAUUGAAAUAAAUUUUGAACACAAAUUAUAUUUUUUUAAUAAAAAUCUAAUAAAUUAAACUUAAAAUUGUGGCAUCAAUUUGAUGUUCCAAAUCUUGUAAUCUUGUAUAGGUGUUGUGGAAUCCUUGCCUAAAAAUCAAUGUCAAAUUGGAAAGGUUAUCCUAAAUGUUAUCAAAUUUUCCUAUCAGUUGUGUAUACCUAUCAUCUUAAGUCAAGACUCCAUUUGGUUGUACACCCUGUUGUUGCAUUUGGGAUUGUGGUCCAAUGUCAACAACAUCGUUUACAACAUUCGGAGCGUCAUCAUCAUAAUCACCUGUAUGGUCUACCUUUUUAGUUGGCAAAUGUUGUCAACAUUAACAAUUUCCAAUUUGGACAAUAUUUUUGUGUCAAAGUAGUAAUUCCAUCCUAAUUCAAUGAGGUUUUCAUAACUCAAGUCCACUUGAAAGAUAACAAGUAUUCUUGUAAUAAACAUUUUGUAUGGAAGAGACGUGUUGUUGUUUUGGCAUUUGACCAUGUUUUGCAUAAUGUGAUGUGGCUAGUUGAUGACAAUGUUAUUUUUCAAACACCAUAAGAAGAAUAUGUCUUCAUGAGUUAGUUCAACAAAAUUUGUACUUUGAUGUGACAACAUACGAAUAAGAACAUAAUGUAUAAGUCUGUUAUUGAUAUUUAAACUUCUUGCAUUCCUAACCAUCCAACCAUACAAGUGAGGUCUAAUCAUAGAGUUUAAAUCUUGAGAUUUGUCGUAUUGUAGGUCAUCGGGUGUGGUUUGAAAAGAUAACUUUCAACCUUCAUAUGGUAGAUUACAUAGUGUGAUCCAAUCUGCAGGUUUGAUUUUAAUCUUUGUCGAUUUCACUUCACUAAAGAUAUGACCACUACAACAAACUUAGAAGUUUAUGUAUAAUAUUCUAACGAGUUUCAUACUAAGUGGUACUAUGGAGCCUCAAAAUUUUUUAAACCUUGAAACAAUAGGGUUUGUAUGAAGUUCAACCCCGAUUCGUUGAAGAACCACGAAACCACGAUUUUAGGUGACAACACAUGAUGUAUAAAAAUGUUAACAUUAUACUAUUUCAUCUGGAUUAAGGAUGUAAACCACCUUCUCUACUAUAGUCGAUUUACAUAUUUUUAUUUAGCAACAUCAUCAAGUGGAUUUACAUGUAAUUUUUCCUUACUUGUUUAUCACUAUUUUGCCUUUUACUUGAAGAAGAUGAAGCCAUAACUCAUAAUUAACAGUUUGUGUCAUAAUAAAUAUAUCAAGUAAACAACUCAUCAAAUAAAUAACUAAUACUAAAAGCCAAUAAAAUAGAAGACUAAAACAAUAAAUACCAUAAGCAAUUAAAACAUCUCAAUUUAGUUAGGCAUAAAAUAUUAUACAUAUCAAACACGACUUAAAUGUCAGUGUGUGAAACUAAAUCGUAGAGUAUUACAUGAAACUAAUUAUUAUAUUGGCUAAUUUGAAGAACCACUAUCGAAACUACCACCACUUUUUGUCAUAAUCUUAUACAACUUGUUCCAACGACACAAGGUUGGCAUUUCAAUAAGUCAUUUCACAAGGAAUAGAUUUACACACAAGAACUUGUAGCACUUAUCCAUCACUUAAUCAUUUGGUACGUUCAUUGCUACCAACAUUUUCUAGAUGUCGUUCUUUGCAUAUUAAAAUGUGGAAGUACGACAAAGAAUGUCAUUCCUUUGUUUGACUACAACUACCUGUUCUUUUGAUACAACCACCUAUCGUUCAGCAUAGGCAGUCAGUUUCUCAAAGUGAACAUCUAUUCUACCAAGGUAUUCUAUGAAACCGUUCAAUUAUGUUGUAAGCGCUACAAAUUGGGAGUCAACAACAUCAACCAUUGGAGAUUUUCUUUUGGUCCUGCCAGAAGAUGACGUCCCACCAGAAGGUACAAAAAAUGUAGAUGGCAUCGCUAAUGUGAGUCCAUGGCUAUAUGAAUCCACAUGAAGUUCAAGGAAGUCUAGGACGUAAUCCAUGUAGUCAUUCAAAUACAUGGUGAAUAUUUGUAUUUGUACCUCUUGUUGUGCUCUAUGAGUUGUAUGACACCUCGAUCUCGUAGCAUGAUCAAACCCCACAACUCAUCCAUUAAGUCAUAAUGUUUGAUUGAAUUCACUCUCCAUUUCAUAGUGCUUGGCUUUUCCUGAAAUUGAUUAACCAAAUAAAUUAGUUACGAACACUUUGCUUUUAGUGAUAAAACUAAUAAAUUAGUAUUCAAUGAUUACCUUGAUCAAGUCACUUCAAACUUCAUAUUUAUCUUUGAAUUCAAAGCGCUUCGUUGAUUCAUUCUAAGAAAACCCACUUAAUCCAGCAAAUAAUUCACGAACCUCGUGUCACUUAUCCUUAAGAACCUUUUGCCUAUUUUUUAUGUUAUUCUUAUUUAAAUGCACCAAGCUAGAGUUGUGGAGAUUUUCAAUAAUGUUGUUGUAUGCUUGAGAUAUGUUAACUCAUUGGAAAGUGUAUCGAGUCACGCAAGUAAUAUAAAAUGGUAAAACUAAGUAUGGUUUCCUAAGAAACUCGUGUAAUAUUAAAGAAGUGUACAAUUAACAACUCAUCUAGACUAAAAAAUACAAGAAUAUGUACAAGUAAAUAAAUGAACAAAGAAUUAAAGGUGGACUUUGAUAGUUAAAGGUGCUUAGAAGAAUGGCAAGCUGAGGAAUGAAAUGGAAUGACAUGCUAAGGGUAGACUUUGUCAACUUCACUCUAUUGCACACACAAAUCAUCUCUCCAUCAAAUACUAAUGUCAACUCACUAAAACACUCUAGCCCUAAUCCCUUGGGUGAAAGAGCUUAUUUUUUCUUACUAAGUGUCAAUCCCUUGAUCACUCAACAAACAAACCCACAUUAAAUAUACAAGCCCCCUCUAGAUCCCUUAUUUCAAGCCUAGGAUUCAUUAGAUUCUUCCCAAAACCUAACAAAUAUUCAAAUUAAGCUUUUCACAUACCUAUUUCAAUCAAGCAUUAAGAAUAGAAAUGAGAGAUUAACAAUUAGAUCGAAGAAUCAUAUAUAUUUGAAUCAUUUACAAAGUACAAGAGAGUUCAAUAGCUACACACUACCCCUAACAAGAUGGGUUUGACUUUCCAUUUCCAUGGAGAGCUUUAAGCCUACGAAAUGGAAGAUGAAAGAAGAAUGAGACACAAGGAUAAAGAAGAGGAUGUUUCCACAAGCCCCAAACAACCUUCAUGAGCUCUAAAGAGUGAAAUCGUGCCUCCAAGCCCCCAAAGAUCUGGUUUCCCUCGAGAGAACUUGAUUAAAUAAGAAAUUUUUGACACAUCAACAUGCCACUACUCAGCGCAAAGGCUCCAGUUCUUAGCGCCAACCUUUAUGGUAACCCUAGAUGCUUUUUGUCAAAGUGGUGCUCAACAGUGAGAAGUGGCGCUCAGCGCUAGAAACCCUAGAAGCUCUAUGUAAUGGUUUUGCUUAAUGCUAGGAGGUGGCGUUUAAUGCCACAGGCUUUUAAACUUCCAUCUUUUUGGUUUAUCUUCUUGCUUCUCUAGGUCACCAAAGUUCUUCGAUGUGGUAGAGAAUCUUCCUAACACUAAAAUAGAUACAAAAAGAGGGGAUUAAAGUUAUAUUUAAACAAGUGUGCCUUUACCAAAAAGAAAAGAUAAAAGUGAGGAUUUAAGCAAAUAAUAAGCUAAAGUAGAGCUAAUUUUAUCACCAAAACGUAGCUUAGAUAAUGGUAAGAAUUAACAUUAUUAGGAUAUCCAACUCACAUCGAUCCUAUUACCUAACCAAGCUUCAUCUACCAUAAUAGAUAACAACUGUAAGUCCAUAUUCUCCAUCCUUUUUGUGAACUCACGAAAGCUAAGAGAUGAAUGUAAGGCAAUGACUUUUUCUUUAUUCAUGAUUUCCUAUUAGAAAAAUAAAAAUUAUGCUAUCAUACGAAAUGAAACAAACUUUUAAACCAAAAAAAUACAAAUUCCCAUACAAUUCCAACAAAAACAUAAAAUUGUUUCAAACGCUUUAAUUGUUUUGAUAAUCUCUUCACAUUUCAUUUUCUAUUUCAUCCCUAAUUUUAUAAUCGUGAUUUAGUCAACUUCUCGAUCUUGAGUAUUUGAAACAUCUUCGACUUGGUCUAUCAAUUCUCAAUCCACUUCUUUAAGGAAGGUGCAUUGUUGUCUACCCAUCAUAAAAGUUGUGAAUAAGGCAACACGCUAACAAUAUUUUGAUCAUUGUAUCAAAAGAAUAAUGAGGCUUUGUUCCACUUUUUAUAGGGGCAAACCAUUUUUUCAGCACACCAAAUAUGCUUUCAACAACAUUUUACAGUGAUGAAUGAUAGUCAUUGAACAACUCUCAGGGGUUUUGCGAACCUCUCCUGUUGUACUCCUUCAAAUGGUCACUACAAGAAAAAUAAGUAUUACCAACAACCAAAAUCUAUUGAAAAUGUCAAAAAUUCGUCAGCAAUAAUUUUUUUUCAAUGGAUUUUCGAUAGGCCAAAAUCCAUCGUAAUAGUAUAGUCGGUAAAUUUAUCGAUGAAAUUUUAUAUGCGUCAAGUGAAGGAAAAAUCUGUCGGUAAUUAUAAGAAACAUUCGUCGUAGUUACUGAAAAAAGCACUUGGUAAUACAUGAAAAAUCUAGUGAUAAUUACCGAGAGAAAAAUUCGUCAAUAAUUCUUCCUCUUCUCUUCUUCUUCUUUCUUUUAUUUUUCCCAAUCCAGAAAAGUGAACAAAUUACAAACGAAUGUCAUACAGAUUGAUGUAAUUUCAUAACUUGCCCAAAAUUUGAUCAAUACACUUUUAUUCAUUAUCCCACUUUGCUUUGUUCCACAAUACCCUAUUACAAUUACAACAAUGUCAUACAGAUUUAUAAAAUUUCAUAACCUGAAUAAAAUUAUAGCCAACCGAACAAAUUAUUCAACCACAAACACAAAUCAAAAAGAGAUAAAACAAGGAGAAGAGAAUAAGGGGAUUUGGAUGGCUUCAAAUCCAUCAUUAUCCAACGACGAUUCUCGGUGGUUGUAGUGCUUGGCAUGACGAUGAUGGACUCGGCUUGGAUACACCCUUGUGUGAAAGAUAAAGAAUAAAGGCAUUAUCCCUCCCUUGCAUAUGUUAGAGAAGAAGAAUAUGGAGCGAAAGACCCUAAGAGCAAUGGCGUCGAUGGUGAUAAAGACAAUGACCUGACUCAAUUGAGAUGGAGGAAUGCCAAAGGAACCUAUAACUGCGGUGGUAUAAGAUGAGAUGAGGAAAGUAGGGAAAGAUGAUGGUUGCCCUCACGCGAUAGAAAAGAAGAUGAAGAUGGUUUUGAAAUUAGAGAAAAAGUGGAGUUUGAGAUUGCAGAAGGAGAAGAAAAAGUUAAGCCUAAAAGGAAGGAGAGAGAGGUCAGGAAGGAGGGAGAGAGAGAGAGAGAAAUUUGUCACUCUUUGUACUACAAUUUUGAUUAUAUUUUGAUAAUAAUUAACAUAAUUAAAAUCUUCAUUAACUAUUUUUAUUAUUUAUAAAAUUAUAAAACAUGAAAAAUUGUUUUAUUUCCCAUGAUCAUCUAAUACAACUCUCUUAUGCCACAAAUACCAAUAUUAAUCUUCAAAUCAACUAAAUGUAGUUAAUAGAAACGAAAUCCUAUUGAUAAAAUUAUUAUAAUAAUUAAAGAAAUAAAAAUAAUUAAUAAUACAAAGUAUGCUAAUUGUAAAUAAACUCAAUUUUAUAAGUUUUAGUAUUUAAUAUAUUUAGGUUUUGAAAAAAGUUAUUAUUUUUAAACUGAAAUUUAAAAAAAUACACAUUAACUAUCAUUAAAAAAAUUAUUAAAUAUAAAUUAAUUUGAAGAUAAAAAAUAAUCAGACAUUUAUAAAUUAAAAGUUUUAGUAUUUGAAAUACUCUUUAUUAUUAAAAUAUUAUUACUAAUUUGUAAAUAAGAGUUUAAAUCCACCAAUAUUUGAGUUGCUUAAUGUUAUUGGGUUCGAAAUUAAUUUCUAAUUAAUUCUUUUUUCUUUGAAUUGGUAGAGUAAGAACAGCUUUCCUCAUUCUCAGUUUGUGCUACAUAUCGAAGGUACGAGAUCCUUAUAACACCAUUCCCUUAGGCACUGCUUUAAUCAUCCAUUUGCUUAGAAAGAAAUAUAUUUGGUAGAUGCUAAGCAUUAGAAAUAGGUACAUAUAAUGUGAUUAGGUUUUACUUAAUUACAUGGUUUAUAUAUAUAUAUAUAUAUAUAUAUAUAUAUAUAUAUAUAUAUAUAUAGGUUAUAUUAACACUCAUUCUACAUAUCUAAAAAUAAAAUCACAAUUUACCAUCACAAUUAAAAAAAAAUCAUCAAUUUAAUUUUGUUAAGGAUUAAUGAUCUAAUAAUUAUUAAGUUUUUUUAAAAAUUCUAAUAAAUUCUUUGAUCUAUUAAUUAUUAAUUUCCAACUAUAUAUUUAAAUUUGUCAAACUGAUUUUGUAUCACAUAGAGUGGAGUUUUUUUAGGUCAACAAAAUGUUAAUUAUGAUAGCCUAGGUGUAAAGUUUGGUAUAUAAUAAUUAUCAUUUGUGAAACAUUGAACGUUCAUAUAUUAUUCAUCAGAGUUAACUUAAUAGUAUUUUCAAGGACGAAUUUAACCAUAUACUCUCCAGUGACAUGGCGAUCAAUAUUAGAAGUGGGUUUUAGGUCUAAUUCAAUCUUACAAAAACUGGCUUGGAAGGUGAGAUUUGCACCUCACUAGUAGAAAUUGGGUGGUUUAAUAGCGGCCCGAUAAUGGGUGGAAUAGAAACAGAAAUGCUCACUUAGAACUCGCUAGGAUAAGCUUUAACUUGGGCUCUGAUACUACAUUAGAAGGUAGGUUUUAGGCCGAACUCAACCCCACAAAACUGGCUUGUAAGGUGAGGUUUGCACCUCACUUAUAUAUUAUAAUUUGGCCUUAUCUCUAGUCGAUGUGGGACUUUCAACAAUCAAUGCAGCCCUGGGUGGUAGCCAUACGUGAUGUGCAAAUUACUAUUUUCUAUUUUCUUGGAAGGUUGCCAUGAUAACUAUCAAAACUAUCAAUUUUAUUAAAAAGAGGGUCCAAUCACUACAAAAAUAAUAUAAUUUAGGAGGGGUUAUUUUCCGACGGUUGCAGAAACUCCUAAUAAACUUCUGGCGGUUCUAUAAUGGAACCGCCCGUAACAAUUGAAUAUUUUUCGAGUUCAUUUACCUUCUUUGAGAGACUUCAUUCACUUUUCUCUCCCCUGUGUUUCAGUUGGUACAUUUUAGAAUGUGUACCGGGUUUUAGUAGAUAAAAAUAUCCUAAUAUAUCAUAGAUUGUAAGUUUUUAGGUUAAGGGUAUUUUAAUAAUUUUCAUUCUCAAAACUAAAAAAAAAAAUCCAAACCCUUACUCACCUUCCUCAUUGCUCUCAACCCUUUCUCUUUCAUGUCUCUCACUCCCACGUUUUUCUGUCAUCCCUACACUAGUCCCAACUAAAAAAGCACUCAUUGUUAAACAAUUUGUUUUUGUAAAGAGUUGAGUCAUUGGCAUAUUCGCCUUCAGGAAAAGGUUCAUUCAAGAUGUCUUCAAUUUCAUCAUGUGCAGAUGUUGAAUCAUCAUCUCUAAAAAAAAUUCCAGGCCAAUUACCAAUUCCUUCUAAUGUCAUUAUGCUUGUGAAAAUUAGAUAAAAUUAGAUAAGACAAAAAUUAUAAAAUGAAAACUCAUUAUAAAAUCAUUUUUUGUAAGAAAUUGUUUAACUGAUUGUUUCUUAUUUUUUCCAAGUCAAUUACCAAUUCCUUCGGAUGUCAUUAUGCUUGUGAAAAUUAGAUAAAAUUAUAUAAGAUAAAAAUUAUGAAAUGAAAACUCAUUCUAAAAUCAUUUUUUUUUUGUAGGAAAUUGUUUAACCACAAGUGGUUCUGAUUUUUUUAGUUGGGGCUACAUUAGCGAUGACAGAGAAAAGAGAAAAUGUUGAAAUGAGAGAGAUAAAAGACAAAGGGUUGAAAGGAAUGAGGGAGGUGAGUAAGGAUUUUGAGUUUUUUUUUUUUAGUUUUGAAAAUGAGAAUUAUUAAAAUACCCUUAACCUUAAAACUUAGAAUCCAUAAUAUAUUAGAGUAUUUUUGUCUACUAAAACUCAGUACACAUUACUAAAAAUAGACGUACGGAAGUUAGCAAACCCCAUAUAUAUAUAUAUAUAUAUAUAUAUAUAUAUAUAUAUAUAUAUAUAUAUAUAUAUAUAUAUAUAUUCGCAUGCUCUAUUGUUUUGUAAAUAGUUGUUGCUUUAGUAACAGUAUGAAAAAAAAGUCAUAUUUGUUUUUGUUAUCCAACCACAAAUACCUGCAUAACAAAGUUCACAACAACACAGACAGACCUGCAUACAACUUUCAAACCACAGACAGAGCUGCCUUUUGUGCAUAUGAAAAUCAUCCAAUAUUAUCAUUGAUGAAAAAAGAUAAUGUACUAAAAUGAUCUGUAAAGUUCAACAUGAAAUGUGAAACAUAAAACAAUAUCAUCCAUUUCUAAGCAAAGAUAAGGUACUAAAAUCAUGAUGUACUAAAAUUCAAAUGUACUAAAAUUCAAAUGGACUAACAUUAGUACUUUCUAACACCUAUGAUCAAUAACAAAAUAANNNNNNNNNNNNNNNNNNNNNNNNNNNNNNNNNNNNNNNNNNNNNNNNNNNNNNNNNNNNNNNNNNNNNNNNNNNNNNNNNNNNNNNNNNNNNNNNNNNNNNNNNNNNNNNNNNNNNNNNNNNNNNNNNNNNNNNNNNNNNNNNNNNNNNNNNNNNNNNNNNNNNNNNNNNNNNNNNNNNNNNNNNNNNNNNNNNNNNNNNNNNNNNNNNNNNNNNNNNNNNNNNNNNNNNNNNNNNNNNNNNNNNNNNNNNNNNNNNNNNNNNNNNNNNNNNNNNNNNNNNNNNNNNNNNNNNNNNNNNNNNNNNNNNNNNNNNNNNNNNNNNNNNNNNNNNNNNNNNNNNNNNNNNNNNNNNNNNNNNNNNNNNNNNNNNNNNNNNNNNNNNNNNNNNNNNNNNNNNNNNNNNNNNNNNNNNNNNNNNNNNNNNNNNNNNNNNNNNNNNNNNNNNNNNNNNNNNNNNNNNNNNNNNNNNNNNNNNNNNNNNNNNNNNNNNNNNNNNNNNNNNNNNNNNNNNNNNNNNNNNNNNNNNNNNNNNNNNNNNNNNNNNNNNNNNNNNNNNNNNNNNNNNNNNNNNNNNNNNNNNNNNNNNNNNNNNNNNNNNNNNNNNNNNNNNNNNNNNNNNNNNNNNNNNNNNNNNNNNNNNNNNNNNNNNNNNNNNNNNNNNNNNNNNNNNNNNNNNNNNNNNNNNNNNNNNNNNNNNNNNNNNNNNNNNNNNNNNNNNNNNNNNNNNNNNNNNNNNNNNNNNNNNNNNNNNNNNNNNNNNNNNNNNNNNNNNNNNNNNNNNNNNNNNNNNNNNNNNNNNNNNNNNNNNNNNNNNNNNNNNNNNNNNNNNNNNNNNNNNNNNNNNNNNNNNNNNNNNNNNNNNNNNNNNNNNNNNNNNNNNNNNNNNNNNNNNNNNNNNNNNNNNNNNNNNNNNNNNNNNNNNNNNNNNNNNNNNNNNNNNNNNNNNNNNNNNNNNNNNNNNNNNNNNNNNNNNNNNNNNNNNNNNNNNNNNNNNNNNNNNNNNNNNNNNNNNNNNNNNNNNNNNNNNNNNNNNNNNNNNNNNNNNNNNNNNNNNNNNNNNNNNNNNNNNNNNNNNNNNNNNNNNNNNNNNNNNNNNNNNNNNNNNNNNNNNNNNNNNNNNNNNNNNNNNNNNNNNNNNNNNNNNNNNNNNNNNNNNNNNNNNNNNNNNNNNNNNNNNNNNNNNNNNNNNNNNNNNNNNNNNNNNNNNNNNNNNNNNNNNNNNNNNNNNNNNNNNNNNNNNNNNNNNNNNNNNNNNNNNNNNNNNNNNNNNNNNNNNNNNNNNNNNNNNNNNNNNNNNNNNNNNNNNNNNNNNNNNNNNNNNNNNNNNNNNNNNNNNNNNNNNNNNNNNNNNNNNNNNNNNNNNNNNNNNNNNNNNNNNNNNNNNNNNNNNNNNNNNNNNNNNNNNNNNNNNNNNNNNNNNNNNNNNNNNNNNNNNNNNNNNNNNNNNNNNNNNNNNNNNNNNNNNNNNNNNNNNNNNNNNNNNNNNNNNNNNNNNNNNNNNNNNNNNNNNNNNNNNNNNNNNNNNNNNNNNNNNNNNNNNNNNNNNNNNNNNNNNNNNNNNNNNNNNNNNNNNNNNNNNNNNNNNNNNNNNNNNNNNNNNNNNNNNNNNNNNNNNNNNNNNNNNNNNNNNNNNNNNNNNNNNNNNNNNNNNNNNNNNNNNNNNNNNNNNNNNNNNNNNNNNNNNNNNNNNNNNNNNNNNNNNNNNNNNNNNNNNNNNNNNNNNNNNNNNNNNNNNNNNNNNNNNNNNNNNNNNNNNNNNNNNNNNNNNNNNNNNNNNNNNNNNNNNNNNNNNNNNNNNNNNNNNNNNNNNNNNNNNNNNNNNNNNNNNNNNNNNNNNNNNNNNNNNNNNNNNNNNNNNNNNNNNNNNNNNNNNNNNNNNNNNNNNNNNNNNNNNNNNNNNNNNNNNNNNNNNNNNNNNNNNNNNNNNNNNNNNNNNNNNNNNNNNNNNNNNNNNNNNNNNNNNNNNNNNNNNNNNNNNNNNNNNNNNNNNNNNNNNNNNNNNNNNNNNNNNNNNNNNNNNNNNNNNNNNNNNNNNNNNNNNNNNNNNNNNNNNNNNNNNNNNNNNNNNNNNNNNNNNNNNNNNNNNNNNNNNNNNNNNNNNNNNNNNNNNNNNNNNNNNNNNNNNNNNNNNNNNNNNNNNNNNNNNNNNNNNNNNNNNNNNNNNNNNNNNNNNNNNNNNNNNNNNNNNNNNNNNNNNNNNNNNNNNNNNNNNNNNNNNNNNNNNNNNNNNNNNNNNNNNNNNNNNNNNNNNNNNNNNNNNNNNNNNNNNNNNNNNNNNNNNNNNNNNNNNNNNNNNNNNNNNNNNNNNNNNNNNNNNNNNNNNNNNNNNNNNNNNNNNNNNNNNNNNNNNNNNNNNNNNNNNNNNNNNNNNNNNNNNNNNNNNNNNNNNNNNNNNNNNNNNNNNNNNNNNNNNNNNNNNNNNNNNNNNNNNNNNNNNNNNNNNNNNNNNNNNNNNNNNNNNNNNNNNNNNNNNNNNNNNNNNNNNNNNNNNNNNNNNNNNNNNNNNNNNNNNNNNNNNNNNNNNNNNNNNNNNNNNNNNNNNNNNNNNNNNNNNNNNNNNNNNNNNNNNNNNNNNNNNNNNNNNNNNNNNNNNNNNNNNNNNNNNNNNNNNNNNNNNNNNNNNNNNNNNNNNNNNNNNNNNNNNNNNNNNNNNNNNNNNNNNNNNNNNNNNNNNNNNNNNNNNNNNNNNNNNNNNNNNNNNNNNNNNNNNNNNNNNNNNNNNNNNNNNNNNNNNNNNNNNNNNNNNNNNNNNNNNNNNNNNNNNNNNNNNNNNNNNNNNNNNNNNNNNNNNNNNNNNNNNNNNNNNNNNNNNNNNNNNNNNNNNNNNNNNNNNNNNNNNNNNNNNNNNNNNNNNNNNNNNNNNNNNNNNNNNNNNNNNNNNNNNNNNNNNNNNNNNNNNNNNNNNNNNNNNNNNNNNNNNNNNNNNNNNNNNNNNNNNNNNNNNNNNNNNNNNNNNNNNNNNNNNNNNNNNNNNNNNNNNNNNNNNNNNNNNNNNNNNNNNNNNNNNNNNNNNNNNNNNNNNNNNNNNNNNNNNNNNNNNNNNNNNNNNNNNNNNNNNNNNNNNNNNNNNNNNNNNNNNNNNNNNNNNNNNNNNNNNNNNNNNNNNNNNNNNNNNNNNNNNNNNNNNNNNNNNNNNNNNNNNNNNNNNNNNNNNNNNNNNNNNNNNNNNNNNNNNNNNNNNNNNNNNNNNNNNNNNNNNNNNNNNNNNNNNNNNNNNNNNNNNNNNNNNNNNNNNNNNNNNNNNNNNNNNNNNNNNNNNNNNNNNNNNNNNNNNNNNNNNNNNNNNNNNNNNNNNNNNNNNNNNNNNNNNNNNNNNNNNNNNNNNNNNNNNNNNNNNNNNNNNNNNNNNNNNNNNNNNNNNNNNNNNNNNNNNNNNNNNNNNNNNNNNNNNNNNNNNNNNNNNNNNNNNNNNNNNNNNNNNNNNNNNNNNNNNNNNNNNNNNNNNNNNNNNNNNNNNNNNNNNNNNNNNNNNNNNNNNNNNNNNNNNNNNNNNNNNNNNNNNNNNNNNNNNNNNNNNNNNNNNNNNNNNNNNNNNNNNNNNNNNNNNNNNNNNNNNNNNNNNNNNNNNNNNNNNNNNNNNNNNNNNNNNNNNNNNNNNNNNNNNNNNNNNNNNNNNNNNNNNNNNNNNNNNNNNNNNNNNNNNNNNNNNNNNNNNNNNNNNNNNNNNNNNNNNNNNNNNNNNNNNNNNNNNNNNNNNNNNNNNNNNNNNNNNNNNNNNNNNNNNNNNNNNNNNNNNNNNNNNNNNNNNNNNNNNNNNNNNNNNNNNNNNNNNNNNNNNNNNNNNNNNNNNNNNNNNNNNNNNNNNNNNNNNNNNNNNNNNNNNNNNNNNNNNNNNNNNNNNNNNNNNNNNNNNNNNNNNNNNNNNNNNNNNNNNNNNNNNNNNNNNNNNNNNNNNNNNNNNNNNNNNNNNNNNNNNNNNNNNNNNNNNNNNNNNNNNNNNNNNNNNNNNNNNNNNNNNNNNNNNNNNNNNNNNNNNNNNNNNNNNNNNNNNNNNNNNNNNNNNNNNNNNNNNNNNNNNNNNNNNNNNNNNNNNNNNNNNNNNNNNNNNNNNNNNNNNNNNNNNNNNNNNNNNNNNNNNNNNNNNNNNNNNNNNNNNNNNNNNNNNNNNNNNNNNNNNNNNNNNNNNNNNNNNNNNNNNNNNNNNNNNNNNNNNNNNNNNNNNNNNNNNUAUAUAUAUUCACAUGAUUUUUUUGUUUUGUAAAAUGUGGUUGCUUGAUUGAAUAUAUGCAAAUAUACUUGUGAUUUUUAAUUAAUAAAAUAUACUUCAUUUUUCUUUAUUAAUUGUUAAACUAAUCUAUUUUCACUAUAUGUUUUGUUGGCAAAGAGAUGUAGUCAAGAACGGUACAAGAAAAAAAGGUUGGAAGUAUGGAUAUUGUGUGGAAAAUAUUUGAUCCAGCAAUUGAUUUUGUGCGGGAUCAUGGUAUUAAUCAGGUGACCUACAUUUUUUGUUACAAAAAAAAUUUUGAGGAACUAAAGAAGAAAGUUAAGCGUCUAGGAGAAGUAAAAGAGAGGUUAGAUCGUCAACACGAUGAAGCUAAAAGAAAGGGUCACAUAGUUGAAGCUAGGGUUGAAGAAUGGUUUGGGGAAGUGGGCGAAUUUGAGAGUAGUGUUGAAAACUACAGCAAAAAUGCAGGUCACAAGAAGACAGGGGGUCGCUAUUAUUUUUUUCCUUACUAUAGACACAAACUGGGCAGACAAGCAAAGAAGAUGGAAAUAGAGGCUUUGAGGCUAAUAGAUGAGUCCCCCAAGAUUGACGAAGUUUCCCAUGCAGAGAAAGUAACAUCUUUUGACCUCACUUCAUCUAAUUCUGGCUACAUUGAAUUUAGUAGUAGAAAAUCCAUUAUGGAAGACAUAAUGACAAAACUUAAAGAUCCCAAUAUGAAAAUUAUUGGACUCCAUGGAUCACUAGGGAUGGGUAAGAGCACUUUAGUAAAAGAAAUUGCUAAUAAAGCUAAAUAUGAGAGGUUAUUUGAUAGGGUGGCUGAAAUAAAUGUAACUAUCAAUCCCAAUCCCCUUAAAAUUCAGGAAGAGAUUGCACAUGUGCUAGGAUUGCCAUUAACAGGGGAAAGUGAAAAUGUAAGAGCUGAUUAUCUAAGGAGAUGGUUAAAGAUAGAAAAUGUGAGCAUCCUUAUAAUCUUGGAUAACCUUCAUGAAAGAUUAGACUUGAAUAGGUUAGGGAUUCCGAUUGAUGGUGAUUAUGACUUAAGAAAGAAGAAUGAGUUAAGCAUAAGGUCAAGUAAAAAAGAUACAGACGACAACACACAGGGUACCGACGAAAAAGUGCUAGAAAAAGCAAAUUUUCUUAGUAAAUAUAAGGGAUGCAAAGUUUUGCUUUCUUCACGUGAUAAGAAAGUAUUUCCUGAUGAGGUUGAUGUUGAGUCCAAUUUUUGUUUAAAGGAAUUAGAUGGCAAUGAUUCCUUGAAGCUAUUUGAGGUGCAUGGAGGAGGUAAUAAAAUGUCUAUGCCUACAGAAGAAAUCCAAAAGUAUUGUGCAGGGUUGCCCAUGAGCAUAGUUAGAUUUGCAAAGUUAUUUAAAAACUGGAGUGAGUCAGAAAGCGAACCUACACUGGAAAAAUUUAAAAAGCAAGGUCUGGUUGAAUGGAAGGAGUCUUCGGAGAUUCCUAAUAAAAUAAAAUAUGACCUUCCAAAAAAUAAGGAACUCAAGUUCAUUUUCUUGCUUUGUGCUCAAAUGGGCCACCUACCCCUGGUUAACGACUUGGUGAAAUAUUGCUUUGGAUUAGGUAUACUUGAAGGGGUCUCUUCCCUUAGUGCAGCUCGUGAAAAAAUAAAUGAAGUGAUGCAAGAGUUGAAAAAGUUGAGUUUGGUGUCUUACGAAAAUCCUAAUAUUCAUUUCAGUAUGUCUCAUAUGGUUCGAGAUUAUGCUCUAAGUAAUGCCCUCAUGGAUCACAAUGUUUUUUCUUUUAGAGAUGGAAAACUAGAUUAUUGGCCCAAUCUUGAAAAAUGCAUUUCUAUUUCUAUAUGCAAUAGUGACAUUACAUGUCGGUUUCCUCAAGUCAUAAAUUGUCCACAACUUAAAUUCUUGCAAAUAGAAACUAACAAUCCAUCUUUAAAAAUACCUGAGAGGUUUUUUAGCAACAUGAGAAACUUGUUAGUUUUAAUAUUGAGAGGUUUUCAUCUAUCAUGCUUACCUUAUUCAAUUGAAGACCUAUUGAACCUCAGAAUGCUUUGUUUGGAGCGGUGCACUUUGAUUUGCAAUUUAUCGGUAUUGAGAAAGUUCAAAGACCUAAGUAUUCUCAGUUUUUCUGGAUCUCAACUUAAAAAUUUGCCAGUUGAGUUACAAUACUCGGAUAAGUUGCAAUUGCUAGACAUCAGUGAUUGUUUUGAAUUGGAGAUUAUUCCACCUAAUCUUAUAUCUAAUUUGACAUGUUUGGAAGAGCUAUAUAUAGGAAAAAGCUUGAUGAAAAUGUUGGUGGAAAGAGAGGAAAGCAAAGGUCAAAAUGCAUUUCUUUCUGAGCUAAUAAAUUUACAUGAGUUGAAAGUGGUGGACUUAAGCAUCCCGUGUGUUUCAAUUUUACCCAAUCACUUAUUCUUUGACAGGUUAAAAUAUUACAAGAUUGGAAUUGGGGACUUUGAAAAGUUUUCUAUUGGAGAAUUUAAAAUGCCCAAUAAGUAUGAAGAACUCAAAGUAUUGGCAUUACAGCUGAAGGACGACACUGACAUUCACUUCCAUAAAGGCAUAAAAUUGUUAUUUAAAACAGCACAAAGUUUGUUGUUGGGAAAGAUAGGUGUUCAAAAUGUUGUUAACGAGUUGAAUAUAGACGGAUUUCAGGAUUUGAAACACUUAUCCAUCAUAAAUAACAAUGACAUCAAAUAUGUUAACUCAACAGAUUUGUCUAAUACUGUAAACAUUUUUCCCAAUUUGGAAUCUCUAUGCCUCUACAAUAUGAUGAACUUAAAGAUGAUAUGUGACAGUUCAAUUACACUUGAAUCAUUUGCCAAAUUAAAAACCAUCAAGGUUGAGAUGUGUUACCAAUUGGAAAAUCUCUUCUCCAUCUAUGCGAUUAAAAUUUCUACUAGCACAAGAACAAGUGAGAUUUUUGAAUGUAAUUCUUACAUGAAGAAAUUUCUAGCUAGCUUAGAAACGAUUGAGGUUUGUGAAUGUGAAUCUUUAAAGGAGAUCCUUCAAAUACCAAUGGAUUGUGAUAAGGUUGAGUUUCUCAAAUUAGGCACUUUGACACUCCAUUCAUUGUCAUCACUUACUUGUUUUAAUACCAAAGUCAAAAGAUCUUGCUGGUCACAUUCAACAGAGGCUCAAACUAGAAAUAAGGGUCAUACAGAAAUUUCUACUGAUGAUGACCAUAGUGACAAUGUGCCUCUUCUUUUUGGUGAAUCGGUAUGACAUUACAUAUUUUUCAUAUUUAUUUAAAUAAUUAGCUCAUUUGUUGUAAACAUAUUAAUUGUGUAUGUGUUUACAGGUUGAAGUUCCAAACUUAGAGAACUUGAAUUUAUCCUCACUCAACAUCCAUAAGAUAUGGAGUGACCAACACUUGUCAAGUUUCUAUUUUCAAAACUUGAUAAAGUUAGUUGUGAAAGAUUGUAAUAAAUUGACACAUCUAUGUUCAUUACCUAUGGCUAGCAGUUUGAAGAAGUUGAAAAGCCUCAUCAUAAGUGGAUGUUUUAUCAUGGAAAGUAUUUUUGAGAUUGAAGGAACUAGUGCAAACAAGGUAUGUAUUGGUAUAAAUACCUUUUUGUUUAUCUUUUACUUAUAUGUAAUAAUUGUUUCUUUCAUUAAAAUGAAGGUUUUUGUCUUCCCUAAACUAGAGGAAAUCCAUCUUAGCAACAUGAAGAGAUUAAGAGAUAUAUGGCAUACUAGAGUGAACAUUGAUUCUUUUUCAAGUCUCAUUUCGGUGAACAUUGAAGAAUGCAAUCAAUUGGACAAGAUUUUUCCGAGUCACAUGGAAGGAUGGUUUGAAAGUUUGAUUAACUUGAAAGUUUCUAACUGCAAGUCCGUGAAAGAGAUUUUUGAAAUUAGUGAUUAUGAAGAAAUAGAUGAAUAUGGUGGGAUAGACACAAAUUUGCAGAUUAUUCUUCUUAAAGACCUCCCAAAGUUGAAGGAAUUGUGGAGCAAAGAUCCACAUGGAAUUCUCAAUUUUAAAAAACUUCGGACUAUAGAUAUAAAUAAUUGUGAAGAACUGAGGAAUUUGUUUCCAGCUUCUAUGGCAAAAGAUGUAUCAAAGCUUGAACGUAUGUCAAUAUUGCAUUGUAAGAGGAUGGUGGAAAUUGUUUCAAGUAAAGAUGCAUCAGAAGCUAACAAUGAUCCAUUAGAGUUUCCUGAACUAAGCUAUGUGAGAUUAUAUGAGCUUGAAAACAUGAAGCAAUUCUACAAGGGGAGACAUCCAAUAAAGUGUCCAAAGUUGAAGGAAUUAAGCAUAGGCAAGUGUAUGAAGCUUAAAACAUUUUCACAAGAAACAAGUGAUGAAAAGUUUGUUUUCUCAGCUCAAGUGGUAAGCAUUAUUCCAACUUUAUCAUAGUAAAGUUCAAUCAAACUUUUAUUAUUUUCCUUAUAAAGAAUAAAAGACAUAAUUAAAAGUAUGUAAAAAAUUGGAAAGAAAACAAGAUAUAUGAGAAGCAAACUACAAUUAAGGAUUGUGUGUGGUUGAGAAAAAUAAAAGAUAAAUUUAAUUUAAAAUUGAGUUUUGGGAUUAUUUAGUUUUAAAAAGAAAUAAAGGAAUGCUGUUUUAUUUUCAUUGUUAAAUUUUAUUCAUAUUAUUAUUAUUUUCGUUUAAAUUUUCAUUUUUAGUGAUUAAAAAUAUUUGGUUUGCUAUUAUUGUAAUAGUAAAAAGUUUGUACUUUGUAUAAAAAUGAUAAGUAAAUUUUAGUGAAGCUUUAUGGUCAAAUCUAUAUAUUUAUACAAAUGUUUCGUAUUUUUUUUUAUUGAAGCGUAUUACAUUUUAAGUCAAUAAUUAUCAUAUAUAUAUAUAUAUAUAUAUAUAUAUAUAUAUAUAUAUAUAUAUAUAUAUAUAUAUUAUUUCACUUUCCUGCAUUUUUAAAUAACUAGCAUAUCUUCAAAGGAAACUAUAACAUAAUUAAAAACUUGGUUUAACUAAGUCUUUUAUUUUCCACAUACAGGAUCAAUUUUUGGGAUAUCUAAUCUCACAUUUUUCUUUAAAAAUCUUACAUUAAUACAUCCAUGACAUUAAUAUGAAAUUCUUAAAAGCUUGAUGUUCCUAUUUUAGUUCAUUAUUUAUGUUUUUUAAAAUGACAAAUAACCAAAGAAGAACAAAAACCAUACAUAAUAGUAAUCAUAAACAGUCACAAAGCAAACAAAAAUGCCUAAAAUCAAAUAAAUUUGAAGGCAUUUAAUUCAUUCUUCUUACUAUUUACUUUUAAUGUUUAGGUAUUUCCCAAGUUGGAGUAUAUGGAAAUAGACUUCAAGGAAGCCCAAAAUUUGUUAUCCAAGUACCAAAUGCACAAUUUAAAAGAGCUUAUUAUCUUGAAUGUCCAGCCCUCAAAUAUUUUCUACCGGUUUCUUUACAGAAUGCCAAAUCUAGAAAAGUUAAAAUUGACUGGCUAUUAUUCUGAAUCGUUAGAGCCACUAUGGAGUACAAAUGGGCAGCAAGACAGAUUGGGAGUCGUAUUACAGUUGAAGCAAUUGUUUAUUCAUUCCUCUAAUAUAAAAGAUCUGGGAUUUGACGGAGACCAAGUUCUACAGAGACUGGAGCUUUUGAGCUUAAAAUAUUGCUACGAAUUGAACACUUUAGCUCCUUCCUCUGUAUCGAUGAGUUACUUGACAUGUUUGAAACUGAAGAAUUGUUGGGGAUUAAGGAAUUUAAUGGCAUCCUCCACGGCCAAAAGCAUGGUUCAACUCAAGACCAUGAAGGUAAUCGAUUGUGAAAACAUAGAACAAAUAGUAAGUAACGAGGGAAGUGAUAAAGGCAAAGUGAUGAAAAUUGUAUUCAGCAAAUUGAUUUUUAUAGAACUUGUGGGACUAAGGAACAUGACAAGUUUUUGCAGUUACAAGAACUAUGAAUUUGAAUUUCCAUCACUGGAAAUAUUGAUUGUAAGAGAGUGCCUAAAGAUGAAAAAAUUCAGUAAAAAAAGAGCAAUAGCACCAAAGUUGAAAGAUGUAUUUGGUGUGGAAGGAGAUGAAAACGCAAAAUGGGAGUGGAAAGGUGACUUGAAUGCCACCAUACAAAAGGUUUUCAAUGAUAAGGUAAUUACUUUUUCCUUUAUUUAAUACUAUUUCUCCUAAUUUUAUCAACUUUUCCUAUAUGACUUGAAAUAUGUAAAUUUCCUAUAUUUUAAAGGUAGAGAAGUAAUUUAAUAAUUUGUCUGAUUUACAGGUCAGUUUCGCAUAUACUGAAUAUCUGUGGCUUCACUACGGUAAUGAUUUUAUUAUAAAGCAAGUAUGGGACGACACUCAUUGGGGCCAGCAAAAGAACUUUGGGUAUUUGAAAAGGUUGAGUGUGUACGCAUGUCUUACUCUAGAGCAUAUAAUUCCAUCUCAUUUGCUUUCUUGCUUUCACAAUUUGGAAGAGUUAGAUGUAAAGUAUUGCAGUAAUGCAGAGGUGAUAUUUAAUAUGAAUGAUGAGAACAGGGUGAUGACAAAACCUUCCGGAAUAUUCCGUCUGAAAACAUUGUCUUUAUAUGAACUACCACGACUGGAGCAGGUAUGGGACAAGGAUCCUGAGGGAAUUAUUGGCCUUCAACUGCUAAAGGAAAUGCGUGUUCAAUAUUGUAAGAGUCUUAAAAGUUUGUUUCCAGCAUCGGUGGCCAAAGAUCUUACGAGACUUGAAGUGCUUGAGGUAAGAUACUGUGAGAAAUUGAUAGAAAUAUUUUGGAAGGAUGAAAAGGAUGAGGAAAGAACAACACAAGAGUUUGUGUUUCGUGAUCUCAACUCAUUGACACUAGAAAAAUUGCCAGCCCUCAAAUACUCUAUACACUGCUCCAAACAACAGGUAACUCUCAAAACUUUGCCUUUAUGUGACCAUUCAAAAGGUAGUAUAUAUAAGUGGGAGUUCAACCCAACAAUAAUAACAUUUGAGAUUUAGCAUUGUGCUACAUCACCCAUUUUAUCAUCACACCUUGAAAUGAAAUUAUUCCUUCAAUUUCUUUCUAUAAUACGGUUACCUAAUAAUUAAUCAAGAAAUUUCGUAUUUUUUAUUCUCUGCAAUCUGUUAGUAUCUAUAAUCCCAAUUUUGUAAGUCCUCGUAUUUAUUUUAUUUUAUUAUUAUGAUUUGUUAGUUUAUUUUUUCUAUUUUCAUGUUGUAAUCAUUAUUAUGGUAAUCAUGAAAAGAUGUAUUCCCAAAAGUUAACAUUUCAAACAAAUUCCGAUGUGCGGACAAAAACAAAAUUCUAAAUCUAACUUCUUUUGCAGGAGAAUAUAUCAAAAUUGCGUUUGAGAGAAAUACAAGAGUUAUGUCUUGGCUCACGGCCCAUCCCAAACUCCUCCUUCCGUCUCUUAGAUUCUUUGAUUGUGGAUGGAUGCAAGUUUUCAUCAGAUGUACUUCUACCAUUCACUUUACUUUCUUUCUUAGCUAAAUUGGAGACGUUGGAAGUUAGAAAGUGUGAUUCUGUCAAAGUUAUUUUUGAUGUCAAAUGUACAACACAAGACACGAUCACUUUUCCGCUAAAGAAAUUGACUUUAUCCCAGCUACCACAUCUGGAGAAUGUUUGGAAUGAAGAUCCUCAUGCAAUUCUAAGCAUGCACCAUCUACAAGAACUACAUGUUAAGGAAUGUAAAGGCCUUAAAAGUAUGUUUCCAGCUUCAGGGGCCAAAGAAGCACUACUACCAUUCAAUUUACUUCCUUUCUUAACUAACUUGGUAACAUUGGAAGUUAGAAACUGCGAUGAUGUCAAAGCCAUUUUUGAUGUCAAAUGUACAACACAAGACAGAGAUGUGACAUCUACGGGACCGCCCCUCCCUUUUUCUCUGAAGAAUUUGACUUUAUCGAAGCUGUCAAAUCUGAAGAAUGUUUGGAAUGAUGAUCCUCAUGGAAUUCUAAACAUGCGCCAUCUACAACAAGUACAUGUUGAGGAAUGUAAAAGCCUUGAAAGCGUGUUUCCCACUUCAGUAGCCAAAGAUCUUGCGGAACUUGAAAGUCUAGUGAUAAAAGACUGUGAGAGAUUGAUGACUAUUGUUGUAGAAGACAAUACAAAUGGAAGUCUAGAGUUUACGUUUCCCUGUCCCUAUGUGAUAUCAUUGGAACUACGGAACUUGCCCAAGUUCAAGUAUUUUUACUACUGCUCUCUCAAGUCUCACACUUACACGCGUCUAGAGUCGAAUACCGAGAAUCAAGUCGAUACUGAAAGGGUACGUACUACUAUUUUACCACUUCCUCUUGAUGCACAAUAUGAAUCGUCAUUGCAAAUGUGGAAUCAUCAGUUUCUUUAGUUGUUUACCAUUGUUCAAUAUGAAUAGUACAAAAUACUCAUUAAAAAUAAUUUGCUUGUUGAUCAUGAAUUGGUUUGGUACUUGGGUGGCCAAUUAUAAUUUUAUUAGCAUAGGUAAAACGAACGACAAUAUAUAUAUGGUAGGUUAGUUUAGUUUUAGAAGAUAAUUAAAACGAUUUGGUUAAAAAUGAAAGAUCUAUAAUUAAGUUGAAAAAUAGUAGUGCGUGAAUGGGAACCGACUCCUUUAGGUUUCUCAUAUUUCUCAUUGUAUUCCUUAGUUUGGUUUCUCUGCAAUCAGUAGUGAGUUAUAAAAAGAGUAAUAAUUUGGAUUCAGAAUUUGUGAUGAUUAAUAUGAAUGGGAGGGAAUAAUUAAACACAAAUGAUUUGAUGGCUCCUAUACUUGUUUGUCAUUGUUCCAUAAACAUAGUCGGAGCAUCCUGUCAAAAUAUAAAUUUUGACAAAAUUCACUAAUGCAGAACAUCAGUAUAUAUGUUGUAUAUAUUUUAUAUAAAUAAGUAAAAGAAUAGAUUUCAUGACUCAUCAAUAACAUCUCAUAUCAAUUCAGUAGAUUCUCACUCGUUUAUGAUGUAUCAUGUAUUCAUGCCGCCACAAUCUUUGAAAAUUAUGGGAAGAAGAUGGUAUUAGCGGAAGUUAAUUUCUUAUUCAAAGAAAUAUACAUUAUCUUAGCAAUAUUCAUCAACAAUAUGUUUUGAUAUGAAAAUUUAAAACAGUUGUGUCUUUAACAAUCUUAACUAACUUUUGGUUGCUUUUUCUCUUGGUUGUUACAGUGUAUGUCAGUAGGAGAAAAUGGAACGAAGAUGAUUUUGCGAGGAGAAUUCGAGAGAAAGCUCUUACACAGCUUAAAAACACUUACUCUCUGCUUUGGUUCAGAUGUAUUUCCAUGUAAAAUUCUAGAACAGGUUCCGAAUAUAGAGAAACUUGUGGUGUGUGAUGGUUCCUUCAAGAAGAUGUUCUGUUGUGAAAGUGGUAAUAAUGUGUUAAAGCAGCUGAAAGUAUUACGGUUGGUUUCCAUUGGGUUAGAGAACUCUUGGACUGAUUCUUUUGUGAGAAAUUUAGAAACCUUUGAAGUCAUUGGAUGUAAGAGUUUAAAAAACUUGGUAGGAUGCACAGUGUCUUUCUCCAAUCUGACGUGUUUGAAAGUAGAGGAUUGCGAUAGCUUAUCAUAUUUGUUGACUUCCUCAGCAGCCAAGCGUUUGUGUCAACUCAAAAGAAUGGAGAUAAAGGAUUGUUAUUCAAUUGAAGAGAUAGUGUAUAAGGAAACAGAUGAGGAUGAGAUAAUAUUUCCGCAACUCAGUUGUUUGGAUCUUGAUAACUUAAGGAUGCUCAAAAGGUUUUACAAAGGGAGUUUAGGUUUCCCAUCCUUGGAGGAACUGUCAGUAACAUAUUGCAAUGAGAUGAUAACUUUAUGUGAAGGAAGUAUAGAAGCAGCCAACUUGUCUCAAGUUAUACUUAAUAAGUACUCAGAUGUUAUUCAAUUGGAAACCGAGCUGAACUCUACUAUGAGGAAGAAAUAUCUGACAGAGGUACGUCUUUAAUUUUAUUUUAUUUUUAUUGAAUAUUUAUGAUACAUGUCUGAGUAUAUGAUGGAAAUUCUGUAUUGUAUUGGCUAGCAAGGAACUUUUUAAUUUUGAUACCUUAAUAUUCAUAUUUUUAGAGUUUGACUUUAUGCCCUCCUUGUCAAACUCAUUAGUAAGGAAGACAAAAAUAAAAUAAAAUAUGUUUUCAAGGUAAAACUUUUGCAGAAAAGUUUAAUUAAAUCUUUUUUAAUUAUAGGAAAUUUAUUUAUUUAUCUUAAAUUAUGUUAAACACACUUGUUUUUUCUUUAAUUUUAAAGUAAAGAAAAUAGAUUGUAUCUUAAAAUUUUCCAUUUUUUUAUAAAAGGCGACAAAAAUACAUUCAAAAAGCAAAUAAUUUAUAUGUUAACAAAAUGUAAGUUCUCUAUUAUUCAAUUAUAAUUAUUUUCAAAUAAUUUUCAUAAUAAAUUACUUUAAAAAUCAUAUUUGACAAAAAAAAUAUGAUAAACUGAUGGUUUGAAACAUUGUCCCAAUAACCCAUACAAAUUAAAUUAAAUUUAACUUAAUUAACGUACUCAUUAGAAAUGGUAAAUUUUAAAAUUAAAAUAACUUAUAAAUAUAAAGAAAUAGAACAGAACCAAAUAUUUUUUUAUAUGCCAUUUUAACAUUAAUUUAGUAUCUUUACUAAUAAAAUAUGUUUUUAAUUAAUUUUAAAUUUUUAUAACUUUUAUUUAUUAAUAAAUUGUUUUCGUUAUAUUUAUUUUAUUUUUCAUUGCUAUAUAUUUAUCAUAAAGAAUAUUUAUCAUUAAUCUUCUACUAUGUUUUAUUAUAUUUAUACACAAAUUUAGGAUAAUGUAAAAAUAACACAUUUUUAAACAGAUAUAUGAUAUUUAAAGUAAAUUAGAAAUAUAGAUAAAAUCCAUCAUCUGUAAUGCAUAAAUUAAAAUGAUAAAAAGAAAAUAAAUCUACUAUGACCAAUAUUAUUGGAUUUUAAGUAUAACCUACAAAUUAUAAAAUAAAAAAUAGAAAAAUAAUUUGUUACUAUUGUCAUUAUCUUAUUUAGAAAUAUAUUAGAAACGGUAAGUUUUUGUUACUGUACAAAAAAAAUAAUAAAUACUUUAUAUAAAAGUAAAAAGAAAACUUAAUAAUUGUUUUAAAAGAUAAAUAAAAGGUUAAAAACUAUAAUAAAAAAUGUCACUUCUAAUAACAUUUAAAAAGUUCUACAAUUAAGUUGCUAAACUUGUUUUUCCUGGAUAUUAGUAAUAGAUUUAGAAAACAUUAGAAAAUAGUUUAAAAGUAAAAUUAAAGUAAAAUUAAGUGAAGAUGUAAUUUACAUCCUUAUAUUUGAAUUUACUCUCAUUCAUCAAGCUUUUAUUAUUAUGAAAGUUGAAUUUUUAAAUUAAUAUUUAUUUAGGUACAUUCCUAAACUUCAAAAAAACAAAUUAGAAAAAUUAACAAAAUAAUAAUUUGAAAAAAUUUAGAACUCAAUCAAAUCAAUUAAUCACAAAGUUAAUUAAAAAAUAGUUAGAGAUUUUGUUUAUAAUUAACUUCUAUACUAUUGCCAAAGGAAAUUAUAUCUUUUUACUCAAAGUUGACCGUAGAAACAACUUUCAUUUUUAUGAGAAUUAAAUAGAAUUUUAAAUGUAACUAAAGUUUUACCAAUUCCCAAUGUCCCUAAAUAGAAUUGUGGAGGAAAAAUGUAGUAUGAAAAGAAAAAGUAUUAAAAUUGACGUGUGUCUUGUAAGUAAUUAGUUAUAAGUAAAGUUGAUGAUUUGUAGUAAAGUCCGAAUUCUUGGUAAUCCUUAUAUUUUCAUAUUUUUCAUUUACAUGUGCUAAUUUCGAAAGAUUGCUCCACGGAGAGAGAGUAUUGAAUUCAGAGAUAGGGAAGACCUACAAGAGAUAUGGUGUCUUUCACUUCAGAUACCCGACUUCUGUUUCACUUNCUUGGUAACCUUGAUUGUGAAUAAAUGCAAAAUUUCAUCAGAUGCAGUGUUACCUUUUACUUUAUUUCCUUUAUUACCCAAAUUAGAAACAUUGGAAGUUCAAAACUGUGAUUCUGUCAAAACCAUAUUUGAUGUCAACUGUACAAAACAAGGCACACUCACUCUUCCUCUAAAGAAAUUAGUUUUACGGAAGUUGCCAAAUCUAGAAACCGUUUGCAGUGAAGUUAAAGAGACUAAUACAACUCAUCCAGAAGGAACAAAUCCUGAGCUUACAUUCCCCUGUGUCACGUCAUUCCCACUAUUGGAUUUGCCAAACUUCAAUGCAGUACCAACAUUUGAGGUUUGCGCUUCUUCUUUUUUCAAUAACAUAUACAUUCUCACUAACCUGCUUUUACAUGGUUAUUGGUUUCUCGUUGCAGCUAAUUAUACCCAACUUAGAGCAUCUGACAGUGGGUAAAAAUGAAUUAAAGAUGAUUGUGGACGGAGGAUUUCAGAGAAACCUUUUACACAAGUUAAAAGUUCUUACUUUGUGCUUUGAUAUUGAGUGUGAUGAAUUUCCGGAGUAUGGAUUUCUACAACAGUUGCCAAAUGUAAUGAAGCUUGUGGUGUAUGACAGUUCCUUCAAAGUGAUUUUCUGCGAUCAAAGACCUAAUAAUAGUGAAAUACUUUUACAAUUGAAAGAAUUACGGUUGGAGUCCCUUCAAGAGUUGGUUUCGAUUGGCUUAGAAAACUCAUGGACUGAACCCUUUGUCACAGAUCUAGAAACCUUUGAAGUCAUUAGCUGUUCCAAUUUAAAAAACUUGGUUCCAUGCAGAGUGUCUUUUUCAAAUCUGAUACGUUUAAAAGUGGAAAAUUGCGAUAACUUGUCAUAUUUGUUCACAUCUUCGACAGCCAAAAGUUUGGCUAAACUUCAAAGAAUGGAGAUAGAAAAGUGUAAAUCAAUUGAAGAAAUAGUGUCUAAUGAAGAGAAGGAAUCAGAUGAGGAUGAAAUAACAUUUCUG
This 143539-nucleotide long non-coding RNA is filed under the name Vigna radiata. RNAcentral's name for it is "long non-coding RNA (VRAD_LNC009527)". Lineage: Eukaryota; Viridiplantae; Streptophyta; Magnoliopsida; Fabales; Fabaceae. The record is from RNAcentral.